UUUUUUUUGGUCAAGUAGUCUAAUCACCCCCCCCCCUCUAGACAUACUUUCGAUCCUAAAAUUGGUAUCAGAGCUUUGGUCUCCAUUUGCCUUUCAUGGGUGAAGCCCUCCAUGGAUUCGUGCAGCCGUUAGCCCGUUACCCUUCGUGGGUGGAGGCCUUCGUGGACUCGCGCAGCCGUUACCCUUCGCGGGUUGAAGUCUCCAUCAACGUGGAUGUACGAUAGCACCACCUAUCGGAACCACGACAAAAACAUCCAUGUCUCCUAUUGCGUUUGCACUCUCCAAACCCCUCCCUUUACAUUCUUGCAAGUUGCAUGCUUUACUUUCCACUGCUUAUAUACUCAUUGCAUGCUUGCUUGAAUUGUGUUAAGAUUGCUUGACUUGUGCUAAGUUGUUAAAAUCUGCCAAGAACUAAAAUUGGGAAAAGGCUAAGUUUUUUUGGGUCAAUUAGUCUAAUCACCCCCCUCUACACAUACUUUCGAUCCUACAUAAAUGCACUAAAAACAAGUGUAGUAAAUGCAGGGUGUAUUUUUUGCAUGAAAUGUAAACGCAGAUUUGGAAUGCUAAUGUAGUAAUGCAGAAUGUAUUUUUGAAAAGUGCACACACCUGUGGUCAAAUUACAAUUAUGAAGAUUUUUCAGGAAUAGCUUCUCUUCUGGAGGGAUCCCUUGGUGUGAUCGAAAGUACUUAGUUAGUGAUGGCUUAUCAACCAAUGCAUGAUUGUGUUCAGCAAUAAAGUAAACCACCUCCCACCAACCAUCCUUUAGCUUCACAACCAUCCUUGCUCUACACCCUGUCUGCACUAUUGUAUCCCGCUUUAUUUUCUUGGACUUCUCUUUUUUUCUGCACUCAUCAUCAAGGAAGACAAUCUCAUCAUCCGCACCAUCUUCUGCAUUUGUAUUAAUAUCUUCAAUCACAUCUAGGGCAGGGAUAGUUUCCGCACCUCCGUCAUCAACUUUUGUUUUUUGGAACUUGUUGCAAACAAAUUGUUGCUUCUCCAACAGACCAGUAAUUGUGGAUUUCCUAGAAGUGUUCAUCUUGAUUGAAAACCCAAGUCGGAGAGCGUAGGCAUUGUAGUGUUCUUGAGCACACUCGAGAGUAUCAAACCUCAUGCCUAUGAAAGGCUCUCUUGGUUGAUACCAAGCUUCAUUGUCAUUAUCAUUUCUCACAAUCCCUUGUCCAAUAGUUCCACCUGUUUCAACAAACGUUGUUGUGUCAUCAAAAGUUUCGUCUUCCGUCUGCAUAGCUUCUUCAGGCGCAACAGGAGCAUGUUGGGUACUCAUGGGAUUAGGUGAUUCCCCUACAACCUCAUUGUAGCCUCCAUCAGGUUGUGGGGCAUUAGGCUGCAUGCAGUACAUGGGGUCUUCAACUCCAACCCCACCAGUAAAACGCACUUCAGAGUGACCAUCAUCAUCAGGAAAUUCAUUUAAGUCAAUCAUCACCAACCUAUUUGACAAAAAAGCAAAUAAUGAUUUUUCAGGCAACUAAUAACAAAAAUGAAGGCAACUCUAGAAGCAAAUGUACAAUACAGAUUUCAUGAAAAAAUGAAUGUUCAUUUUCUGGCUUGCAUUAAUAUCCUUUAAUGUCCUUCAUUCUCCAAUAGUGACUCUUUUAAUAUAUUUUUGUUUUUAUCUUUUGUUUAUAAGGAAUUGCAAAAAGGCGAAGACAUGGUUUAUGAUUCUUUCAGUUUAUUCGUCUCUGCUGAAGUUACAGUGGCAGAUAUAUCUUCACUUACAAAUGUACAAUACGAAGAAGGCAGAAGAAUACUAUGUAGUUUUUCUUUUUUUUCGUUACCAUUUUGUGGUGGUGUGGACCAUAUGUGGUAUGUGUUUCGAACAUGUGUGCUUUGGACAUGACACAGCUUUGUAUGACAUGUUUGCAGGACAUCCUUUUACUACUAUAUUGUUCAGACAUUGCUUUUUGCUUCAUUUCUGCCAAAGUUGUAUCAGGGUUGCCACAUGUUUUGUAUACAUGGUUUACAAUGCCUAAGUACCAUUUUUUAUUGGUAGUAGGACUAUGAAGCUGGGAAAGAAGUCCAAAAGAUGGCAACUUAUUAGGUACUUCUUCUACCUAUCUCUUAUUCUACAUAUCUUUCUGCAUUACUGAAUAAAGAAGUUUUUUUACAACACUUUCCUGCAGUAGAACAGGACUUGCCUACAAAGUAUUAUAGUACUUGCCCACAUUUUUUAUAUCACAAUACUUGCCUACAAAUAGGACAUGACUUGCCUGCAUUAUACUCCAUCCGGCCCGAAAUACUUGUCAGAGAAAUGGAUAUAUCUAGACGUAUACUAGUCAUAGAUACAUCCAAUUUUAUCCAUCUCUCCAACAAGUAUUUGGGGCGGAAGGAGUACAGUACUUGCAUACAGUGCAAAUUUCUCUAUGUUUACAGAUAUCAAAUAUGGUACUUUGUAUGCAAUCUGUAGGAAACUGUACACUACUUGCUUAUAUAUACAUAAGCUUUUUUGCAUAGGGCGUGCAUCCAAUUUGAACUUGCAUACAAACUGUAGGAAAUUUGCUUCUCUAAAGUUUAUUCUACUAGCUUUCUACAUAGCAAAAAACCUUACUAUAACAUAGCUUUUCUACAGUUAUGUAUAUUUUUCAUAGUUUUUCUAACCAUGACCCGUGUUGUUGAUGCCAAACAGGACCUGCCUCCUGAUCUGAUCAAGUUGCCUACCCCCAUAUACAUGAAUUUUUAUAGUCAAUCUUCAACAUUUCACAAUGUCCAAAAGAAGGCAUCUUAUUAGGUACUACUAUCUGUUCUUCUACCUAUCUUUUCUGCAUUACUAAAUUAAGAAGUUUUAUAUUUCUCUACAGCAGUUGCCUGCAGUAGAACAGGAACUUGCCUUCAUUACAUUACAGUACUUUCCCAAAAAUUUAUAUUACAGUACUUGCCUGGAAACAAAACAUGACUUGCCUACAUUUUUUAUGAACAACUUUGCAUUGUACAUAGCAAAUAACCUAGCUAGAUCCUACCUCCUCUACAUUAUUAUGUUUUUUUGAUACACAACCAAUCCUAUGACCUUGAGGCGCAAAAGAACCUCAAUUUUCAAUCUAAUCAACUUGCCUACCCCCUCAUUUUUCAAUCUAAUAAAGAUGUAAGACUAAAGACGUGGCAGAACUGUACAAGUUGCAGCAGAAUCACGCAGAACAUGAAGACUAAAAACUGUAGCAAAAUUAUAUCUCACUUUUACAUAGGAGUUGCAUUUUUUGUUUCUAGACUUUUGAUUCGCGUGUUCUAGACCUGAUCAGGGGGUUGUCCUUGAAGUGCUUUUUUGUCACUUCUUAAAAAUUUCUAUCGCACUUCUACAAAACUUGUUACAGAACUUGCUUGUAGAUAUAAUUUAACUUGUCAACCUUGUGGAUACAACUUGUCUACAACCAUGUGGGUGCAACAGAACCUGCUUCCAGAUCUGACUUUGCUAACCCUGCGGAUGCUAAUUUGUCUACAAUUCUAUGCAUCCUCCUCUAUUUUUUCCUACGUCUUUAUGCUCUUUUUGACUUGCAAAUCCUUUUUUUUGUUGCAGCAAUGAGGAAGGCCAUGAGGGAAAAGGACGAAGAUGGAGAUACCAGCAGAUGUAGGAGAGGGGCAGGGCUAACGGGGGAGGGGUCACUACUAGGAAAACGCUUAUAGAUAGAAGUUUACCAGUAGCAUUUGUUUGUGACCCCACGCUACUAGUAGUUAGUAGUAGCGCUGGCUAGAAAGAGCACUACUGUUAUAAGUUAGCAGCAGAGCUUGUUAUCUAAACCCACGCUACUGCUAAGUGUAACACACCACAAUAACUGAUCACUAAAUAUUAGCAGCGCUUGUCUCCGAACCAGCGCUACUGUUAGUUUUGGAUCUAUAGCGCCUGUUGAUAUAAACGCGCUACUGCUAUUUUUUCUAUCUAUAAAAUUUUACUAGUAGCAUGUUAUUUUAGCCCGUGCUAUAGGUAGUGCACCACCAGCCGUAGAUAUUUUGCAAGCUGUCAUAGCAGUAGCGCGCAUAGGAGACCCGCGCUACUGCUAUGCCCGCCAGCCACCUACCACCUUUCCCCUCCUUCCUCCCCUUUCUUCUUCCUCCCCCCUUCUUUGCCCUUCCUUCCUCCCCUUUCUUUCCCCCUUUCCUUGCACCUUGCUUGUUCCAAUGCUCCCCCUCCACCACCCCUCCAUUAGAGCCCUCCCUUCCCCUCUUCUUUUCCCUUCCAUCACCCCCUCUUCUUUGCCCCUCCACCACCCCUCCAUUAGAGCCCUCCCUUCCNNNNNNNNNNNNNNNNNNNNNNNNNNNNNNNNNNNNNNNNNNNNNNNNNNNNNNNNNNNNNNNNNNNNNNNNNNNNNNNNNNNNNNNNNNNNNNNNNNNNNNNNNNNNNNNNNNNNNNNNNNNNNNNNNNNNNNNNNNNNNNNNNNNNNNNNNNNNNNNNNNNNNNNNNNNNNNNNNNNNNNNNNNNNNNNNNNNNNNNNNNNNNNNNNNNNNNNNNNNNNNNNNNNNNNNNNNNNNNNNNNNNNNNNNNNNNNNNNNNNNNNNNNNNNNNNNNNNNNNNNNNNNNNNNNNNNNNNNNNNNNNNNNNNNNNNNNNNNNNNNNNNNNNNNNNNNNNNNNNNNNNNNNNNNNNNNNNNNNNCACCACCCCCUUCCAUUAAUGCCUUCCCUCUUCUCCUCUCCCUCUCCUCCCACUCUCUCCCUAGAUAGCUAACUAGUUAGAGCUAUAUAUCUAGAGCUACUAGGUAAUUAAGAAGAAAGGUGCUCGAUAUCCCUCUCGACACAUAGGUGAGCAAAAAAAGGUGUUUGUGUGGAUAGCACCAAAACUAUAUAUAUAUAUAUAUAUAUAUAUAUAUAUACAUAUAUAUAUGGGCGAUAUGAGAAUAUAUAUACUGAAUUGUGUGUGGCAUAAUUUGAGUUGCCUGCAUUGUGUAUUUGAUGAAAUAAUAUGUGGGUGACUUGAAUUGCCUAUGUUUUGCCAAAUUGUCGAUUCAAUUCCGUUUCGGCGAAUUUCGGGCAUGCAAACUCAAUAUGUCCUAUGUUUAGGGAAGGUCAUGCCAAAUUUUUGUAUGAAUUUGAUCCAUGCAUGCAUAUAUACGUGGUUAUAAUAUUUUCUCCACCCGCGGGUGAUCAUGAAAGUCAAUGGAAGGAUGGUGGAAAGAUACUGGCAAUCCGUUGUGGAUGACAUGUAUGAAAAAAGACUGAGGGAUGUUUUAUGUCCGUCUCGAAAAUGCAAAGGAAGAGUCAGGCUCGACCCCUUUAAGGGUGGUAAAUUCAAGGCGCACCUGCUCAUGCAUGGUUUCAUGCAUGGCCAUACUCGGUGGAUAAGUGAAGAUGAUGGUGAUGAGGAGGAGGACAUCGACGGGGCAGGAAAUAACGACAUGGGGCCACCAGACGAAGAGAUGACCGAUUAUGUGCCCAAAGAGGAAGACGGCCUCGGAAAUGUUGAUGGCGAAGAGGCAGUUCAAGGAGGAGAAGACGCGGACAUGCCACCGUCUUCGUCGCUACUAAGUUCAGCCAUGCGGGACCCGCAUGUUCGAGACCUGCUUCGCAAGAAGACGACUAGCGACAGAGCUGCUUCUAGAGAGGAGGCCAAACUGGCGCAACUGGAGGUAGACUCGAUGACUCCUCUAUAUGAUGGUUGCAAUAAUCCCGAGGUGACCCGCUUGAGUUUCACACUAGAACUUCUAAAGAUGAAGGCAAAAAAUGGACAGAUACAAGUCUGGAUGAGCUUCUGAAGUACCUAAAGAAGGUUCUUCCCACGGGAAGCCUAUGUCCUACUAGUGUCGAGGAGGCAAAGAAAAUCGUGUGCCCUCUUGAUCUGCCACAUAUUAGAUAUCACACAUGCAUCAAUGAUUGCAUCAUAUAUCGGAACGAGCAUGCGGAAAAAACCAUCUGUCCAAAGUGCAAUGCUUCACGAUAUAAAAAGGCCGGAAAGAAAGCUCCACAGAAAGUUGUAUGGUACUUUCCGAUCACUCCGCGUCUACAGCAGUAUUUCGUAGAUCCUAAGGAAGCAAAGCUUAUGCGCUGGCACGCGGAGAGGGUGAAGCCAGAUAACGGAGAUGAACCGAAGCUGAGACACCUCGCAGAUGCUAGCCCAUGGAGAGCAUUAAAUGCUGAAUUUGAAUUUUUCGCAAUGAUCCAAGGAACAUCGUGCUUGGUGCUAGUAGUGAUGGCAUGAAUCCAUUUGGCAACUAGAACACCAAUCAUAGCACAUGGCCCAUGUUUGUAUGGAUGUACAACCUCCCCCCUGGUUGUGCAUGAAGGAAAAAUACAUACACAUGGCUAUGCUUAUUCAAGGGCCGAGACAACCGGGAAAUGAUAUAAAUUUGUAUCUCGGGUUACUGAAAGAGGAGUUACAGACCUUAUGGACAACGCCGGCCAAGACAUGGGAUGCAAGCAAAGGAGAGUAUUUCUACAUGAGAGCCGUGCUGAUCAUGAUGAUGCAGGACUAUCUCGGUUACGGCUAUCUCUCAGGCCAGGUGUACCACGGAUAUUGCGGAUGCACGAGGUGCAUGGAUGAUACAACUUCUCUGCAGCUAUCGAAAGAUGGCGGGUCUUCGAAAAUCAUGUACAUGGGGCAUCGAAGAUGGCUCGAGAAGGAUGACCCAUGGAGAAAGCGUGAAGGUCUAUUCAAUGGUAAGGUUGAGCAUCAAGGUCCUCCACGUAAGCAUAGCGGUGCAUAAAUAUAUGAGUUAUUGAAGAACUGGGAAGAGUGCCCCUCGCCCGGAAAGACAAAGAAAAAGGCGCCAGAGCCCCUGCUGAAGAUAUGGAAGACGAGAUCUGUUUUAUGGGACUUGGAAUACUGGCCCAUACUCGACAUGCCUCAUAGCCUUGAUCAAAUGCAUAUCACAGAAAAUAUCCUUGAGAAUUUGCUUGGAACAUUGAUGAACAUGCCGGAGUGGAUCAAGGAUGGGCCGAAGGCAAGAAAAGACUUGCAAUUUUUGAAAAUCAGGAAAGAUUUCCAAAUGCCUGGUAAAAGGUUGUCAGAGAAGACCGAGAUGGAGACAGAGAGGAAAGAUAGGGGAAAAAAGUAAACAAGAAGGAAGAACAAUAUAGCCCCCCCCCCCUCUUGCUUCACCUUAGAUCUGGAGGAGGUCGAUCAAUUGUUCAAGUGCCUUGCCAGAAUCAAACUUAGUUCCGUAUACUGUGGGAAGAUAAGCAGAUAUCUAGACACUAAGAAAAAAAGGUUCAGUGGGAUGAAGUCUCACGACUGUCAUGUGAUGAUGACGGAGUUACUCCCGGUUGCACUUAGUAUGGACACACAUGUGCGUGAGGCACUUACUAACCUAUGCCACUUUUUUGAUGCUAUCUCUCGAAAGUCGGUCAGUGUGAAGCAACUCCAUAGGCUACAGGAAGAGAUCGUUGUCAUACUGAAUGAGCUAGAGAUGUACUUCCUGCCCGCGUUCUUUGAUGUCAUGGUGCAUCUAUGUGUCCACAUCAUGGACGACAUCAUCGACCUAGGGCCGACAUUCCUGCAUAGCAUGAUGUCGUUCGAGAGGAUGAAUGGGUUAUCAAAGGAUUCAUUCGUAACAUGUCCCGACCAGAUGGAAGCAUAGCCCAGGGAUAUUUGACCAAAGAGUGCAUCUCUUUCUGUGAGAGUUAUCUGACCAAAGACGACCCGGUUGUUGGUUUGCCCGUCAACAAGCACUGUGGAAGGCUCGAAGGCAAAGGUCACACCAACAGUCAUAGGGAUGUGAAUGUGUUACGCUCAGGCCGACAAAACGACCUUGACAGGGCAAACUUAGUAGUGCUACAACACCUAGAUGUGCUAGAAGAUUUCGUGACACUGCACAAAGAGACCAUCGCAAAGAAGUACCGUGACCGUGGGGUGCACAGGACGGACUUUCUUGCGUUGGUUCAAAGAGAGAGUUCUGGCUAAUCCCCUGGAAGAGGGUUGUCCGAACGAAACACUCAUAUAUGCCUUAGUACAUGGCCCUUCGACCAACCUCACGACUUAUCAAGCAUACAGUAUCAACGGAUACAUGUUCUACACGGAGGAGAAAGAUAUAAACAGUGAUGACCAAAACUCAGGGGUGACGAUGGAAGCCAUGACCUGGAAUGUAAAUGAAUGAUAUUACGGAAGGGUCGAAGAGAUUUGGGAGCUUAACUACUCUGGAUUGCAUAGCGUGACGAUAUUGCGUGUCAGAUGGGCUAAAAAUGUACAUACAGAAAACCGACAUUUCACUACCAUGUGUAUACCCGACUCCGAUGAUAGCGGUACCGUCAACGCCAUCGCCAAAAAUGAGCCAUGGGAACACGCUAAACACGUGACACAAUGUUUCUUCAUAACUGAUCCAAUCAAUCCCAGCCGUGUUGUCGUGAGGAGAAGCAAAAGGAGCAUCGCCGGAAUGGAUGGAGUCGCCAACGAGGAAGACUAUGACCAGUACGGUGAUCCGAUGACGGAAGAUGAUGCUGAUGACGACGAAACAUAUGUCAAAAGAAGAAUGAAGACUACAUUACCUACGAAAGAUCGUAAUCCCUGGAGAAGGAAAAGUCACGACCAUGGGCUCAAUUAUUCGACAACGAACAAAAGAGAGAAGAAGAUCAGUCUGAAGCGUCGUCGUCGCCCAAGCUCACAAACUAAUCCCAAAGUUUGUGUGUGUCUAGCUAUUUUGUAUACCGCCAAUAGCGGUCAAAUGAUGUAAGAUAUAUAUUAUAGUAAUUAUUAUCCGGAGGGUAACAAUGGUAUAUUGCAAAAUGAAAGAAAAAUAAAAAGAAAAGUGCAAAUGAAAGAAAAAGAAAGGAAGUUUAGCAAAAUGAAAUGAAAAUAAAAAGAAAAAGGAACUAAUAAGUUGUGGAAAAUGAAAUGCAAGNNNNNNNNNNNNNNNNNNNNNNNNNNNNNNNNNNNNNNNNNNNNNNNNNNNNNNNNNNNNNNNNNNNNNNNNNNNNNNNNNNNNNNNNNNNNNNNNNNNNNNNNNNNNNNNNNNNNNNNNNNNNNNNNNNNNNNNNNNNNNNNNNNNNNNNNNNNNNNNNNNNNNNNNNNNNNNNNNNNNNNNNNNNNNNNNNNNNNNNNNNNNNNNNNNNNNNNNNNNNNNNNNNNNNNNNNNNNNNNNNNNNNNNNNNNNNNNNNNNNNNNNNNNNNNNNNNNNNNNNNNNNNNNNNNNNNNNNNNNNNNNNNNNNNNNNNNNNNNNNNNNNNNNNNNNNNNNNNNNNNNNNNNNNNNNNNNNNNNNNNNNNNNNNNNNNNNNNNNNNNNNNNNNNNNNNNNNNNNNNNNNNNNNNNNNNNNNNNNNNNNNNNNNNNNNNNNNNNNNNNNNNNNNNNNNNNNNNNNNNNNNNNNNNNNNNNNNNNNNNNNNNNNNNNNNNNNNNNNNNNNNNNNNNNNNNNNNNNNNNNNNNNNNNNNNNNNNNNNNNNNNNNNNNNGCCCCUUCUUCCUUCCUCUCCGACCCCUCAGCCCCGGCUCUCUCUCUCUCUCUCUGACCCCCUCCCGCUCUCUACAGAUCAGCCACCCCGGCGACCCCGACGUCGGCCACCGACCCUGACUCGGCGCCUCCCUCCGUGAAGCAGCCGGCGACGCCCAGCAACGCCAGCGAGCACUAGACAGGUGCCUUCAGUUAGUGUUAGUGUUAAUUAGUUAAUUGCUGUUAGUGUUAGUGUUAGUUAGAGCACACUGCUAGUGCUAGUUAGUUAACUGUUGUUAGUGCUAGUUAAUGUUAGCAAAAAUUUGGGCGUUAGGGUUUUAGGUUGUUAGCUUCCUGUGAUGUGUGUUCAAACAAAUUCAGUCAGGCUCUCUGCUUGCCUGAUCCAAGUUUAUGGUAAAUCAUUAUGAACAGUUGUGUUUACCGUGGCAACUAAAUGCAUCGAUAUUGUCUGUUGGCUCGUCAAUGGUCCGUUCCUGAUGUUUACUGUGGCAAUCACCGCACUAGUUUAGUUUACACAUGCAGUAGUCUGUUCCUGAUGUUUUUUCAAGCACUAACAAGCAACUUGUUGCUUGAUAGAGCUGGUAUUUGCUAAUUAAACCAAAUCUCCUGUUUUUAUCAUUGCUUGGUUGAGCUGUGUAGCAUCCUGCAGCAUGGAUGCAUAUUGGUCCAUCUUAAUUAGUAGUACAGCUACAAAUUGCUGAUUUAUGCUCUGUCCUAGGCAUUACAACUUGCUAUUUGUCAAUGGCCUGCAUCUUUCAUGGAUAAGCAAAGUGACCUUUGUUUUGUCAGAAACCGAUUGCUAAGUGACCUACGUUUUGCCGGAAAUGUUUAUUCAUUUCCAUUCCGGCAAAUUUCAGGUGCUCUAUAUGUGCACUUUCUAGCAAAGGUCAUGCCGAAAAUUUCCGUGAAUUUCGGCAUGACUUGUGCUAGAAAGUUGGACAUAUCGAGUGCUUGAGAUUUGUCGCGACGGGAAUGAAACGACAUUUCUGGCAAAACAAAGGUCACUUUUUUUGUCAUUAUUCACUUUAUUAUAUAAAGCUCGAUAAUUAAACGACUACGACAUUGAACCCUAGGAAACAUGACCAACACCGAUGAGGCCGGAGGUUCUCACUCCCAAUUAGGUCAAGCACACGCCUACCUCGACUUUCUGGCGGAUCAGGAGAGACAGGAAGCUGGGUGUUUGGACCACCUUGUCAUGACAGAUGACGACAGUGGUGGCGCCGGCGCCGACACUGAUGCCACCAACGACACCGGCACUGAGACUAGCGCUGAUGAUGUUCCUAACUAUAGCACGGAAGGUGGGACCUCCCAAGCCAGUGAGGGAAAGAAGGAAAAGAGGACACGACGUUGAAAUGAGCUCGGCACCGGAAGACUGGUGGUCACGGCGGUGCACCCUGGCGAGUUCGAGCCAAUAGAGCCGCGAGAAGUGGCAGCGUGUUACGGCAACCAACUAGCAUGCAUCCUACGGGAUACCGCUAACAUCAACACCACAAAAAUACGGAAGAAUGAUCAGUUGAAGAAGCUGCUUCUAACUAGGUUGCACGCAAGAUUCCUGUUCCCCGGUCGUAAUGACGAAGUUCAGCAACGCAUUGAGCACUUGGAAAACUAGGGUGAAAAAGGAGAUUCAAGUAGACCAUGAAACCUACGCUGAGAUUGUUGCAGACAAUCCGAAAAUUACGAUAGAGGACUUUGAAAAUUUCAAGGAGACUUGCAAUGAAGAAGAUGCCAAGGCCAGGUCGGAGAGAGGCAAGCAGCUGCAGGCAAAGAACAUGGGGAACCACCGCCUUGGAAGUCAUGGUUACACGGGAAAGAGGUCCGUGUGGGCUAAGGAGGACGCAGAACGUGAACGUCAGGGGAUCCCAGACCCAUUGGCUGAGUUCACCGACCAGCAGGAGCACGACUUCAUCAGGGCCCGAUUCUCGUGGGACCCCAAGAAAAAGAUUUUUUGCACUGACGGGCCGACUAGGAAAUUCAUGAGAUUACUGGUAAUUAUCCUUUUACCACUUUACAUAUUAGGUUAUGAUCAUUGAAGUCUACUACAUUCUAGUCGCAUUCGUAAAUGAUUCACGGUCCAUUUUGCAGAGAGAGCAACACAAGCUUGCAGCCAAGAGCAAAUCGUUGACUCAGUCAACUCAGUCGUUGGCGAAGUACAAGUGGGACACUCCUUUCAACCGGGCCAUGAACAUAAUGAUGGGACACCCGCACGGCCAGCGGCCGCAAUAUGGACGUGUGCAUGGCGCUAGGGAUGGGGCCACUUGGAAGUACUAUUAUAGCGAGGACCUCGAGCCCAAAAGAUAGAGAAAGAAGUUCAGUCAAGUGACUGUCGACGAGAAGGUGGCAAGGGCGAUGGAGAAAGCAAAAGUUGAGACCAAAGCUGAGAUAAUCACUGCCUGUAGAUCUGAUUUCGUGGAUGCCUUUACAAGCUUGAUUCCAACAGUGGUCACAUGGGUGCAACAAAAUCCAAAUGCGCCACCAAGUGAUUUUCCCAUGCCCAGCUUCACCGGGAGCAACUCAAUGAACAUCGCACCCAUACCCGUACCUAGUAUGGCAACCGCACCUGCACCUCCUCCAGCACGUGCUCCUCCACCCAGCUCCCAUAGUAGCCCUAGCUCCAUCUCUGGCUUGAAUGUCGGGCCGCCAACAUUGGCUGAGCUCGACGCCCUCAUGGUAAAUACGCGUCGUCGCACCUUCAUCAACUCAACUAAUUAAUUAAUCUUCAGUUGCCGUUCUUUUUGGAUCUCUGACGCCGCACGUAUAUGUCUUUGUAGGCCGACUCCACUCCGUGCACCCUCCUUUACAACAUGAAGGGCGGGUUGGUGGAUGUGGGGAAGGGUACUAUAGUGAAGCCUAAGGAUCGAUUGUUUCACCGCCGGCAGAUGCCUGAUAACGCCUUAAGGGUCUCCGUGGAGAGUGUGAAAGCGGGCUACGAGGGUCUCCCUUGUUCGACACAAACCAAUGGAGAGGAUGGCGAGACCCCCAUGCAGCUUGGCCAAUGCAAAAAUUGGCCGAUCCUGUGGCCGAAAAAUCUUCUUCGUGUCGAGGUGGCCGGGAGCACACCUACGGGACCUCAGGAAGGUAUGGCCACAACACCACCUACACAAGUACAACCAUCGUCUGUGCUGCUUGCUGGGAUCGAGAGACAUGAGGAAGGAGGGCCAACCGUUCCGCCAGCAGAUGAUGCCAUCUGCCCCAUGGAAGAGGAUAGGGAUCAUGACAAGGAAGAGGCCGACGAUGACCCUAACCAGUAUUUCAAUACUGCCUUCGACAACGAAGUAACAACGAGUCAACUAUAUGAAUAUGAGAUGCAUGUACCAGAGCCGGAAUGUCCUCGGGAGUGCAAGAAGUCUUUGUUCAUGCAAUCCUCGCAGGACACCCCUCCAGAUGACGGCUCCACCCAAGCUCAACUACUUAGCCAGAGUCGUCUAAUGUUGAGCCCGGCAACACUAGGGGUGGUGCUCAGGGAGGGUCUGACAGACCCAAGAGCACCUCAGCCCACCAAGAAGAAGUAGAGGAAGAGACCGACGGUGAGAAAAUCCAAUAAAGCUGGAAAUGUUGGUUCUAGCAGCCAGCAGCCUUCGACCAAGGUUGACAAUGUACCGAUGAAACAUGCGCCAUUAAUCCAUGUCGCAGGAGAGCCAAUGGUGCCGGCGAAUGCACUAGCUGCCAUAGAAGGGGAUCUCAGGAGACUCCAUGACCAUGUUCUUUCGACAGAGAGAAGCCUCCUCGCCUCGGAUGAUCCAGCAUACCCAUUUUAUACGGUUCAUGUGCUGAGCAGUUGCAAGAUGUAUGUCCACACAUGCCCCGCGGACCUCUUCUUCCUGAGGUUUGAUUACAUCUUCCAGAUGUUUCAAAUGAGGACACUCGAUUUUACGUUCGUCCGCCUGUAUGCGCUGCACAUGAACUACAUCGUCGGGAGAGAGCAAGUCACCGGACUUGCGGUCGCGGACCCAUACUACAUGCAUGAGGGCUUCUUGUCAGUCAACGACGCCAACCGUCAAUAUGCGAGUCAGUACAUCGAAGAAUUCUUGGUCAGCAAUAAGGACAAAGAAAUGAUUCUCCUACCUUAUCAUCCCACAUAAGUCAUCCGCGGAUAGCACUAUAACGCAUACAUCCUUUCGUGCAUUUCAAUAGUUACUUUGCACGCAUAGAGGCUAAACUUGAUCGUGUAUUUUGCGUAGCGGGGGGUGUCGUGCUCUAUAUUUGGACCCGUCGAAGAACAUACAGAAGAAAGAUUCUUCACACAUAAAGUAUGUUCUGGACAGAGCUAUGCUGGGCUUCAGCAUGCGGGGUGGCUACAUCCAACACAAAAAAAACAAAUAAGGCCGGGCUUUGUUUCAGCCACAAGACAGACUUAUGUUGCAUCCAGCAACCGGCAAGAAGUGAGAAUGAUGGAUUCUACGUCAUCCAUCUAAUGAUGGAGUACAGAAGGGAUGUCCAAUCACUUUGCAUGAAAUCUUCAUCCGAUACCUGUCGUGGUUCUAAGUCUGACAGUAGAAUGGGGGUAGGUAUGGAGAGGCAAGAUCCUAGCUAUGGAGUAGUUAUACACAUGAGUGUUUAACGAGUUCAGGCCCUUCUUUGAGGAAGUAAUAGCCCUACGUCUCGGAUCCCAGAGGCGGUCGACUGGUUUAUGUGUUUAAGGAUUACAGGGGUGCGAACCCUUCUACCAGUGGAGGGGGGUGGCUUAUAUAGAGGACGCCAGGACCCCAGCCAACCCACGUAGCAGAGGAUUAAACUACAUUAAGGUCGGGAGUUACUGGUAACGCCCUACUUAAAGUGUCAUCAUGACCAUUAAGACUACUUAAUUACAGACCGUUUGGAUACAGAGUAGAUCCUGAACUUCUGAUGGUCGAGUGAGUCUUCAUGGUCGAGUGUCUUUAGGUUCGUCGAGUGUCUUCUAGCCAGUCGAGCGGUGUCUCUCUUGGUCGAGUGGAACCUCUCCUAGUCGACUAGAAAGUAGCUUCGUCUAAAGAUGUCCUUGGGCAUGGUAUCCUAGAUAGGUCCAUGACCCUACCCUAGGUACAUAACAUCAUCAUUAGCCCCCGAAUGGAUCGAGGUUCGAGUGAGGAAGGAGUUGAUGAUUUUGGGCGCGAUUUCUCGCCACUCCUUUCUUUUUCUUCUUUUUUUUCUCUCCCUCAUUUCCUGCGCUUUGAUUAUGUCGUACCUUGGAUCGGCGAUUUUUCAUUCGGCGUUGGCGUCAACUUUUACUUCAGUCGCCUUGAUCCAUUCUUGUCUUCUGUCGAGUGAACUUUUGAACUUUGGUGAACUUCCGAGCGACGGAUCGCGGGAAAGAUAUCGUCUGACAGAUUGAUCUGCUGCCAGCGGAUUUUGCGGGAUCCGAAAUUUGGGAAGCGCGCGAAGCGGGGCGGUCUGCGGCAAUCGGACGGGAUAAGGUGUGGACGCCUCGAUUUCCGUGCCGCCUUUUUCGCCACGUAUCGUGCGUGCGCGACUGUUUCGGGAUGUGACAGGAUCGCUCUGACCCACUCGUCAGCCACUCGGAAGCGCCCUUAUAUAAAACGCCGGGGGAGGGUUUUUCGAAAAGUGCCUUCCCAUUCUUCUCUCUUCCCUCUUUGCCUCCGCCCACUGCGCCUGCUCUCGCUUCCGCCUACCCACCCCUCGCGCGCUUCGCCGGUGAUAAUGGUGAAGGAGAAGACGGCGGCCCUAGAGCGCGCGAAGAAGGCGACAGCGACGGGGCAAGCGAAGGGGAGAUCGUCCAGUCGGGGCGGAUCUUCGUCAAGGUCCCGCCUGCCGAAGGGUUGGGUCCAAGGGGAUUGGAUCCGCUCGACCAUCACUGAGAAAGAUCUCAACGACCUGGCCAAUGAGGGACUGAUCCCCCACGGGUCAGCGAGGCUCCCAGGGACCGAGUGUCAACCGCAGCCGCAUGAGGGUGAGUGCGUUCUCUUAGCCACUCACGUAGACCGUGGUUUUUCUCUGCCGCCGAGUGUUUUCUUCUGAGGGUUUCUGAAUUUCUUUGGGGCGCAACUCCACCACUUCAAUCCCAAUUCCAUCGCCUAUCUUGCUGCCUUUGUGUCCAUGUGCGAGAACUUCCUGGGUUGUCGACCGCACUGGGGUCUCUUCAAGCACAUAUUCACCUGUCGCUCAUAGACAGUGAAAAAGGCGAGUCCGGACGAUGAGAGGACCAAGGUUAUUCAGAUGUGCAGGGGUCUUGGGAUUCAGUUGAGGAAUAAGAGCACUUUCCCGGCCAUGACCCUUCCUGAGUCGGUCAGAGGGUGCCAGUCGACUUGGUUCUACUGCCAAGACGAGUCGACGCCGGGGCAGUCGACUGGUCUCCCUCCGUUCUCCAUGGACCGAGUGGACAAACCGUAUUCUCUGAAGGUGCUCCCUGAGGAGAAAGCCGAGGUAAAAAUGUUGAUGGAGCGCGUGGUCCAACUCAUUCAGGACGAAGUGACAGGCAUGGAUCUUCUGGAAGUCUUCCUUAGGCGGCGCAUCCAACCGCUUCAGUACCGAGGCCACCCGAUGUGGCUGUACUGCGGUACCGAAGACACCACUCGGGUCCAACCAGAAGCAGUCGACGACGCCGCGCUAGAGAGGUGGGUGGCCGCCAUCACAGGGAACAAGGACAACCCUCGAGGGGCUAGGAGGAUCCCGCCGCUCGACUAUACUUAUAUGCCGGACACGGUAUGGCCACUUAUCUCUGAUUGUGAUCUUGCUUUAUCCAUUCUGCUUUGCCGCGAAUUGGUCGAUUGAUCUUUGUUUUGCUUUGUUGUCUGACAGGCCACCACUGAAUUAUACUCGAUGCCCAAUGGAGCGCAGACACCGACUGAGGAGGAGGAAGGAAGCGGGGGCGAAAGCCCGAAGGAGUGGGAUUCGGAUGCUGACGACGACGACAAGGGCGAUGACUCUGGUGAGGAGGAAGAAGAGGAGGGGGAGGAGGAAGUUGUACCUCCCCGCUCGGAAAAACGCUCGAAGCUUGCCCAUGAUCCCGCGACUGAGCGUGGUAAGGGGGUCGCGACCGCUACCCAGUCGAACAAGCGCCCUCGGACUACUUCUCCGGCACCGACUGAGAAGGCUCCGAAGCAAUCUCGAGUGGCACCAUCGAAACCUGCGAAGGUCUUGCCGAAGAUGAAGAUGGUGAUCCCCACUAUCUCAGGGUAAUGGUAGUAUUGAGUUUUCUCCAUUUCAUGAACUUGUUCUUGUUCGACUCAUGGGCCAAUCGACUGAAUUUUGGAACUGCAGCGCUGCUACUUCCGAUACUUCGGCAAGGGCUGAAGACCACAAGAUGGAGGAUGCUUCUACCUCGAAACCUGGUAUGACUCGUGAUGCCGUUUUCAGUCGACUGACUUAUUGUCUCUAAUAUCGAUUCUUUCUGCAGUUUCAUCUAACAUUGUUAUUGACCUUCCUGACGACGACGACGAAGAACCACCACGGCAGAGGAGAAGCAAGAAAACGUCUGCUGGCAAGGUGACUCAGGAUGUGCCGGCACCCGAGAUGUUGGUCGUGGAGGGAGACAAUGUCACUCGACCCACCGUAACCUUUGCGGUGCCGUUGACGAGUGCUCACCCUUCGUCGUCGAGUGCUGCUCAACCCUCGCUUUUCUCCACCUAUCCCGUUCCAGAAGACCAAGCUAGUGCUGCCAGAGAAGCAAUACGCCAAGCGGGGGUCAUGAUGGAGCAAGUGAAGGAAAUACGAGAAGCCAGCCAGGCAGCCUAUGACGCCAGUUCGGCUCUUCAGAGUAAUGUUCAGGUCAGUCGGUCACCGCCUGUUCUGUUAGGAUAUGAUAUCUGUAAACUCUUCUUUCUGCAAUUCUUAGAGUUUGUCCUACACCCACUGGGUGUGUCGAUUGGAAUUCCGGAUUAGUGGGGGCACGCUGAGUGCACCCACUGGGUGUAGUCCCCAAGGCUAUGGUCGACUGCUGGCAGUCGACCAUAGGCUUUAUGUCUUAAGUUUUUUCCUUACUCAACUAGGUCGAAUAGAUUCAUAGACCGGUGGGGGCACGCUGAGUGCACCCACUGGGUGUAGUCCCCGAGACUGUGGUCCACUACGGGCAGUUGACUAUAGUCUGAAGAACAUCUCCCGUUUUUUUUUGCGGGCGUUGUUGGUCGACUGGUCGACUCUAAGUGAUGAAACUAGUGGGGGCACGCUGAGUGCACCCACUGGGUGUAGUCCCCGAGACUAUGGUCGAAUGUUUGCAUUCGGCCGUAGUCUUAGAAACGCUAUGAUUUUUCCUUACUCACUCGGAAGUGAAUUGUCUUUGACAUCUGUCGAUUGGUUCUUCGUAGAAAUCCUGUGACCUUGCGGCUCGUUAUACUGAGUUGGAGAACAAACACAUUCAGCUCGAGCUCGAUCUGAAACUGGCCCAAGAGAACUUGACGAAGGCGAAGGAGGAAGCUAAAGGUAUGCUUAGUGAGGUCUUUGACGACUGCCUUUGCCUCUCACUUGUUUCCGAAUCUAAUCUCACUGUAACUUUGCAGACAAAGUGAGGGAUGCCCUGAAGAAGCAAGAGCUUGACUUGGCUGAGAUGCAAAAAACUGCUUUAGAGAAGACCAGGCUUGCGGAUGAGAAGCUGGCUUCAGUGACCAAGCUUGAAGAAGAAAACACCAAUCUAAAAGCUGCUCUUGAUGCUGCCAACCAGGAGGUCAGUCGACAGAAAAGUGACAAGACCACCCUGAAUGACAAGGCCAGUGAGUUGAAGAGAAAGAAGAACGAUCUAGAGGCUUAUCUGGGUGGACUCGCCAAGAAGUUGUUCCUCAUGCUUGAAGGUAAUCCUUUGUAUCAAACAAAUAUUUUAAUUGUAACCUCCGACUGUUUGUCUUGACUCGGUGGUUGUGCUUGCAGAAUUUUGUCAGAACUUUGAAGAGGAGACUGGUCGACUGGAAGUAAACCUGGACCCCAUCAACUCUCCUGUGAAAGAUGAAGUCGCUAUGAACGUGCUCCGGCUUGAAUCUCGUGUUGCUCCUGUCAUCGAUUAUCUCGCAAGGCUGAAGGUCGCAACUUCUCACAUCGACACAACACUCUGGCCAAGAGAGACACUCCAGAACGACCUCGAGUCCCUGAUGACUCGACUGAACGAGGUCCCAAGUCGAGUGCAGGAGUGGAAGAAGUCUUCGUCCAGGUGCGGUGCGGAUGUUGCUCUGUCUCUGGUCCGCGUUCACUGCAAGGAUGCACAAGAGGACAAGCUGGUGGCUCUUAGGGUGGCUAACACCAAGAAGCACGAUUUCAGAUCUUUCAUGGAGACCUUCAUUGCCGCUGCCACUCGGAUUGCAGAUGGAAUUGAUCUGGACGAGUUUGUGGCACCUUCCAGCCCUCCACAGGAGGGGUAAAAAACUUCUGAGCUUGAUACUUUAAAUUUGCCUCGGUAUGCCGAGUGGGUUUUGUAACCGACAAACCUUAACAGGCCUAGCGCCUGAGCACUUUCGGUUCCGUUAGGCGUUAUCCAAACUUGGAUUCGUCGUUGAAUAUGUUUGCAUUUGGUUUGAGGUGUCUUUUGCAGGUUAAAGCGAAGCGCUUAUUGCAAUCGACUUGUUCCCCAAUACACUUAGGCGAGCACUGGGCUGCAGCUAAGUCCCCGAGUGAGAGGUUUGCUCUCCACUCGGUAGGAUUUUUAGAUACUUAGGCGAGCACAGGGCUGCAGCUAAGCCUCCGAGUGGGAGGUCUGCUCUCCACUCGGUAAGAUUUCAGAUACUUAGGCAAGCACUGGGAUGCAGCUAAGCCCUCGAGUGGGAGGUUUGCUCUACACUCGGUAGGAUUUUCACAUACUUAGGCGAGCGCUAGGCUGCAGCUAAGCCCCCGAGUGGGAGGUCUGCUCUCCACUCGGUAGGAUUUCAGAUACUUAGGCGAGCACUGGGCUGCAGCUAAGCCCCCGAGUGGGAGGUUUGCUCUCCACUCGGUAGGAUUUCAGAUACUUAGGCGAGCACUGGGCUGCAGCUAAGCCCCCGAGUGGGAGGUUUGCUCUCCAUUCGGUAGGAUUUCAGAUACUUAGGCGAGCACUGGGCUGCAACUAAGCCCCCGAGUGGGAGGUUUGCCCUCCACUCGGUAGGAUUUUGAAAUGGUGGCACAGCUCGGAAGGAGAGGGUACACCUCGUCCUCCUUGCAGAGCGCAUGUUGUACUUGUGGCGUAGCUCGGAAGGAGAGGGCAGCAGUCGACCUGCACCUCGUCCUCCUUGCGAAGCGCAUGUUGUGUUUGUACUUAGGUGAGCGCAAUGCUGCAGCUAAGCCUCCGAGUGGAAGGAUGGCUUACCACUCGACAGGAUUUUGUUUAUCUUAGGCGAGUACUUGGACUGCAGCUAAGCCUCCGAGUGGAAGGUUGGCUUACCACUCGGUAGGAUUUUGUUUAUCUUAGGCGAGUACUUGGACUGUAGCUAAGCCUCCGAGUGGAAGGCUGGCUUACCACUCGGUAGGAUUUUGUUUAUCUUAGGCGAGUACUUGGACUCCAGCUAAGCCUCCGAGUGGAAGGCUGGCUUACCACUCGGUAGGAUUUUAUUUAUCUUAGGCGAGUACUUGGACUGCAGCUAAGCCUCCGAGUGGAAGGCUGGCUUACCACUCGGUAGGAUUUUGUUUAUCUUAGGCGAAACGGAUUUCGCAGCUAAACCUUCGUGUGGGAGACUGGCUCACCACUCGGUUAGGAUUUUUUUACAGACUUGGGCGAAUCGGAUUCGCAGCCAAGCCACCCACUGGGGGAUUGUUUUGAGUGGACAAAAGAAAUAACGAUUACAGGGAAGAUUAUAAAACUCUUGUCUUUAAUAAAUAAACUAUAGAAGUACUUUUAUUACAACUCGUCCGAGUGAAUACUUAGGUGUAAAAGGGGCGGAGAAGUUCCGCGUUCCAAGCUCGGGGCUCGUCGAUCUGAUGCUCGACAUUGUAAAGACGGUAUGCUCCAUUGUGGAGAACCUUGGUGACGAUGAAGGGACCUUCCCAAGAAGGAGCAAGCUUGUGUGGUUUUUGCUGAUCCACUCGGAGAACUAAAUCUCCUUCCUGGAAGGCUCGACUCUUCACGUUUUUGGCGUGGAAGCGACGCAAGUAUUGUUGGUAAAUGGUCGAUCUGAUCAGAGCCAUCUCCCUCUCUUCCUCUAAAAGGUCGACUGCAUCCUGCCGCGCUUGUUCUGCUUCGGCUUCAGUGUAGAGCUCGGCCCGGGGAGCAUUGUGGAGAAGGUCACUCGGCAAGACUGCUUCAGCUCCCUAGACCAAGAAGAAUGGAGUUCUCCCAGUCGACCGGUUGGGUGUGGUCCUUAACCCCCAAAGCACUGAGGGAAGUUCGUCGACCCAUGCACCAGCCGCAUGCUUAAGAUCACGCAUCAAAUGGGGUUCAACCCUUUGAGAAUCAAACCGUUGGCUCGUUCUGCUUGUCCAUUCGACUGUGGGUGAGCGACUGAAGCAUAGUCGACUCGUGUGCCUUGAGAUGUGCAGAAAGCUCUGAACUCUUCGGAGUCGAAGUUUGACCCGUUGUCAGUGAUGAUGCUGUGCGGGACCCCAUAUCUGAAUAUCAAUUCUCUGAUGAAGCUGACAGCAGUACCGGCAUCGAGGUUCUUGAUGGGUUUAGCUUCGAUCCACUUAGUGAACUUGUCGACUGCUACCAGCACAUGGGUAAAACCGCUUCUGCCUAUUCUCAAAGGACCGACCAUAUCCAAACCCCACACUGCAAAGGGCCAGACGAGUGGUAUAGUCUUCAAAGCUGACGCGGGCUUGUGUGACAUAUCGGAGUAAAAUUGGCAUCCCUCGCACUUGUCGACUAUCUCCUUCGCCAUUUCAUUCGCUCUUGGCCAAUAAAAUCCGGCUCGGUAUGCUUUGGCCACGAUGGUCCGAGAGGACGCAUGAUGGCCACAGGUUCCCGAGUGGAUGUCAUCAAGGAUUAUUCGACCUUCCUCUGGCGUUAUGCAUUUCUGACCAACUCUAGUCGCGCUUUCUCUGUACAACUGUCCCUUUAUCACGGUAAAGGCUUUAGAUCGGCGGACGAUCUGUCGAGCCUCUUCUUCGUCCUCCGGGAGCUCUUUCCUCAAGAUAUACGCGAUAUAUGGAACUGUCCAAUCUGGAGUGAUCACUAGAACUUCCAUGAUCAGGUCGACCACUGUUGGGACUUCAACCUCAGUCGGGUCCGUGAUACUCUUAGGUUGCGGGGCUUCAUCGGUAAAAGGAUCUUCUACGGCUGACGGAGUGUGGAUAUGCUCCAAAAACACAUCACUGGGGAUGGCUUCUCUCUUGGAUCCUCUCUUCGCCAGAUCGUCAGCUGCUUGAUUUUUCAGUCGAGGUAUGUGGUGGAGCUCUAACCCUUCGAACUUCUUUUCGAGCUUCCUCACUGCAUUGCAGUAUCCAGUCAUGGCUGGGCUUCUAACGUCCCACUCCUUCAUCACUUGAUUGACCACCAAAUCUGAAUCGCCAUAGACCAUAAGGCGACGGACGCCGAGUGAAAUGGCCAUGCGUAAUCCAUACAAGAGUGCUUCAUAUUCUGCUUCAUUGUUGGAGGAAUCAAAGUGGAUCUGGAGCACCUAUCUGAGCUUGUCUCCUCGGGGGGAAACCAAAACAACCCCAGCACCAGAACCAUUUAACAUCUUAGAGCCAUCAAAGAACAUGGUCCAAUGCUCCGAGUGGACUUGAGUCGGUUGUUGUUGCUCAAUCCACUCGGCAAGGAAAUCUGCUAUAGCCUGGGACUUAAUGGCUUUCUUUGCCUCGAAUUUGAUAUCAAGGGGAAGGAGUUCAAUCGCCCAUUUAGCCACUCGACCAGUUGCAUCUCUGUUGUGCAGAAUUUCUGACAAUGGUGCGUCGCUGACGACUGUAAUGUCAUGAUCAGAGAAAUAAUGAGCAACCUUCUUCAUGGUCAUGUAGAUCCCAUAUACGAGCUUCUGAUAAUGAGGAUAUCUUUGCUUCGAUGGGGUCAAAACUUCAGAGAGAUAAUACACUGGGCGCUGAACUUUGAAGGCUUUCCCUUCUUCUUCCCGCUCGACCGUAAGUACUGUACUGACGACUUGUCCUGUGGCUGCAAUAUAAAGCAACAGAGGCUCUUUGCUGAUUGGAGCAGCAAGCACCGGCUGGGUGGAGAGCAGAGUUUUUAACUCGGCAAACGCUACAUCAGCUUCUGGAGUCCACUCGAACUUGUCUGCCUUCUUCAUCAGUCGGUAAUGGGGCAGCGCCUUUUCACCGAGGCGAGAGAUGAAUUGACUUAACGCGGCCAAGCAUCCAGUAAGCUUCUGGACGUCGUGCACACGCACAGGGCGUUUCAUUCGGAGUAUGGUGCCAACUUUUUCUGGGUUAGCGUCGAUUCCUCGUUCGGAAACGAGAAAACCGAGUAACUUUUCGCCAAGUACUCCGAAUGUGCACUUUGAUGGAUUGAGCUUGAUAUCAUUCCUCCUGAGAUUGGCAAAUGUUUCAGCUAAGUCAGUCAACAGGUCGGAACCCUUUUAUGACUUGACCACGAUAUCAUCCAUGUACGCUUCCACAUUCCGACUGAUUUGAGUGAGCAAGCACUUUUGAAUCAUUCUCAUGAACGUGGCUCCGGCAUUCUUGAGGCCGAAUGGCAUGGUGAUAUAGCAGAAGCACCCGAAUGGAGUGAUGAAAGCUGUUUUGAUUUCGUCAGGCCCAUACAGACGGAUCUGAUGAUACCUGGAAUAAGCGUCUAGAAAAGACAAUUUCUCGCACCCUGCGGUCGAGUCGACAAUUUGGUCGAUGCGAGGGAGAGGAAAAUGAUCUUUCGGGCAGGCCCGAUUGAUAUGUUUGAAAUCAAUGCACAUACGAAGUGAAUUGUCCUUCUUGGGAACCAUCACGACAUUGGCGAGCCACUCGGAGUGGUAUAUCUCUCGGAUGAACUCUGCUGCAAGGAGUCGAGCCACCUCCUCGCCAAUGGCUUUUUUCUUCUGAACGGCGGACCGUCGAAGAUGUUCUUUAACAGGUUUUGCUUUUGAAUCGACUCUAAGGCGAUGCUCAGCCAGCUCCCUGGGAACACCCGGCAUGUCAGCUGGCUUCCAUGCAAAGAUGUCCCAGUUCUCACGGAGGAACUGGAUGAGCGCUUCUUCCUAUUUAGAGUCGAGUGUUGUGGAAAUAUGGGUCGGAGCUACAUUGGGGUCAGUCGGGUGGAUAUGAACUGGCUUCGUCUCACCGGACGACUGAAAUGCUGACUCUGUGGCGGGCUUCUUGGCCCACAGUAAAUCACUCGGAUCUGCAUUCUUCUUGUAUUCCUCCAGCUCUACCACUGUUAUCUGGUUAUCCGCAAUCUUUGAGCCUUUCUGGAAACACUCUUCCUCUUUCUUCCGGCUGCUAGUGAUGGUGAUCACGCCUUUGGGGCCAGGCAUCUUUAACUUGAGGUACACAUAACAUGGUCGAGCCAUGAAGCGGGCGUAGGCUGGUCUUCCCAGAAUAGCGUGGUAGGCGCUUCGGAAAUCCACGACUUCAAAUGUCAGCUUCUCUUUGCGGAAAUGCUUCGAGUCGCCGAACACUACAUCCAGAGCUAUUUGGCCGAGUGACUCAGCCUUCUUUCCUAGGAUGACUCCGUGAAAACUCAUGUUGCUGGAACUGAGCCUGGACAUCGGAAUGCCCAUUCCCUUGAGCGUCUCUGCAUACAUUAUAUUCAACCCACUGCCGCCAUCCAUCAAUACCUUCGUCAGUCGAGUGCCUUCGACGACCGGGUCGACCACCAGCGCUUGCCUCCCAGGGGUGGCAAUGUGAGUAGGAUGGUCAGACUGGUCGAAAGUAAUGGGAGUUUGCGACCAUCUCAGAUAGUUUGGUGUCGCCGGGGCGACCAUAUUGACCUCACGGUUGAUCACUUUCAGUCGACUUUUGCUCUCUACAUCAGCAAAAAUCAUAAGAGUGGAGUUGACAUGAGGGUACUCUCCAUCACUGUCCUCCUUGUCCUCAGCCUUGUCCGACUCCUUCUCUUUGUCUUUCGGUUGUUUCCCUUGAAACUGCUGGAUUAAGAGCUGGCACUAGCGAGUGGUAUGCUUUGGGUAGAUGAAGUUACCCUCUUCGUCUUUCUUCGUGUGGAUAUGACAUGGUAGAUCCAUCACGUCAUUACCUUCCUUAUCUUUUACCUUCUUGGGGUUCCAAGAUCCUUUGGGCUUCCCUUUGAAUUUGCCCUGAGUCACGGCCAGAGCCUCUCCAGGAGCAGCUGGCUCGGCCUUCCGCUUUUGCUUCCGACUGGAGUUUCCUUUAUCCGACUGACUCGGCUUGUACUUGCCGCUCCGGAGUCGGUCCUCUUCUUCGCCGUUGGCGUACUUGGUGUCUAUUUCCAUCAUCCGACUCAGGGUCAUAUCUCCAGUUCGACCAAACUUCAGGCUCAACUCUUUGUUCUUGACACCAUCCUUGAAGGCGCAGACCGCUUGAUGGUCCGACACAUUCUCUACAGUAUGAUGCAAAGUGAUUCAUCUCUGGAUGUAAUCCCUCAGUGUUUCACUCGACUUUUGUACACAAACUUGCAGCUCAGUCAAUCCAGCAGGUCGCUUGCAAGUUCCCUCAAACGUCCUGACGAACACUCGAGAAAGAUCUUCCCAAGUGUAAAUGCUGCUAGGAGCUAACUGAUUCAACCACGCCCUGGCUGAACCCUCUAGCAUAAGCGGUAAAUGUUUCAUGGCCACCUCAUCAUUACCGCCACCAAUCCGAACAGCCACUCGGUAGUCUUCGAGCCAAGUUUCAGGCUUAGACUCUCCGGUGAACUUACUCACCCCAGUAGCCAACCUGAAGUUGGGGGGUAUCACUGCGGCUCUGAUUGCUCUGCUAAAACAUUCUGGACCUGAAACGUGGACUCGGCUGCUUGUGGGCACAUCUCUAUCAUGACCACCUCUAUGAGCUCUGUUCCGGUCGACCAAACCUUGCACGAUGAUGGACCUCGCGUCAAAGCCUGGCUCUCUGGGGUCGACUGGAGCUCUCCGCCCAACACUGGGCUGGCGUCUGUCAUCUUGCUGCCGAUGGGCGGUAGACCCACUUCUCGGAGGAGGAGUGGGCACUCGACGCCUAUCAUCAUGAUCAAAUCGAUCAUCAUAGUGGUCCCGCCGGCCUUCACAUCCCACGCGCCUCGGAGGCAACCUGGGACUGUGAGCCGACUGAACAGUAUUCACAGCGACGGAUCGACUGUGAAUCCUGUUGCGCGACUGUGACACAGCUGAAUUCUGAUCUCCUGCCGCCCGGAGCAAAUCUCUGAUCUGCAUCAAGCCUCUUCCAGCCUCUGACUGAGAGGGCUGAAUUGACUCCGCUAUGUGGGCUGCAGCUGCCAAAUUCUGAAUUGGGGUUCGAUAUACCUGAGUCGGUUGCGGAAAGAGCUGACGUCGGUUGGAGUUGGUCGCUCGUUGACGUGCACGCUCGUCAAGUGCUCGCUGGAGGUUCUCCAGUCGGGUGCGUUCAGCCAGGUUGGCUAAACGCGCCUCUUCCAGGGCAUGAGCCUCAGGAGUUUCUCCUCCAAUGGGAGUAUGCAGGGCAUCCACGUUCCGGCGGCAAAGUUCUUCCCUCUGCUGAGAAGUGAGCGGCUCGGGCUGAUACUCUUCAUGGGCUUGAGCGGGGUCGUCCUCGUUGUCCAUCCUAUCGUCGCGGGGGAAACCGGGAGGACUACGAGGCCCGUUGACCAUCAGGACCUCCGCCACUGGAUCACCGCUAUCGCACUCGGAUGCAGUCUCUACGGAGCCAGUCGAACAGGCCGUGGAGAGAUUCGUCAGGCUCAAUUGCCGCGACUUGGGUGGUGGCCGAUUGGCGAGCCACUGCGUGUCUCACCCAUCGCUGGAGCCUUGACCGACCGGAGCGCUUGCGCUGGCGGGAGACAGGGAGGGAGGACGGUUUAGGAGUCGACUGGUAUGGGGUCGACGGCUGCCGCAGCAGGACGCCACGGACACACGCCCGAAAGUGCGUCGCCCCGCGGACGGGGAGCGCGCCGAUGUCGAGUGGUGCCUCCUGGAGCCAAGCGGAGUCGUUGGCGAUGAAAGUGAGCGCACCGAGACGGAUCUCGCGGCCCUCGACCAGAGCUCCGUCGGAAACCAUGAUGAAGGCGAUCAGACAAAUUGCAACUUCUCCAAAAAAAGUCGCUAAGACACCUGCCCCACGGUGGGCGCCAACUGUCGUGGUUCUAAGUCUGACAGUAGAAUGGGGGUAGGUAUGGAGAGGCAAGAUCCUAGCUAUGGAGUACUUGUACACACGAGUGUUUACCGAGUUCAGGCCCUUCUCUGAGGAAGUAAUAGCCCUACGUCUCGGAGCCCAGAGGCGGUCGACUGGUUUAUGUGUUUAAGGAUUACAGGGGUGCGAACCCUUCUACCAGUGGAGGGGGGUGGCUUAUAUAGAGGACGCCAGGACCCCAGCCAACCCAUGUAGCAGAGGAUUAAAGUACAUUAAGGUCGGGCGUUACUGGUAACACCCUACUUAAAGUGUCAUCAUGACCAUUAAGACUACUUAAUUACAGACCGUUUGGAUACAGAGUAGAUCCUGAACUCCUGAUGGUCGAGUGAGUCUUCAUGGUCGAGUGUCUUUAGGUUCGUCGAGUGUCUUCUAGCCGGUCGAGCGGUGUCUCUCUUGGUCGAGUGGAACCUCUCCUGGUCGACUGGAAGGUAGCUUCGUCUAAAGAUGUCCUUGGGCAUGGUAUCCUAGAUAGGUCCAUGACCCUACCCUAGGUACAUAACAUCAUCAAUACCCAUAUCCAGAGAUGGGCCGAAGCCUUUGGAGCCGUGCCGGAUAAUUGACUUCGAAAUGAUUUCUACCGGAUCCAACAGGAAAUUGCGUCCAUCAUCAUCAAAGAUGUCCUCGAAGAGAAUGGGAUGUUCUACGUCGGCCCAAUAUCGCGAGCUGACGUCCGAACCCGCAUUGCCCUACAGCGUCAGGACAUGACGCCUUUCACUAAGCUUGGGUCUGUCCUCCCGGAUAUGGACAGAUGGGAAGAGUGCACUGCUUAAAAACAAUGUGUAUGUUUAGUUACUUGUUACUUUCGGUACGACGAAACUUCGAAUCUCUCAGUACGACGAAACUAUUAGAUGUAUGGUGCCGCGCUCUAGUUAAUUACUUUCGGUACGAUAAAAUUUGUUAACUAUGUUUACUAUAUAUGUUGCUUCUAUUUCAUAACUGUUUUGUUGAAUUCGCUUCAUGGUAUAGAUAUGUGCAUCUCUGACAGGUAUAUAGAUCAACGAUGGCGAGGAAGUGGUAUGCCGUGUAUGUAGGGCAUGUUUCGGGUGUGUAUGAUGAGUGGCCAGAGUGUCAGGCCCAAGUCUCUGGCUUCUCCGGCGGAAGCCAGAAAGGGUUUGAUAGCAGAGCGGAAGCCGAAACUGGUUACUUGAGAUUCAUAGCACAACAGGGGAUUCAGAACCAGCGCCGCUGCAAAAACUACUACAUACUACCGCUUUUGAUCAUCGUGAUCGCUCUUAUCGUGUAUGUCUUAGUUUAGGUAGAUGAUGAAACAUGUGUCUACGGUGACAAUGUAAGAGACAUGUUAUCAUUAUAACUUGUAUCACUAUUUCAAGAUGAUGAUGAGAUCGACAUCAUUUGUUUUGAGACUAUGUUGAUAUGAUGAGACUAUGUUGUACCACUUCGAUGAUGAUGAUGAGACAUUCCUUUUUCAUAUAGUUUCAGUGUAUGUGUAUCUUGUAACUGUAUAAAACCUGUAAAAAUACGAAUACAGCAACAUAAAAAAAAUACUAGCAGUAGCGUGGGGUAUUCGAGUAGUAGCAGCACUGCUUACCAGUAGCGUUUUUUUGAAGGGCCACGCUACUAGUAUUAGAAGUAGCGAUGGACAGAGGCGCGCUACUGCUAGAUACAGAUAGCAGUAGCGCUAGUUCAAAAAAAACGCUACUGCUAAAAAAUAGAUGUAGCGUCGUAGCAGUAGCGCGCCUGCCAGCGCUACUAAUAGGCAAAAAACCAGCGCUACUGGUNNNNNNNNNNNNNNNNNNNNNNNNNNNNNNNNNNNNNNNNNNNNNNNNNNNNNNNNNNNNNNNNNNNNNNNNNNNNNNNNNNNNNNNNNNNNNNNNNNNNNNNNNNNNNNNNNNNNNNNNNNNNNNNNNNNNNNNNNNNNNNNNNNNNNNNNNNNNNNNNNNNNNNNNNNNNNNNNNNNNNNNNNNNNNNNNNNNNNNNNNNNNNNNNNNNNNNNNNNNNNNNNNNNNNNNNNNNNNNNNNNNNNNNNNNNNNNNNNNNNNNNNNNNNNNNNNNNNNNNNNNNNNNNNNNNNNNNNNNNNNNNNNNNNNNNNNNNNNNNNNNNNNNNGUUUUGACCCUUUUCUGAAACCAUUUCAAGAUCUGACCCCGGUUCAUAAAAAUUUCGGGAUCUGACCCUUUCUUACCGCCAAAGCCUUUGGCGGUAGGGUAUAACAGCCUACCGCCAAGGCCCCUGGCGGUAAGAAAGACCCCUACCGCCAAACAGGCUGGCGGUAGGCUGUACAACCCUACCGCCAAGGUGUCCGGCGGUAGGUGCGAGCAUGCACUGUGUUCCAUACUUAGAAAAAAAACAACCGUACCGCCAGAGGCCUUGGCGGUAGGUUGUUAUACCCUACCGCUAGGGGCCUUGGCGGUAGGCUGUUAUACCCUACCGCCAGGGGCUUUGGCAGUAAGAAAAGGGUCAGAUCCCGAAAUUUUUACGAACCAGGGUCAGAUUUCGAAUAGGUUUCAGAAAAGGGUCAAAACACGAAAUUUAGAUAGAAAUGCACUAGGGUUGAUGGCGGCGCCGCAGCCCGAGUAAAUAGUAAAAAAUAAUCACUUUGAAGGCUACGUUAGCAAAAACCAUUAAGUUAUAAUUUUCUUUUACAGAAAACACCACAUCUUGUGUAAUUCUUUAGCAAGACCCAUUGAUCGGUGGCUUUGCCUCGGUUAAGCGCAUUUAUGACAGAUGGGGCCCAUGUGGCACUAUUUACCAUCUCACCGAUAGCCAAUGUUGUCAUUACAUCCCGUCUAGUGCCCUUCUCUUAGCCGCACGAGGACCUGCAUCCGAGACGAGUCCUACCGCCGGUCGAGGCAGUGCCCCCGGCCAAGGCCUUAGCCCGUCCCAUCCCCUGGCCCCGACUGUGCCAGCCUAGUCGCCGCCGAGGCCGGUGGGGUUCUUGACGGUCUCCGCGACGCCCUCGACGGCACUCUACAUGACCAGCUGCGCCUACCUGCCGACCUCCUACAUGACACCGUUGACCUAGUUGAUUCCCGACCCGGCCGCGUCGUGAGCAGCGCCCGCCGCGCUGUGCGUCGUCCCCGUGACGUCUUGUGCCACAUGGUCGGUCGUGCGGAUCUGGCGGAGCCGGGGCAUGGUCGCCUGCUGGCGGCGUGAACCCUAGCCGAGGUCGCUCGUGGCUGGGACCAACGAGUUAGGGACGAACACGAACCUCUCGUCUCUGGAUCUCUGGAUCGUGCGUUUUAGGCCGUCGUCAGCCUCGACUCCGAACAGGAGCAGCACGACAUCGUCACCGCGCGGGGGCCCUCUGCCACUACACCGUCCUUUACCUCUGGUGCUUGGCUGAGGCACGCGACGACGGACGCAGGGCACUUCUCCGCCGGCCUGCUUGUUGCACGCAAGGUGCUCGAUGAAAUGGUGUAGAGAUGAUGAUUUUUUUUUGAAAGGAAGGGGAGGAGUGUUACACAGACAAGUAGGCCCCAUGUCCAGCAAACCAUUUAAUGUAACGGUGUGUGAGAAAUUUGUGUCAUGUCCUGACUGUCGGGCCUCAUCUGACAUAAUCUCACUUAACAGAGCCAGACCCGUCGAUUAGUGGUUUUUGCAAAAUGAUUACACAAGACGUGGUGUUUUCUACAACAAAAAAGUUGCAACGCAGUAUUUUCUGCUAACCAGGCCUUCAAAAUGAUGGUUUCAUACAAUUUACUCCCGCAACCCUCUAGGAACGGUUCACCAUCACCUCUGCUCCCUCGAAAAAAACUACAAGACUGAGUGUAACCCUCAGUCAAGUUAGACCCACUCUGAUUCGUGACAUGUGAUGGAACCCACAAACCAUGUACUAGAAUCCCAAAUACUUUCCCUAAAAAAAUCCCAAAUACUAAUUCCAUUCCGGGUGAAGCUACACCUACGGAUUCUUUAUGGGGGAAUUGCCGACUAUACCUGGCCGGGUCUGGGCCUAGAUUUUGAGCUUGAAGGCCGGGCUGGGCCCGGGCCCGCCAUAUUUGCGAUUUAGCGAAGAGGCCAGGUGGGCUUUUACACUGAUGGGUCGGGCAUGUGCCUGAUUUCUGGGCCCGACGUCCGGGCCGAGCCCGGGCCGGGCCGAGGGAUGGCCAAGUUUACUGACCGAGAUGUGGAGAGCAGAGCAGGUUCAAAUUCAGGGGGGUUGGGGUGGCUAAUUAGGAGGGGCAAGUGGAUCCGUACGAGCUUAUGUAGCGUUAACACCCGUAGGUCAACACUUCAAAAAAUAAGCACCCGUUCCAUUUCCCCAACUCUCUUCCCUGAUUUUGGAUUCACUUGAUUUUCGCAUUUCAUUACAUUUGCUUAGGGUUUCGACAAGACUCUCAUUUGGAUACGCUACCGCGCUCUAAAGAAAGUGGGUGGCUUGCCCGACAUGUCAAUACUCUCAUGACAGGGACAACCACCAACAUCAUGUCAAUGGUGAGUAGUGGCGGAGCUUCUCCAGGGUCACUGAUACAUCCAUUUUGCAUCAUGCUCUCAUAUUGAUAUUUAUUGCAUUAUGGGCUGUUAUUACAUGAUAUAUCACAAUACUUAUGCCUAUUCUCCCUUAUUUUACAAGGUUUACAUGAAGAGGGAGAAUGCCGGCAGCUAGGAUUCUGGGCUGGAAAAGGAGCAAAUAUUAGAGACCUAUUCUGCACAGCUCCAAAAGUCCUGAAACUCCACAAAGUCAUUUUUGGAAUUAAUAAAAAAUACUGGUGAAAGAAUCAGCGUCAGGGGGCCCACACCCUAUCCACGAGAGUGCCCCCCCUAGGGCGCGCCCCCUGCCUCAUGGGCCCCCUGACAGCCCUCCGGUGGCCAUCUUCUGCUAUAUGAAGUCUUCUAUCCUGAAAAAAAUAUCAGAAGCAAGCUUACGAGACGAAACUCCACCGCCAUGAGGCGGAACCUUGGCGGAACCAAUCUAGGGCUCCCGCGGAGCUGUUCUGGAGGGGAAACUUCCCUCCGGGAGGGGCAAAUCAUCACCAUCGUCAUCACCAACGAUCCUCUCACCGGGAGGGGCUCAAUCUCCAUCAACAUCUUCACCAGCACCAUCUCCUCUGAAACCCUAGUUCAUUUCUUGUAUCCAAUCUUUGUACCAAAACCUCAGAUUGGUACCUAUGGGUUGCUAGUAGUGUUGAUUACUCCUUGUAGUUGAUGCUAGUUGGUUAUUUGGUGGAAGAUCAUAUGUUCAGAUCCUUAAUGCAUAUCAAUACCCCUCUGAUUAUGAACAUGAAUAUGAUUUGUGAGUAGUACGUUUGUUCCUGAGGACAUGGGAGAAGUCUUGCUAUAAGUAUUCAUGUGAAUUUGGUAUUCGUUCGAUAUUUUGAUAAGAUGUAUGUUGUCUAUCCUCUAGUGGUGUUAUGUGAACGUCGACUACAUGACACUUCACCAUUGUUUGGGCCUAGAGGAAGGCAUUGAGAAGUAAUAAGUAUAUGAUGGGUUGCUAGAGUGACAGAAGCUUAAACCCUAGUUUAUGCGUUGCUUUGUAAGGGACUGCUUUGGAUCCAUAUGUUUCAUGCUAUGGUUAGGUUUACCUUAAUACUUCUUUUGUAGUUGUGGAUGCUUGCAAUAGGGGUUAAUCAUAAGUUGGAUGCUUGUAUAAGAAAGGGCAGUACCCAAGCACCGGUCCACCCACAUAUCAAAUUAUCAAAGUAACGAACGCGAAUCAUAUAAGCGUGAUGAAAACUAGCUUGACGAUAAUUCCCAUGUGUCCUCGGGAGCGCUUUUCUAACUUGUCCAGACUUGUCCUUUGCUACAAAAAGGAUUGGGCCACCUUGCUGCACCUUAUUUACUUUCAUUGCUUGUUACCUAUUACAAAUUAUCUUAUCACAAAACUAUUUGUUACCUACAAUUUCAGCGCUUGCAGAGAAUACCUUACUGAAAACCGCUUGUCAUUUCCUUCUGCUCCUCGUUGGGUUCGACACUCUUACUUAUCGAAAGGACUACAAUAGAUCCCCUACACUUGUGGGUCAUCAAGAAUCUUUUCUGGUGCCGUUGCCGGGGAGUGAAGUGCCUUUAGUAAGUGGAACUUGGUAAGGAAAAAUCCAUAUAGUGUGCUGAAAUUUACUGUCACUUGUUACUAUGGAAACUAAUCCUUUGAGGGGCUUGUUCGGGGUAUCUUCACCCCAACCAGUAGAGCAAAGAGUUGCUCCUCAACCUACUAAACCUACUGAAAAUGUUUACUUUGAAAUUCCUUCGGGUAUGGUAGAGAAACUGCUAGCUAAUCCUUUUACAGGAGAUGGAACAUUACAUCCCGACUUGCACCUAAUCUAUGUAGAUGAAGUUUGUGGAUUAUUUAAGCUUGCGGGUAUGCCUGAGGAUGUUAUCAAGAAGAAGGUCUUCCCUUUAUCUUUGAAGGGAGACGCAUUGACAUGGUAUAGGCUAUGUGAUGAUAUGGGAUCCUGGGACUAUAGACGAUUGAAAUUGGAAUUUCACUAGAAGUUUUAUCCUAUGCAUCUUGUUCAUCGUGAUCGUAAUUAUAUAUAUAUAUAUAUAUAAUUUAUGGCCUCGCGAAGGAGAAAGCAUCGCUCAAGCUUGGGGGAUGCUUAAUUCAAUGUUAUAUUCAUGCCCCAAUCAUGAACUCUCAAGAGAAAUGAUUAUUCAAAAAUUUAUGAUCGGCUUUCUCUCAACUACCGCACCAUGCUUGAUACUUCUUGUGCUGGGUCUUUUAUGAUGAAGACUAUUGAAUUCAAGUGGAAUUUAUUGGAAAGAAUUAAACGCAACACUGAAGAUUGGGAUUCCGAUGAUGGAAGAGGAAAGAUUAUUGAAAACUCUGAAGAAGCACCGUGCUGCUAUUGGAUAUACUCUUGAUGAUCUUAAGGGCAUUAGUCCCACUCUAUGUAAACACAAAAUAAAGUUGGAAUAAGAUGUCAAACUAGUUAUUGAUCACCAACGAUGGUUAAAUCCUAAGAUGAAGGAAGUGGUAAGAAAGGAAAUACUAAAACUCCUUGAGGCAGGUAUAAUUUAUCCCGUUGCUAAUAGUAAGUGGGUAAGUCAUGUCCAUUGUGUCCCUAAGAAGGGAGGUAUUACUAUUGUUCCUAAUGGUAAAGAUGAAUUGAUCCCACAAAGAAUUAUUACAGGUUAUAGGAUGGUAAUUGAUUUUCGUAAAUUAAAUAAAGCUACUAAAAAGGAUCAUUACCCUUUACCUUUUACUGAUCAAAUGCUAGAAAGACUAUCCAAACAUACACAUUUUUGCUUUGUAGAUGGUUACUCUGGUUUCUCUCAAAUACCUGUGCCAGCGGAGGAUCAAGAAAAGUCCACUUUUACUUGCCCUUUCGGUACUUUUGCUUAUAGACGUGUGCCUUUUGGUUUAUGUAAUGCACCUGCUACUUUUCAAAGAUGCAUGAUGGCUAUAUUCUCUGACUUUUGUGAAAAGAUUUGUGAGGUAUUCAUGGAUGAUUUCUCUAUUUAUGGAUCCUCUUUUGAUGAUUUCUUGAGCAACCUUGAACGAGUUUUGCAGAGAUGCGAAGAUACUAGUCUUGUUUUGAACUAGGAGAAGUGCCACUUUAUGUUUAAUGAAGGCAUUAUCUUGGGGCAUAAAAUUUCUGAAAGAGGUAUUGAAGUUGAUAAAGCUAAAGUUGAUGCAAUUGAAAAGAUGUCGUGUCCCAAGGACAUCAAAGGUAUAAGAAGUUUCCACGGUCAUGCCGGUUUUUAUAGGAGGUUCAUUAAGGACUUUUCAAAAAUUUCUAGGCCUUUGACUAAUCUAUUACAAAAAGAUAUUCCUUUUGUCUUCGAUGAUGAUUGUGUAGAAGCAUUUGAAAUACUUCAGAAAGCUUUGAUUUCUGCACCUAUUGUUCAGCCACCUGAUUGGAAUUUACCCUUUGAAAUUAUGUGUGAUGCUAGUGAUUAUGUUGUAGGUGCUGUUCUAGGACAAAGAGUUGAUAAGAAACUAAAUGUUAUUCAAUAUGCUAGUAAAACUCUAGACAGUGCCCAGAGAAAUUCUGCUACUACUGAAAAAGAAUUUUUUGCAGUUGUAUUUGCUUGUGAUAAGUUCAGACCUUAUAUUGUUGAUUCUAAAGUAACUAUUCACACUGAUCAUGCUUCUAUUAAAUAUCUUAUGGAAAAGAAAGAUGCUAAACCUAGACUUAUUAGAUGGGUUCUCUUGCUACAAGAAUUUGAUUUACAUAUUAUUGAUAGAAAGGGAGCUGAGAACCCCGUUGCAGACAACUUAUCUAGGUUAGAGAAUAUUCUUGAUGACCCACUACCUAUUAAUGAUAGCUUUCAUGAUGAACAAUUAGCUGUCAUAAAUGCUUCUCAUACUGCUCCAUGGUAUGCUGAUUAUGCUAAUUACAUUGUUGCUAAAUUCAUACCACCCAGUUUUACAUACCAGCAAAAGAAAAAGUUCUUCUAUGAUUUAAGACAUUACUUCUGAGAUGACCAACACCUUUAUAAAGAAGGAGUAGAUGGUGUUAUUAGACGUUGUGUACCUGAGCAUGAACAUGAACAGAUCCUAUGCAAGUGUCACUCCGAGGCAUAUGGAGGACACCACGCUGGAGAUAGAACUGCACAUAAGGUAUUGCAAUCCGGUUUUUAUUGGCCUACUCUCUUCAAAGAUGCCCGUAGGUUUGUCUUGUCUUGUGAUGAAUGUCAAAUAUUGGUAAUAUUAGUAAACGUCAAGAAAUGCCUAUGAACUAUUCUCUUGUUAUUGAGCCAUUUGAUGUUUGGGGCUUUGAUUAUAUGGGACAUUUUCCUGCCUCUAAUGGGUAUACAAAUAUUUUAGUUGUUGUUGAUUAUGUUACUAAGUGGGUAGAAGCUAUUCUAACUAGUAGUGCUGAUCAUAACACAUCUAUUAAGAUGCUUAAAGAAGUUAUUUUUCCGAGGUUUGGAGUCCCUAGAUACUUAAUGACUGAUGGUGGUUCACAUUUUAUUCAUGGUGCUUUUCGUAAAAUGCUUGCUAAGUAUGAUGUUAAUCAUAGAAUUGCAUCUCCUUAUCACCCAUAGUAUAGUGGCCAAGUAGAGCUGAGUAACAGAGAGCUUAAAUUAAUUUUGCAAAAGACUGUUAAUAGAUCUAGAAAGAAUUGGUCCAAGAAACUUGAUGAUGCAUUAUGGGCUUAUAGAACUGCAUAUAAAAAUCCUAUGGGUAUGUCUCCAUAUAAAAUGGUUUAUGGAAAAGCUUGUCACUUACCUCUCGAACUAGAACAUAAGGCAUAUUGGGCUAUUAAAGAGCCCAAUUAUGAUUUCAAACUUGCUGGUGAGAAAAGCGGUUAUUUGACAUUAGCUCACUUGAUGAAUGGAGAACCCAAGAUUAUGAAAAUGCCAAACUGUUUAAGGAAAAGGUUAAAAGAUGGCAUGACAAAAGGAUACAAAAGUGUGAGUUUAAUGUAGGUGACUAUGUUGCUUUUCAACUCUCGUUUAAGAUUUUUUGCAGGAAAACUUCUCUCUAAAUGGGAAGGCCCUUAUGUUAUUGAGUAAGUAUGUCGUUCCGGUGCCAUAAAAAUCAACAACUUCGAAGGCACAAAUCCGAAGGUGGUGAACGGUCAAAGAAUCAAACAUUAUAUCUCAGGUAACCCAAUAAAUGUUGAAACUAAUGUUAUUGAAACCGUAACCCCGGAGGAAUACAUAAGGGACACUUUUCAGAACGUUCUAGACUCCGAAAAGGAAUACGUACGUGGUACGGUAAGUAAACCAACUCCAAAUCAAUUCUAAUAGCAGUAUUUCUCCGUUUUGGAAUAUUUAAGAAAAUAGGAAAAUAAAAAGUAGUCCAGGAAGGACAUGAGGCGUCCACGAGGGUGGAGGGCGCGCCCCCUGCCUCGUGGGCACCUCGUGUGCUCUCCGGACUCCGUUUUCUUGCACGAUACUUCUUUUGGUCGGUAAAAAUUCAUUAUAUAAUCUCCCGAAGGUUUUGACCACUAUAUCAUGCAAAUAUCCUCUGUCUUUGUUUCGAGUUGUUUCUGUCGCAGGCUAGAACAAUAUGUCAUCCCAGGAUGCGGAGAGAGAAAGCUAUGUGGCUGAUUACCUUGUAGACCCGAAGGUCUACGGGGACGUGGACCAUCAUGGUUGGACCACGGAGGAAGAAGAAGAUUACGAGCCUAAGGGAAAGUAGGAGAAGAGCUCAGAUGAAGGAGAAGUCUCAUUACCUCAACCUGGGUACAUGCAUGUGGAGUUUAAAAAGUCAAGCCUCCCUGAUAGAGCAAAGAAACCUAAGAUCGAGUUUAUCCCUUUUCGUCUCUUGCAGGAGAACAAACAGGAACUGUGCAAAAAGAUAUUAAGCCUUGAGCAGGAGAUCGAUGAUCUAAGGGAGCAAAUUCUAUCCUCAAAUGCAAAUUAAGGAAGAAGCCUACAUCAUCAACAACACCACCUUCUUCACCGGCAAAGGAGACAUAAUCACAUGGGUAUGGGCACUCCCCUUGGCAACUGCCAAGCUUGGGGGAGGUGCCUCGAUAUCGUAUCAUCAUCACACUCCUAUCUUUACAGUUUUUCUUAGUUCGAUCCCUUUAGUAAUAUCUCGAUCUAGUAGAAUAAAGUUUUGGUAUGAUUUAGUUUUGAUUUUUCCCUUAUGGUCCCUUUAUAUGGUCCCUUUAUGUAAUCGAGUCUGUUAGCUAUAUUUAAUAAAGAUUAGUGUUAAGUCAAGGGCUUUGCUGUUUUGCCAUGAUCUUGAAAUAAUAAAAAGAAAUAGUAAUAAUAAAAAGGAAUAAAGAUAUCAUAUCGAUCUUAUGAAGAAUAAUGACUUCACAUAUAAAGAGUAUGAUGAAUAAAAGUUGUUGAGAGUUGGCAAACAUAGUUUUGGUCAUCGUUGCAAUUAAUAGGAAGUAAUAAAGAAACAGAGGUUCUCACAUGCAAAUAUACUCUCUUGGAUAUCUUUUAUGAUUGUGAGCACUCAUUAAAGUAUGACAUGCUAAAAGAGUUGAUGUUGGACAAGGAAGACAACAUAAUGGGUUAUGUUUUCUCACAUCUUAGUUAAAGUAUAUUGUCAUGGAUCGUCCAACAUGUUGAGCUUGCCUUUUCCUCUCAUGCUAGCCAAGUCCUUGCACUAAGUAGAAAUUACUUGUGCUUCCGAAAUACCCUUAAACUAGUUUUGCCAUGAGAGUCCACCAUAUCUACCUAUGGAUUGAGUAAGAUCCUUCAAGUAAGUUGUCAUGUUACAUGCAAUAAAAAUUGCUCUCUAGAUAUGUAUGACUUAUUAGUGUGGAGAAAAUAAGCUUUAUACGAUCUUGUGAUAUGGAAGUAAUAAAAGCGACGGACUGCAUAAUAAAGGUUCAUAUCACAAGUGGCAAUAUAAAGUGACGUUCUUUUGCAUUAAGGUUUCGUGCAUCCAACCAUAAAAGCACAUGACAACCUCUGUUUCCCUCUUCGAAGGGCCUAUCUUUUACUUUAUGUCUUAUACCUUAUGCAAGAGUCAAGGUGAUCUUCACCUUUCCUUUUUACAUUUUAUCCUUUGGCAAGCACCUCGUGUUGGAAAGAUCCUGAUAUAUAUAUAUAUACACACACACACACACACAUAUAUAUAUAUAUAUAUCCAAUUGGAUGUAAGUUAGCAUGAACUAUUAUUGUUGACAUUGCCCUUGAGGUGAAAGGUUGGGAGGCAACACUAUAAGCCCCUAUCUUUCUCUGUGUCGGAUUAAAACUCCAAACCCAUAAGUAUUGCGUGAGUGUUAGCAAUUGUGAAAGACUAAAUGAUGGUUGAGUAUGUGGACUUGCUGAAAAGCUCUUAUAUUAACUCUUUUCGAUGUUAUGAUAAAUUGCAAUUGCUUCAAUGACCAAGAUUAUAGUUGCUAGUUUUCAAUGAAGUUUUUGAGUCAUACUUGACAUUAUGAGUAGAUUGUUAUUUCAAUAUAAAUAAUCAUAUAACAAUAUAUAUAUAUAUAUAUACAUAUAUAUAUAUACAUAUAUAUAUAUAUAUAGGAACCCCUCUAGAGUUUCUAAAUAAGCUUAUUUAGGAACCCCCACCCCCAAGCUACUAACUUACUAAAAAUAGCCCACCCCGACAACCUCCUACUGCGUCGGUGUCCGACCACCACCCACCGCACAGCCGCCACCACCACCACCUAUCCUGCCGGCGCGCCGCCACCACCACCUACCCCGUCGGGCCGCCACCACCACCACAUCCCCCGCCGGCGUGCCACCACCACCACUCACCCCGCCGGCGCGCCACCAUCUCCAACCUCAGCAACGCCAGCUGCCCCCACGUCUGGAUCUCAGCGAGAGCACCAUCCCCAAUCAGGCUGCCGGGGUCCAGAGAGUUCGUGUGCCAGAUCCAUGGUUGCUCCAUCAAAGCUCACCCCAUCGCCCUCGUAACCCCUCCCCCGUCAUGCCCCUAUUUCCGGGCGUUGAGCAGGACCAUGGGGACCUUUGCCAUCAAUGGAUCCAUCCACGCGUUCAGCAGUUAGCCACCCGUUCUUGGCAGUUAGUCCCCGACAUCUCUGCUUCCCGUCAGCGUCGAGGUACAGGAGGACAGUGCUCCCAAACAGACCCGUAUCACUGGUCGAGCCGCCUAACUACUGGUCGAGCUGACCCGUCUCCCUCGAUGAAUCCACUAACCUCCUCUUGUGGUGGCUCUCCUAGCUAUCCUGAGGUCUCCCUUGCACACGGGAGGUGGGGAGCGCGUCGUUCGGCCCCUGGCCGCCUCCCCAUGGCUGCAUCCCCAUCGGCGGGUGCUCGCCUCAAGCCCUUGUAUGUGGAUUCGACGCUGUGGAAAGCAGCAAUCUGCUUUUUUAUACUUGGAAAAGCGAAGUUGGUUUACACGCAGAGGCAUCACUAUUAUUUGUUGUUGUUUCUACAUCUUCAGCUAGCAGCAACCACAGCAGGUUGUUAGGGGUGGCCAUGCCGACAGUUAAGAAAGACCAGUUAGAAGUGUGCGUGUGCGUGUGCGUGUGCGUGUGGGUGUGCGUGUGCGUGUGCGUGUGCGUGUGCGUGUGCAUGACGAGUUAGCUUAGGACAUGGUUCAUUUUCUGAUGUUGUGUGUGUGCCGAGUUGGCUUAGGCCAUGGUUCUUUCUUUCAUGCAGUAGCAAUUCGGUUAUAAAAGGCAGCGACAGUCAAGAAAAAAGCUGGAGAAUGGGGAGGACAAGAAUCCAGCAAGGGAGAAGGGCAAAAAAGAAAGUCGGUGAUCAAGGUACAUGUCUGAUUCUUGUUGUGUCUUCAUGAUAACUUCUCAACUAGGACCAUUAAUGUUGUCGUCAGUUUGAGGAGCCAUUGUGUUUCCUGUAAAAAUAGGUGAUAUAUUUUGCAAGGCAUUUUCUGUUCAGCAGUUAUGUGUUAUUAAGAAAAUAGGGUAGGUUUGGGUUCUUCUGCAGUUAACUAGAUAAAAAGGGGUUCGUCUUCAUCCAUCCACGCACACCAUCGGAUGUGUUUGUGCAUUGUUCAGUUAGCUUCCCUUAUUUCUAGCACGCAUAACAGUGGAUUCACAAACACAAAAAUCUCUCUCUAUCUCUGUGUGUGUGGAAGUUAGUAGGCAGAGGGCAACAGUUAGGGGAGAAAUGAAUGGUUUAUGUGUUCUAAAAAUAUUUGUUUUUUCUAUGGGUGUUUCAAUUGUCACAGGGUUUGAAAAUUCAGCAGUUAUACCUUCCAAGAAAAAAGAGUUAAUUUCGAGUGUGAUAGCAGUUCCUGAGAAAAAAAUUGUCUACCCAGAAAAACAGGAAGUUAACAUCAUAAUUUACAGCGGUUAACUUUACAAAUGUAUACUAGUUCGGGGUCUAUAGCAGUUAGUUUUUUUACAAGAACCCGUGUAGCAGUUAGCUGGGUAGAUUUUAUAAGUUAACUUUUACAAAAAGGUGCAGUUAACAAAACAACAUGUUUUUUUUAAAUGCGAGUUAAUUUUGAAGUUAACUUUUACAAUUUACAGUAGUUAAAAUCACAUUUUGCAACCGUUUUCACAAAAAGAGCAAAAAUAUGCAUGCAGAUAAAGUAUAGUUGACUUGCAUCCGAAAGGUAGACAGAUGGGAAGAUUUUGCAAAGACUUGAUAUAAAAAAUUGGCAGUUAGCUUGCAAGGUACACAAACAUUUUGGUCAUAACCGGGAUGCAUCGUAGUUUGCUAAAGAAAUCUAAUUUCUAGUGCUCAUAACUCUUUCUGUGUCUGUUUGAUCUUAUUGAGAGCACAAGUGACUAAUUAAUUAUAGCAAUUGCGUACUCUUUUCUCAUCAUUUUAUCAUCUGGUGGUGUUGAACCAGUGACCGUGUUUAGUGCUGCAUUAUGAUGUUCCUACUUCAUCUUUUGUGUUUGUUUCGUCUUCCCGGGAAUAAAAUUGAGUCAUUUUUAGUGCGUUCUUAUUGUUCUAGUCAUCAGUUUAUCAUUCCGCGUGUUCAACCACCAAAAUAGUGUCGUUCAGAAACGCAAAGACUAUAGAUAGUGACAUAUUCUAUUUUAUACUUUUUCAGACUUCCAAGGAAACAAGCAAUUAGAGUGAAAAGAAGAACUUACAAAAGAAGUAGAGUGCCUCAGAGCUGAUUUGCAACAAGGUAGAGAGAUGGAUCAUGCUCAAUCUGUUGCUCAACUGAAUACCUUGACCACUGAACUAGCCACUUACAAUGAACAAGCUAGAAAAUGUUUGAUAAACUGAAUGUUUGAGAGUUAAAGUGGUUCUUUUAGGCUUGUGCUUUCAGUAAAUUUGGUUUAUUUUCAUGUCACUAGUUGGCUUAUUAAUAUCCUUUUGUUCUGAAAAGACUUAUCAUUAUGCUUGUUCUCAAGAAACAGAGACCACUGCUCAAUUAGCUCUUGCCCCCAUGCUGCCAGCGGCGCGAUCCACGGUGCGUAGUUUGCCAAUGAUCAGUUUCAUGGAUUAGUUAGUUUCAGGGACUAGCUGCAGUUAUCUUGCGUCCAAACAAAUUAAGUGAUGUACACAACUAUGAUUUUGCAAAGCCCCUGCUUGCGUGAGGUACAAAAAAUAGCAAUCUAAUGAGAGGGUUCAGUUUGUUUGCCAAGCCCCUGCUUGCGUGAGGUACAAAAGAUAUUUUUAACCCCGGCAGUUAACUCGGUGUUAACUGCCGUAAUCCCUGGCAGUUAGCUAUUUUACUCCCAAUCGUUAGCUUGAACCGGGAAAACAAAAAAAGGUAUUUUCAAUCCUGACAGUUAACUAUGGCAGUCUCGACCAUUAGCUAUUCUAGUCCCGGCGGUUAACUUGACCAGGGAAAAAAUAGAAAAAAAAGGAAUUAAAAGCAAAAUAAGCAGAAAAAAGUAUUAUCAGCCAUUGCAGUUAGCUUGCUCAUCGCGUGCAGUUAGGUAUUUCAUACCCGCAGUUAGUGUGACCCAAUCAAAAAAGAAAAAAACAUUUUUAGUCCCGCAGUUAACUUGGUGCUAACUGUUGCGAUUCUCGGCAGUUAGCUAUUUCACCCCCGGAAGUUAACUUGACCUGAAGUAUAGAAGAAAAAAAACAAUUUUCUUUAGUCUCAGCAAUUAGCUUGUCAGCAUAUGUCAGUUAGCUAUUCCGCGCGAGCAGUUAGCGUGUACUGUAGCAAUUCGGGCAAAAAAUGUCAAAAAUGAUGUUGGUUUUUUGAAAACUGCUCUUAAACUGUAGCAAAUCUGAAAACAUGUUAUAUAUGCGAAAGUUUGGGCUAAUCGGUACCUUUCUAACACGCAUCAUUCUGACAAAAACUUUGAAAAAUCCUUUCACAAAAACAUUGAAAACUCAUUUGAUGGAUUUUCAGUAUUUUGAAUUUUGUUUAAAAACCGGAUCGAUUUAGGGAAAACGACCAAAAUGAGUUGUUUUGCUCCUUCUCAAUAGCUAUCCAAAGGUAUAUCAGUUGCAUCAAUCUGAUUAGCGGUUAAAUAAUUACGACCCAAAAACAGUGCGAAAAAACGAUGCCACAAAGAGUCCGCCCGACAAUUAACUUGUAUAGUUCGCACAAUUAGCUGUUUGUCUUAUUCAGGAAUGGGUUGUAGAAUAGCUGGGAUGUGUGUGUGUGUCUAUAUAUAUAUGGACAUAUUUAUAAGAAUUAUCAUGAUGCCUUCAUGUCCGUAUUUUUUUAUCAACACCUCUAUCUCUAAACAUAUGAACAUAUUUUUCGAUAUCGGCUUCCGCUUGAGGACAAGCGAGGUCUAAGCUUGGGAGAGUUGAUACGUCCAUUUUGCAUCAUGCUCUAAUAUUGAUAUUUAUUGCAUUAUGGACUGUUAUUACAUGAUAUAUCACAAUACGUAUGCCUAUUCUCUCUUAUUUUACAACGUUUGCAUGAAGAGGGAGAAUGUCGGCAGCUGGGAUUUUGGGCUGGAAAAGGAGCAAAUAUUAGAGACCUAUUCUGCACAGCUCCAAAAGUCUUGAAACUCCACGAGAGUCAUUUUUUGAAUUAAUAAAAAAUAUUGGCAAAAGAAUCAACGUCAUGGGCCCACACCCUGUCCACGAGGGUGGGGGCGCCCCCCCCCCUAGGGCGCGCCCCCUGCCUCGUGGGCCCCUUGACAGCCCUCCGGUGGCCAUCUUCUGCUAUAUGAAGUCUUUUACCCUAAAAAAAUCAGAAGCAAGCUUACGGGACGAAACUCCAUCGCCACGAGGCGGAACCUUGGCGGAACCAAUCUAGGGCUCCGGCAGAGCUGUUCUGCCGGGGAAACUUCCCUCUGGGAGGAGGAAAUCAUCACCAUCGUCAUCACCAACGAUCCUCUCAUCAGGAGGGGGUCAAUCUCCAUCAACAUCUUCACCAGCACCAUCUCCUCUCAAACCUUAGUUCAACUCUUGUAUCCAAUCUUUGUACCAAAACCUCAGAUUGGUACCUGUGGGUUGCUAGUAGUGUUGAUUACUCCUUGUAGUUGAUGCUAGUUGGUUAUUUGGUGGAGAUCAUAUGUUCAGAUCCUUAAUGCAUAUCAAUACUCCUCUAAUUAUGAACAUGAAUAUGAUUCGUGAGUAGUACGUUUGUUCCUGAGGACAUGGGAGAAGUCUUGCUAUAAGUAGUCAUGUGAAUUUGGUAUUUGUUCAAUAUUUUGAUAAGAUGUAUGUUAUCUAUCCUCUAGUGGUGUUAUGUGAACGUCGACUACAUGACACUUCACUAUUGUUUGGGCCUAGAGGAAGGCAUUGGGAAGUAAUAAGUAGAUGAUGGGUUGCUAGAGUGACAGAAGCUUAAACCCUACUUUAUGUGUUGCUUCGUAAGGGACUGAUUUGAAUCCAUAUGUUUCAUGUUAUGGUUAGGUUUACCUUAAUACUUCUUUUGUAGUUGCAGAUGCUUGCAAUACGGGUUAAUCAUAAGUGGGAUGCUUGUCCAAGAAAGGGCAGUACCCAAGCACCGGUCCACCCACAUAUCAAAUUAUCAAAGUAACGAACGCGAAUCAUAUGAGCGUGAUUAAAACUAGCUUGACGAUAAUUCCCAUGUGUCCUCGGGAGCGCUUUUCUCAUAUAAGAACUUGUCCAGGCUUGUUCUUUGCUACAAAAAGGAUUGGGCCACCUUGCUGCACCUUAUUUCUUUCAUUGCUUGUUACCCGUUACAAAUUAUCUUAUCACAAAACUAUUUGUUACCUACAAUUUCAGCGCUUGCAGAGAAUACCUUAUUGAAAACCGCUUGUCAUUUCCUUCUGCUCUUCGUUGGGUUCGACACUCUUACUUAUCGAAAGGACUAUGAUAGAUCCCCUACACUUGUGGGUCAUCAGUCACAACCUGGGCUCUCCCCCCUCCCCCACCCAUCCACCCAUGUUUUUUCCCUGGUAUAUCCCCUAGUAUUUAGCCCAUGUGUCAAGUAGAAGAGGCCCAAAAUGCAUUUUGUUNNNNNNNNNNNNNNNNNNNNNNNNNNNNNNNNNNNNNNNNNNNNNNNNNNNNNNNNNNNNNNNNNNNNNNNNNNNNNNNNNNNNNNNNNNNNNNNNNNNNNNNNNNNNNNNNNNNNNNNNNNNNNNNNNNNNNNNNNNNNNNNNNNNNNNNNNNNNNNNNNNNNNNNNNNNNNNNNNNNNNNNNNNNNNNNNNNNNNNNNNNNNNNNNNNNNNNNNNNNNNNNNNNNNNNNNNNNNNNNNNNNNNNNNNNNNNNNNNNNNNNNNNNNNNNNNNNNNNNNNNNNNNNNNNNNNNNNNNNNNNNNNNNNNNNNNNNNNNNNNNNNNNNNNNNNNNNNNNNNNNNNNNNNNNNNNNNNNNNNNNNNNNNNNNNNNNNNNNNNNNNNNNNNNNNNNNNNNNNNNNNNNNNNNNNNNNNNNNNNNNNNNNNNNNNCACUGACGGUGAGCACACACACUCCCCAUAUGUAGCCCAUACUCUCAUGGCGAUUGUGGUUGUGGCAUACAAUCAAAGGUUAUUAUUUUAAGCCGACGGAGAUAUCACAAAGUCGGUUGUGUUGUUAGUCGGUUGGACUAAGAUGUAAGCGUAGAUCUGACAAUAGUCGACGGGUAACGAACAUGUUGUUACCGAGGGCAGAGGCAGGGAACUAGAACGAGCCAUGGCUUCCUCCAUGAUCCCACAUUUUGCACAUAUGUGCUUGUUUUAUGCACCUAAUCUCUCAUAUCUUGAAAAAAACAUUUAUUAGUAUUUUUUAACAGAUUUAUUACUACAAUAUGGCCCAUGUUAUGAAAAGUUUGACUCAUUUCCCUUCCUCCUUCAAUCUUCGAUUCUUGACUCCACCACUGGUUGCAAGCUUGCAUCAUUUCUAAACUUGGUCACAAUAGCAACAUGCCAACAUCUCUUUUCAAAAUAAGAAGUUAGGCAUUAGUUAUUUAGUGUCUUGAGUUUGAACAAAGACGAAAGCUGGUUGUGUGUACCAUGGAGCCAUAUAUCCGAAAUUAGACAUCAUGUCAUUCACGCCUUACCAUGUACGUAUUGUCACGAGAUGAGCCCACUCUUGCUAAUUCACAACAUUAUAUGUGAAAUUUACUCUUAAUUUUAUGAAUAAGUCCAAACACUCACAGAAAAAAAAGUCCAGGCAUACUGCCGCUCCUCGUGCUUUAUUUUCCAGGGCAUAUGAGUUGCCUGACCUGACAUCACCAGUGGCUUGGCGAAGUUGACCCCGCAGCUUUUUAUUAGCUCCUCUGACCCCACAUACUCCAAAGUCUGGCAGCACGGGUUUGGAGUCCUAGCGCCGCCACUGGACAUCACUGCCUCUGUCCAGGCUCGGGCCUCACUUUUCCAUAUGCAUCCUAGUCUGAAAAACGAAAUGAGUGUUUUACACAAAAAAAGGAACAAAAUACUGUAUUGUUUUAUCUUCAAAAUAAAUACAUUUAAUACUAAACACUUUAUUGUUUUGAUCAAGUUUCUAAAAUAAACUAUCAAUAUUUAAGAUACUACUCCCUCCGUUCCUAAAUAUUUGAAAUUUCGUAUGUAGUUCAUAUUGAAAUCUCUUAAAAAACACAUAUUUAGGAACGGAGGGAGUAGAUGAGUAAAAAAUGUAAACGUAUACUUCAUGCUAAAUCCUUUGUGUUGUGAAUAUUGAUAUUCUUUUUUUUAAACGUGGUAAAAAAAUGUAAACGUAUACUUCAUGCUGAAUCUUUUGUGUUGUAUGUUGCCAUUCUUUUUCUUUAAACGUGGUCAAAGGUAGGAUCAUUUGAUUUUUAGAAAAAUGAACUAUGCACUACAUUUCGGUGCUUGGAGUUUUGAGAUCAGCAUUUCGCAAAGUGCGGCCCGAAACCCGCCCGGGCUGGUCCGCGCUAUGGCCAGCUGGUUUGCUCGUGCCGUCACCCGCCACCCGCCACCCACGGCAAGAGAGAGACAGCCAAGGGAGACCGCGCGCCCGGUGCGAGGAGCUGCUAGCGCUAGGUGAGGUGACACACAGCGAACGGAUCAAAGUUGACGGUUUGCCUUGUCGACUACUACUACUACUACUCCACUCCAGUACGCAUGCAGGUCUCGCCUUGCCGGCACGAGUGUGUUGAUUCUCCUCUCCACAGGCGCAGAUCAAAGUUGAACUGACGACGCAGUACGUACUAGCCCUAGCCCGUUCAAAGAGUUACGGCACUGACCAACUCUUCCGUCCGUCAUCAACUCAUCAUCCAUGCAUACGUGCAUGCAUGCCAUCCUUGAACCAGUCGCCAUCGCCACGCCUAUAUAUGGACGCACGUACGUACACAGCCCACCGCAACCCACCACAACGAGCAAGCAAGCAAGCCAUCUAUCCCACCGCCUCCACAGCCCACACCACUCUCACACGCACAAGCACACACGAUCGAACCUCCUACCACCAUGGUGACAUUCACGGCGCGCCGGGGCGAGCCGGAGCUGGUGCGCCCGGCGAGGCCGACGCCGACCGAGACCAAGGCGCUCUCCGACCUCGACGACCAGUGGACGCUGCGCUUCUACGAGUCCAUCGUCGGCUUCUUCCGGGCCCCGCCGGGCGAGGCGCCCAGGCCGGGCAAGGUGGCCAGGGGCAUCAAGGCGGCCGUGGCGGCGGCACUGGUGUACUACUACCCGAUGGCCGGCCGCCUGCGGAAGCUCCCCGGCGGGAACAGGCUUGCGGUGGACUGCACGGGGGAGGGGGUGGCCUUCGUGGAGGCCUCCGCCGACGUGCGGCUCCAGGACCUCGGCCAGCCGCUGGUGCCGCCGUACCCGUGCGUCGAGGAGUUCCUGGGAGAUUGCGGCGACACGAGGGAUGUCAUUGGCAAGCCUUUGCUCUUCCUGCAGGUAAUAUCAUCUUUCCUAAUUAGUUGUAGUAUUUCAUUAUGUGGCUUAUGGGUGGUGGUAUGUUUAUUUUCUACUCCCUUCGUGUUUAUUUACUCCGCAUAUUAGUGUUGACUGAAGUCAAACUUACUAAAAUUUAACCAAGUUUAUAGAAAAAAAUAGAAAUAUUUACCAUAAUAAAUCUAUAUGAAGUGGAAGUUCAUUCAAUAAUAAAUCUAAUGGUAUGAUUUGUUAUUGUAUAUGUUAAUAUUUUUGUCUAUAAACAUUGUCAAAAUAUAUAAAGCUUAACUUUGACCAAACCUAAUAUGCGGAGUAAAAAAAACGAAGGGAAUACAUACAUAGUGUUUUUUUUGCAGGUUACACAGUGUAUUUAUUACUAUGAGUGACGGUUUGAGCACCUUAUCAAUAUCGAAAUUCUUCUAUCUUUUGCGGGGUUGAUAUCAAUAUUGGAGCAAAAUAAAAAAGAAAUGGAGAAAAGAGGGUUGCAUCACAUAAUGAAAUUGUUAGCGUUCAAUUUUCAUGGUGAAAGAAUAGUUGUUAUAUUACUAAAGUUUUGUCCAUCAAAUGUUACCAAAUUUCAUAUGUCGGUUUUAUGUUUUCUCAGUAAAUUGAAUUAGAACCAAAAUUAUUUAAUGUACUCCAAAUAUUCAUUCUAGUUGAAUUAUUACUUAUCACUAGCCUAAAUUAAAUUUUUGUUGACGCUUGAAUAUGAUGUCAUCAGAUACAACUGAGUGUAUUAAUAUGAAUAUAAAAAAAAGUGUAUGCAUAUACCCACGCAUACUAGUCAUAUUAGUUAUUUUCAUUGCUCGUUUGAAUUCCAUAAAUUUUGCUAAGUAGCAUGUCAUCAUUUAUAACCUAACCAUAAUAAUGUGUUAUGCAGGUGACACAACUAAAAUGUGGAGGAUUUGUUAUUGGGCUUCACAUGUGUCAUUGCAUUGCCGAUGGUUUUGGUAUUCUUCAAUUUAUCAAAACUAUAGCCGAUUUUGGAUGUGGUGAACUUAUCCCAACCACUUUGCCCGUGUGGAAAAGAGAUAUCUUUACAGCACGCAUGCCACCAUCCAUUGCACAUGUUUACCCGGCAUAUAAAUCAUUUCUCCAUGGGUUAGAGUGCACAGGAGACGACGUAAUGCUAUCAACUCCGCCGGAAUGCAUGGAAGUGCAAUAUUUAUUCUUUGGGCCAAAUGAGAUAGAAAUUUUGAGAAGCCACGUCCCAGAACACCUCUCCAAAUCUACUACAACAUUUGAGUUGAUUACAGCUGUCAUGUGGCGGUGCCGCACAUUGGCACUGGGCUAUGAAUCUACUCAAAAAGUUCGUGUCAUGUUUACAUUAAACACACGUGGGAGAAGCAUUAAUGGUGAAAGCGCCGUCCCACGUGGUUACUAUGGAAAUGCACAUUUCUCUCCUAUGGUUGAGGUCACUGUCGAGGAGUUGGCUGCAAAGCCGCUUGGACAUAUACUUGAGCUCAUGCGUCAAGUCAAGUUGGACACCACAAAGGAUCGCAUGAAGUCAAUGGUGGAUUUGAUGGCAUUAUGGCGAGAGCGGUCACCAUUUGGUAUGGAUAGAACAUAUGAGGUUAGCGACACAAAGUGGGUUGGAGGCAAUGCACUGCAAUUUGGGAAAGCCGAGCUGGUUGCUGCUGGCACACCACAUGCUGGAGAUUUCACUUCAAAGCUGAUAAGCUAUCAUACCAAGUGUAAGAAUAAAGAUGGUGAAGACUCAACCGUGGUAUCAAUCCUACUUCCAAAACCAGCAAUGGAGAAGUUCACAAUGGAGAUGGCAUUUUGGCUGAAGAAGUAAAAUGAAAAUAGCAUAACAAGUCCAUUUGUUGCAUGUAUAUGCUAUUUACUUCAUUUAGUAUUAAGGUCCAAACACCAACCAUAGUUGGUUAUGUGCUACCAUGGAAGUCGUGGUGUAUUAUUUGAAUGCUUGUAUCUUUACUUAUGUUUUUCCCAUUUAGUAAGCAAAUAUAAAUAAUAAUUUCUCCCUUUGAAAUACAUAUUGAGGAUUCACAUGCCAUUUUUUGUUAGUCGACUAACUCUAUUCAUGUGAGGAGAAGUUGAUGAACCAUAUCUAAUACAUCAAAGAGUUGUGAGUCUGAACUUGCUUGUGUUAUGUGUUUCCACAAAACCUGAGUCAAGGUGACGUUCACUCCCUUGGUUUUUUUGGUUGUUAGUCCAACAAACCACCGAUCAAACAUCAAUAUGGACUUACAAUUAAAUGUCUAUCAUCUUUUCUGGUGGUCAUUCUAAGUAUGCCUGCCUCAGUAAACAUUGCCAAAUGAAUGUUGAGUAUGCUUCUAUACUGAUCAAACAUGAAUUAUAUAGUACGCCGAAUGAACUGUGAAUUGCCCGUCUUUGGUGAAGUUCCACACGAAAUAAUCGUCCGUGUCCGGGCCCCCAAUGGUGAUCUGCUGCGUGUUCCUCCGAAAAGGGCAAGAAUGGGCGGGCAUGGAUCUUCAUCUUCGGUGAAACAACAUAAGAGCUGGAUGGCCAUGUUGGACACUUCGGCCCCGGGAAAGGCAAAGAUUCAUAUGUGGCGUUUGCUCCGCAAUGGCUUAGCUGUUGAACACGAACUACAACACAGAAGAAUCAAGGCGGGAGUUUUUUGCACGGCAUGUUGGAGGAAUGGCAACAAGUUCAUGCAAAACCCAUUACUGAGCGUACGCCUCUGAUGAGAGCUAGGUGGGAACCGCCGGAGGAGGGCUGGUUUAAAGCAAACGCAGAUGGAGCCUUCUCCAAAGGGCGCGGAAAGGGAGGAGCAGGUGUGGUCCUCAGAGAUCAUAACGGGGGUUUUGUGGCUGUUGCAGGACUUUUUGUCGAUCAUGCGUCGAGCGCUGAGCAGGCGGAGGUGGUGGCAUGUCGACGAGGCAUCCAACUAGCUCGCGAAGCAAAUGUGCAAAAUCUUCAUGUCGAGCUGGACAAUCUGGUGUGGUUGCGGCGAUCAACAAACAUGACCAAGAUCUAUCAACUUUGGGGCCUUGUAUUGAGGAAAUCAAGUGGUUGCUAACCCACUUUCCACAGGCGAAGGUUUCUUGGAUGAGGAGAGAAGCAAAUGGAGCCGCUGAUAAAUUAGCUAAAAUUAGCUUAGGUGAUGAGGUCUGUAAUGUUUGGUGGUAUAUACCACCGGAGUCUAUCCUACAGGUGAUCUAAAUAAUAAAGCGAUGUUGAUCCUCGAAAAAAAAAACAUGAAUUAUAUAGACUUAAAAGAUUAAAUUCCUCUCAAUUUUCCUGUCCGUUUUUCUUAGUAAGUUUGCCAUGGUCGACAUCACCGAGUGGAUUAUGAUCGUCGUCCUUCUCCAUCUCUUUUAAGGACUGCAACGGUAGGCGACCGAUAAUUUCGGACUAACUGAAUAUUGGCAAAACUGAAAACACAAACGGUAUGUUUCAAAAUGCAGGAGUUACAAAUUUCUGUGGUGACGACACUCCCCAAAAACGACAUAAAUAAGGAGACCACGAAAUUUAAAACAAUCGCAGAUGUACAAACCCAGGCAGGUUUGAACAACAAAUCAUCAUGCGAACCAAUUUAAACUCGACUCGCUCGAGAACCCCAGAUCAGUUUCCAGAUUUAUUUUGUGCUGCAUGUUGAUCGAUCAGUUCUGCAGCAGGAGGAGCUUGUCGUCGUUGUCCUUGGGCUUGGCGAGCGUCUGCCUGGAGCGCACGCGCGCCUGCAGCCGCGCCAUGGCCUGCAUGCAGUGCACCGCCACCUCCGCCUGCCACCGCACGUACGCGCCCCGCGCCACCGCCUGCAGCCUCACCAGGCUCCUCAGCGCCUUGAACGCCCGCCGCGCCUGCAAAACCAAAACGCAGUUUAGAUUUAGACAUGCAAAUCAAUCAGGCGUGGAAGUAGCGAUCUGGCAUGGUGAGCACGCACAAGGUGGGCGCGGAAGUAGGCCUGGAUGGUGACGGCGGCAACGUCCUCCCGAGAGAAGCCCUCACGGCACAGCAGCGCGUACUCCUCGUUGGAGCAGACCGACUCGUCCUCGUUCGCCGGCGCCGGCUCCACGGCCUUCGCGAGCGGCGCCGCUCUGUGGACCGCCUUGGCGACGUCGCCGUUGCUGCGCGGGUUGGUGGUGCUGUCGCGAACGGCGCCCGAGACCGCGCCGCGCGUCUGCGCCACCGUCUUGCUGGCGGAGCUGAGCCAGCGGCGCCGCGCGGUGCCCGACUUGGACUUGGCGUUGCCGGCCUGCGCGGGCGCGGUGGUGGUCACGCAGCACACGCGCUGCGUCCGCCCGAUCGGCGUCGAAGGGGUUCCCGGCGUCCGCGCGGGAGGAGGAGCCAGCGCCGCUCCAGCCGAAGCAGCAGCCGCCACGGGAGUCCUUGCGGGAGGAGGAGCAACCAGCGCCGCUCCAGCCGACGGAGCAGCUGCCACAGGAGUCCUCGCAGGAGGAGGAGGAGCAACUAGCGGCGCUCCAGCCGACGCAGCAGCUGACACGGGAGUCUUCACCGGAGGAACAGCCAGCGCCGCUCCAGCCGAUGCAGCAGCUGCCACGGGAGUCCUCGCGGGAGCAGCAGGCGCCGCCGCUCGCGCUAGAACAGCGGGUUCCGCGGGCGCCGGCGCUGGUGCCGGAGUGAAGCGGCGGACCUGCUGCGCGCGGCGCGGGGUGCGGGAGCGGACGCCGCAGAGGCGCCUCGCGGAGGGCGUCUUGGGGGUGCGCGGCGUGCGGACGGCGUCCCCGGUGCCGCAGCAGCUGGUGAGCGGCGUGCGCACGCUGCUGUUGUCCGCGUCGACGGGGGCGAGGCCGCUGCCCCCGGAUGGGCGGUGAUGGGCGCCGAUGCAGCAAAUGCAAGCCGCGCUGCUGCGGCGGCGGGCGUCGCCGGAGGGCUUCGACGGCAUGAGGCAGCACAGCGCCCGCGUCCUCGGCAUUGCAAAGUCGUCGUUGGCGUACCUGAUAGAAUGCGGUGCGAGUGCUACGACUUGUGGGAAUGGCCGGCGAAGGCGGUAUAAAUGGGCCAGGAGCCGGCCGGAGAGGAGGGAGACGACCGAUGCGAUGUGCGUGCCUCUACGGACGUGGGCGUCUGUCGGCGUCGGCGUGGCGGUUUUAUUUAGGGUUAGCGCGUGUGAUCGGGGACAGCUUUGUGAGGCAACGACGAGAACGUGGCGGGAUGGAUGGAUGAGCCAUGGAAAUGUGAACUGAGUUUUUUUUUUCAGAAGAAAAAAAGGACGCGACUCGCUGGCACCCGGGUGCCAGAUUGUUGAUCGCGGUACACCCCCUUAAAAGGAAAACACUCAUGCGAGCUGUCGUACGUGAGUGAAUGAAAAUCGCACUCGCGUCCGCCUCGCAAACAAAAAAGAUUCUGUCCCCACCAAAUUAAGGACCAAAUCAACGCAGCUGGGCGCCACUUCCCAAACCCCACCCGCGUCCAGCCUACGCUAACCUCAGGUAGCAUCAUACCUACCCCACGCAUCUGGACCCUUCUCCCUCCUCCUUACCCCCUUGCAAGCCAAUACUAAUCAAAAUCAAUCGUAUGUGUGUAUGGUAGCUACAAAUCAUGGUAGUUGAUGCCGAGCAACAAGAAAAAAAUUCAAUUUAGCUAUCAUAUGAAGCAAGGGAGGACCGGAUCUAGCUUUUGGAGUGGCCCCCAAAGUACCUUGUUGCUGGACAUCGCGGGUGGGAGCACAGACGCAAGAGGCCUGUCCUCCGGCGGAGGAGUUGAGCUGAGGGCCGCGCGGCCGGCCGGCCGGCCGUGGCGCAGCACGACUAGGUCGAUGCGAAUGAGAUGGGGAAAAGCGGUGUUGUAGGAGGAGGGUUUGCUGUUUUGCGUUUUCUGCCGAUGUGGUGUCGUGAUAAGGUACGCGAAGCCUGUUAUUUACCGCGAAAACUGUGGGUGAGCGAGCGGCGCGCGCUUUUCUUCCCGCCAGGAUUCUUUCCGAGAGGUCGAACUUCUUUGGCUCCUCCUUCUCCUCCACAAAAAGCUAGGGUUUUUGCCUCCCGCCGCCGCCGCCGCAGGUCCGCCUCCUCUCCGAUGGCCUUAGGGUCAUGGGGGCGCAGUGGAUCUCGACAAGGGUCGGCGGGAGGGCUCCGUUUUUAAUCGUUUCUUUCAGUUUUGCUAGGGUUUGUGUCCUGCUCAGGAAGACGAGACGGCGGCGGCUCCCUGUAGAUGGAAUAAAGGUCUUCCCGCCUAGCCCCCGUUCCGGCGAUGCGUCUAGCAUCUUUGGUGGGCGUGUGGAGGUGUGUCUCCGGCGGAUCUAUCUUUGAUGGAUUUGCUCGGAUCUCGUCGUUGUUCGUCUACGUUCGUGUGUCUUCGGAUUGGUUUUUUCUGAUCUACGUUAUUCUUCAUCUGCGACGGUUGCUGUUCUGGUGCGCUGGUCCUACGGGGCCUUAGCACGACGACUUCCCGACUGUCUACUACAACAAGUUGUGCCCGACUCCGGCGAUGGAGGGGCGAUGACGGCGGCGAGCCUUCGGCUCGCUUCAGUGCUGGUAGUUGUCGCUAGGUGGUCUACGGAUCUGGAUGUAAUUUCUAUUAUUUCUGGUAUUCGUUGUACUGCCAUGAUUGAAGAUGAAUAGAUCGAAAAUUUUCUCAAAAAAAAAGGUCGAACUUCUUGGAAAAUUUCCUAUGAAAUACAGAAGGGAAACUUCCACAGGAUAUAUUCCUGAGGAUUGAAUUCCUGUAAAUCAAACAACCAUCACAGGAAAAAAUCCAUAGGAUUACAAUUCUAUGAAAAUCCUAUAAAAAUCCUAUGAAUCAAAAAAGGCCUAAAAUUAAAGUAGUUGAACCCUUUGCAUGGAAAGUGAAGUUGGACCAUUUUGACGCACAACAAAAUCUUCAAUUUCAAUUUCAUCAAGAAAGUGGCAACCUUUUUAUUACAUAAGGAGAGGCCAUGACGAUUAACAACAACGGUAGGGAAAGAAAAACAGUACCGGUGCAAACAAAACACACAUACGUGCAGGCAGGCCAGUGGACUUGCACUUGUAAACCCCUGCAGCCACAAAAAGAAAAAAAGAAGCAAAUUGCGACGAACACAGAACAAGGCAUGCAUCAGCGCAUUCUCAGGUCCAAGCUCGCACUCGAUCGCCGUCGAUCAGUACCGCGCGUCGCCCGUCCGGCUCUGCUGGUAGUCUCUGUGCUCGCCGUACUGGCUGCGCUGGUAGUUGCUGCCGCCGUCGCUCGCGUCGGCGUACUGGUCGCGCUGGUAGUUGUGGCUGUCGCUGCUGCCGUCGCGCGCCUCGCCGGACCGCGGCUGCUGCUGGUUCUUCGCGGCAGCGGCGUCGGCGCCGGCGCCGUUGGACGUGGGCGGGCGCUGCAGGCUCUUGACGUAGGUCCAGGCCUCCCGCUGCGAGACCUUGUCCCACCAGCGGCUGACGUUCUUGCGGCGCUGGAACAUGCGGCGGGAGCGCGGGUCGGCGGCGAGGCGGUCGGCGUUGGGCAGGUGCGACAGGUCGGCGAUGGUGAACUUGUCGCCGGCCAGGUACUCCGCCUCCUCCAGGCGCUGCUCGUAGAUGUCCAGCAGCUUCUCCAGCUCCCUCUGGCUCUUCUCGAACAGCUUCCGCAUCUCCUCCUCCUUGGCCGCCCCCGCCGCCGUCACGCGCUUCGCCGACGCGUUCACCACGGCCCUGGUGCCAUUACUGCCGUUGCUGUUGCCGUUGCCGUCGCCGUCGCCGUUGUUGAGCUUCUGCGGCAUGGCAGGCGGCAGGAAGGCGAGGCUGUAGACCAUCUGGGCGCUGGGCUCGUCGAAGCUCUGCGCCUCAGUCUGCAGCCACUGCUCGAUGGACGCGCGCUCCAGCGCCCCCGUGCCGAUCAGGUCUGGGUUGCCCUGCAUGGCGUACUUGUGCGAGAUGUGCCGCAGGAUGCCCCGCGACUCUGCAUGGAGCACACAUGGCUACCAUCAUCAGAAACCAUCGUGAACCAUGCGUCCACCACCAUUGCCGACCGCCGCCUAGAGCUUACCGGAGAGGGUGAGGCUGCCGUCCUCGAAGGUGAGCGCCUCGCCGAGGGGCUGGAGCUUGAGGUACUGGGGCAUGCGUUUGGGGCCGCGGUAGGCGUCGACGCGGAUCAGCUGGAACUCCACGUCCUUCUCGAACAGGCACAUGAGCACGCGCGCCACCUCCGCCGACAUCGGCGACCCGAACACCUUCACGCUCGCCAUUGCGCUGCACUCAACCGGAGUGUGAAGCGAAAGCUCGAGACUAUUGGAAUGCUGCAAAUGUGUGAGCGAUGCCUGGUUUGGGUCGCUGUCGUGUGCUUAUAUAGUUGCCAAAGCAAGGGAACAAAAUGCCUUGCUUGUCGAAGGGUAAAUCUAAAGCCUGGAAAAAUCAAAGGGGAAAAAGAGGUAAAGAGCAAAGGGGUUAAGGUGGGUGGGCGCCAAAGGGAAAGGGGAGGGUUAUCUAUGUCACUCACAAGAUUGUCUGGUGUUUCAGUGUGUGUGUGUGGCACUGCCAUGCAUGGCAGCAUGGAUGCAUGAUUAUAGCCAGUAGCCACAAGCAAAAAUGAGUGUGGGCAUUGAGCAAGAUCUGGAGAUUUAUCAUAAGAGAUAAAAUGUAAAAGCAGAGUUCAAAUACAUACGGCUUAUGUAUGAAGAUUGGAGUGUAAAGUGCACCCUUUGAUCUUACCAUACGUGCUAACCUCUUAACAAGCACUAAUAGAGAUGAUGGAAGUACUAGGGGCGGAUGAAAAUAUCACGGUGCCACGUGCAUGUAAGAUCAGAAUAUCAUGACAUGACAGAUACAAACCCAGUUAAGCAAGCAAGAGACAAAAGAUAAGGACCAGUACCAAUAUUCAUUCAGGGGAAAAGAAAAGAAAAUGGACUGCCAAUAAAACUUACAGCGUCCUUGCUCAUAUACCGUGGAGAGAUAUGUAUUACCAAUUUACUGAUAAAAAAACUAAUUCAUGUAAGGACUAAACAAAAACAGUUUUGCCAAGUCUCAGUCGACUUAGACUUCGUUAUGUCUCAGUCCAUACUAUAUUACUUUGAUCUUGCAUUAGAUUAGUACAAAAAAUUCUUUCAGCUUUUCUUUCUUCUUUCUAUAUGCUAUAUUACUUGACUGAGACUUGGUUAAGUCUUAGUCGACAAAAUGCUCCUAAAACCUUUGGGAAUAGUCAUCCGAGGGAAACUCAUUUCUAAUGGAUCCACCUAGCGGAGUGGCUAUACAUCCCCAUGCAUUUGAGUUAUAUUUGUGUCUUCUUUUUUAUCGUUAUUUGACAGCAUGUGUAUGUUGUGGACAUUUGACGGCACAGUUUCUUUGGUGCUUUGUCCGUGAUGCUCUGGGGCCCGACUGAGAGGCCCCGGACAUGGUCUGAUUAUUUGAAACUCGGGCCAACCAGAACGGGAGGAGGAGACAACCAUGGGCCAUGUCGACCACGCGCAACAAGAUGAUUAUGGAGCGGGUCUUUCGUAGGCUGGCCCCUGACUCCACCUUCAAAUUGCUCGCAUUAUUGCACCACUGGCACCCGUAAUCUAGACAGAGGGGUCGCGACCGGCUUGGCUGCAUGAUGGACGAGAUGACUGAUAAUGCGCGCUAACUUAUUCGUCACAGAGCUCCUGAGCUCCAGGACACUUGGUGGUCAUUUCCCUUUUUUUCUUUUAAGUUUUUUGAGCGUGUUUGUGCUGAUGCCCCAGCAGACUCUGUUAUUUCCUUUGCUGCAAUUGAACUUGUUGUAUAGAUGUGGUGGUUGCUUUAUUUAUAAAGGGGAGCGAAAACCUGUUUCGAGAGUGUUGUGAACACCACCAACGGUCUCUCUCUCUCUCUCUCUCUCUCUCUCUCUCUCACACACACACACACACACACACACACACACACACACACACACAUGCACGCACGCGCGCGCACACACACACAAUUGCGUCGCCAAACCUUUAGUAACGUGCAAAAUAAUCUUUGAAACAAGUUCAUUUGUGUUACAAAAAAGUCAAAAUAUUUUUCUCUGGGCAGUUUUCAAUUUUUUGUUCAUGAAUGUUCCAUUACUUCAGUGACAUUUUCAGGAAAGUAAUAUCUUUUAUUCAUGCGUAAUUAACAUGUUAUUACGUCACUAAGGAUCUUACUCUAGUUAUUACGUAUAAUUAGCACGAAAAUCAAAGUCAAAUAACAUGAAUUUUAAAAGGAGGUAUAAUUAGCAUGUUAUUAUGUCAAAUCAAAGUCAAACAACAUGAACAUGUAUAAUUAGCAUGUUAUUAUGUUACUAAAGAUCUUACUCUUGUUUUCUGUGCUAUCAAUUUGAAAGGAGGUCCAUUUUAAUUUGUAAAAUGCAUGUAUUUUUGGCUCUUAAACUAAGACAAAAGGAACAAAAAAUCCAAUUUUUCUUUGCUACAUUCCUUUGAACCAAAGGCUUGAAUAAUACAACUGUAGAAAUUUUUUUUAUUCCUAUGUAAUUUCUUCACUUUUCCUUUGAAACACACGAGGACUUGAUUGACUAGUAUCCCUAGAUAUGCCAUUGGAAGAGUUUGCGCGUACUACAUGAUCAGUCGUCCAAAUAGCAUCCAAUUAUAGCCACCCACAAGUGUUGCAAAUAUUUUUGGUCAUUGGUUGGACGAUAUUCCAAAUAGGGUGAGUACGUUAUUACGGAUGGAAGUGUAUGGCUUAGUAUGAUCGCUUUGGCUAUGUAGAAAUGGUUUGAAUUCUAAUAGCAUAGACUCUUCUCGUUUGCAGGGUUUUUUCAGUUGUACGCACUCGCUUCUUAUGUGGUCUACGCUACACCAAACGGAGUAACAACCGCUAUUCAAGGCGGUGAAUAUGCGAUUGGACUGGGUGGCCAAGGAGGUUAUUACCCAACGUGGGAGGCAGUAUAAUCUCCGGAUCGGUCUACCACCUUCUUCGAAAUAGAUACAUGCCGGUCCUAUAACAUGAUAUGUCGGGUUUUUUUGUCAGACAUUCAAUGUUUAGUUGUGUGCAUGUUAGUUAUGCAGAGGUUGGGGUUACUCAUCAUGCUUUAUGUCCGUUUGAUACUAUAUUGUAAGUUAAAAAAAACAUCCUUUAUCAAACAAAACAAGUAAAAAUGUUUCUAUAUGCGCAAUUUGAGAUUUCUUGCGCUCAUUGGGUCACUGUCAUCAACAUAUGUCAUUUGCGUAUUAAUGCCUUCAUCUACAAAGUAGGCUCUUGCCAAACCAAGUCACAUGUAAGACAAACGAGCAAGAAGGCUCGAUUGGGAACAAUUUAUUUGCUGAACUGAAAGCAACUGAUACAACCCCUUGGAACUUGGAAGGACAAUGGUGUUGCAAUAAUGGAAGACAUUACGAGAGACACCGCGCGCUUUAGGGCUUCACAUUAUUUUAGCCAACACGACAACGAACGAACGAACGUAGACGAGAGGGACCUUGACGACGGAGACAUCACGGUAUGAAGCCCGAUGGAAGAUUCGUGCAUGCUGCCGAUCGAUGACAGACGACGAUGGAGAUCGCCGAUCACUCGAAGGUGCCGGGGUGCUCGUGCUGCAUCUUGACCACCUGCUGCCACGAGGGGCGGCUGGAGAUGGCGUCGUACCACCUGGCCACGUGCCUCUUGGAGGUGAAGAGCUUCCGGCCCCGCUGGGAGCCGGCGAUGUAGUGGGAGGCCGGCAGGUGGGAGAGGUCGGCGAGCGUGAACUCGUCGCCGGCGAGGUACUGGUUCUUGGCGAGGAUCUCGUCGUAGACUCCGAUCAUCUGCUGCAGCUUCCGCUCGUUCUCCGCGAUGCGGGCCUCGUCGGGGAGCAUGUUGAGCUGCGGCGCGAAGGCCAGGUGGAAGACGAGCUCCGAGCUCGGCGCGUCGAAGCUCUGGGCCUCCGCCUGCAGCCACUGCUCGAUGGACGCGCGCUCCAGCGACCCCGUGCCGUAGAUCCCGCGGUUGCCGUCCUCCGGGAACUGGGUGCACAGGUACCGGCAUAUCGCCCUUGAAUCUGCAUGCCACCAGAAGAGAAGAGAAGAAUCACAUCGUGUAAUUAAAUUCUCCGAUCAAGUGGCCGGUGUGCUGUUUUGUUCAGAAUUGAACUCCGCUUCUUACCAACAAGGGUCUUGUCACCAUGCUUGAAGGUCACCUGCCCGGUAGGAUCCUGCAGACCGAGACGACAGGCGAUCCACAACGGUGAGAGUGAGAUUAUACAUGAUCAAACCCAAAUUAUCUGAUUAAGAAAGUGCACCAUGGAUUGCAAUGGCAGGGAUGAUAUAUACGCACCCUUAGCUUGAUGAACUCGGGCAGCUUGUGCUCCCUCUUGAAGGUGUCGAUGCGGACGAGCUCGAACUCAAGGUUCUUCUCGAAGAGGCAGGUGAGCACCCGGGCCACGUCAGUCGACGCCGGCUGCCCGAACACCUGGAGACCGGCCGCCAUUGCUUCAAAUUCUUGGUGAGAGACCGAUCACUGGCUUCGAUCGAUGUGCAGGCCGGUGAUCAGUGAGCGAGUGAGUGAAGCGACUGACUGCUGAUGGAGACCAUAGGAUCCAUGGCCAGGCGUUUUAUAGCUAGCGAUGAGCCAGCAAAUAUGCUUGCCUUGCCGCAGAGGAUUACCAGCGAAAGCGAAAGCUGCCAAAGGUAAAGAGGAGAGCCCAUACGGCCGGCAGGAUUCUUUUGGAGGUGCCAUGCAUCUUGUUUCCAGCAAGGAACAAACUUUUACGGUACCCUGCAAUGAAUAUGAGCCGUCUAUUCUUGAAAUCAGUGAGUGGUGGUCGGUGUAUACUGCUCAACUGGGCGACUACCAUCGCAAGCGGUACCGGUGACACCGGACGCUCCGCGUGCAGCAGUAUACUUGUUGUGAGGGUAAUUUAAGGAGAGAAAAACUAGCCGGCUCUCGACCAAUCGAACCUGUUAGUUCGCUUCCCUUUUCAUGCUGCCGCAUGCAUGCGCCCGCAGGCUAGGAUUCAGGCGGCCGUGUCAGGAACCUGACCUUGGGCAGUGCUAAUGACUUUAGUCUCACCUCGAAUAUAAGAGGAGGCUAGGAGCUCCUUACAAGGAAGAGUGCCACACUUUCUUCAGGCCGGUCUUUUGGGAUGUAGUGGACUCUCUGCUUGUAGUGGAGUGUCCGAUGCACCGGAAAUGUCCGAACAUAUGCCGACGGACUGGGAGCUGGGCCUAGACUGCUAACAAGUGGUAUCAGAGCUGGGCCCCACGCCACCCUAGGGGCUUCCCUAGGGGGUGGGGUGUCAGGAACCUGACCUUGGGCGGUACUAGUGACUUUAGUCCCACCUCAGAUAUGGGAGGAGGCUAGGAGCUCCUUACAAAGGAGAGUGCCACACUCCCUUCAGGCCGGUCUUUUGGGAUGUAGUAGGCUCUCCGCUUGUAGUGGAGUGUCCGAUGCGCACCGGAAACGUCCGAACAUAUGCCGACGGACCGGAAGCUGGGCCUAGGCUGCUAACAAGCCGCCUCGUCGCCUUCACACUGUCGGCCGUGCUUGUGGAAUGAAGCUGCUACGCCACCGGCCAUGCUCGUCGACCGUGGCACGCGCUCACGGCCUAACUGGUCUUGAUGAGGAUUCCUCUUCCUCCCUUCCUCUGUGCCGGCGACCACCGUGGCAUCUCGUCUCGUCUUCGUCCACAUCCCCUUCCUUGGCCAUGCCGGUGGACCAAGCGCUCAGAGGUACGGUCCAGGUCAUCCGCUCGCGGAGGGUGGUGGUGGGAGCGCGCUGGGAAAGAGGAACGCGGUGGCGACUUUGACGACUGUGGAGCGGGCUAUAGUUGGCUACGUCGAGUUGGCGGCUGCGGCGGGUAGAGCAACGGCCGAUGGCUCAACCACGGCGAACAGAACGGCCGAUUGCUGAUGGGCUAGCGUUAUCUUAGAAAACGGAAAAAUGACUAAAACUAUCCUCAUGGAAUCAACGGUAGAUGAUUGUAUACUGCUGCCUUCCAACUUUAACAGUAUAGGGUACCAUAAAAAAGCUCGAACAAAAACGCCCAUCUCAUUGAUGUUGUUCUCCAGGGUGACCAUCGAUCCUUUAGCGGAUGUGGCACGUAACGAGCACGAAAGAUGCUCAUGAGAUCGGGUUAGAUUAGAUGUAUGGCAAAGCGUUGGGGCUAUAAGGUAGAUCCUCGUACGGGCAGAGUGCCUGACAAGCAAGGGAUCAAGGCCUGCAAAUUAAUUGGCCGCGGAAGAUGCGUCGCCGGACAAACCAAGGCUUUUUGGUCGAUCCAACCAGGCAGUGUGUUCAGGAAGGUGCGUGCUUUGGGUUAAAAAUUACACUGAUUCGAUCUGCCGUGGCGCGCGUGCCUUUGCUUGUGAGGUGGUUGCGACACAGAUUCAGGGGGAUCUGCAUGCUUAACAGUAGAUUUAUAUCCCAACCAAGAAUACUUACUAGCGACAAUUAAUAUCGGACGGAGGGGGUACAUACCAGCAGGGACCAAUCGAGGGGGAGGGGGGGCUGACAAUUUCGUUGUCCUUUGUAGCGAUUAGACAAAAUGGGGAGAAAAGAGAUUCUAUCAUGCACGUACGGUAUCUAUCAUGCAUGUAUCAGCCACUUGUGCAUGCAUGUAUUUACUCUUGUGCUUAGUUCAUCUGAAUUUGUGGCCCCCAGUUUCAGUAGUUAAUGUCAUGUCAAUCAGUCCCCUUUUCGCAUGUGCGCAUAAUUUUUCUCUCUCCCCAAAGAAACGAUGCACUUGCUGGCAAAAUUUCGUGUUUUGACCCUUUUUGCAUACAAAUUCAGGAUCUGACCCCGAUUCGGAAAAAAUUCGGGAUUUGACCCUUUCGCUACCGCCAGGGGAGCUGGCGGUAGGGUUAUACAGCCUACCGCCAGGGACCCUGGCGGUAGAGUGCGACGGAGGGGGACGACCGCCGUCUUCGCGUGCUGACGUGGACUAGCACCCUACCGCCACCCUACAGCCAGCUCCCCUGGCGGUAGGAUGUGCCAGGGUUUUUGCCUCAAAACCUUCUGUAACGAAAAAUGCGAGCGCCCUGGCGGUAGGGUCACCCUACCGCCAUAGGGGCUGGCGGUAGGCUGUCUGAUCCUACCACCAGGGUCCUUGGCGGUAGGGUCUUGCCUGUAUCCAAAUUCAAUUUCUUUCUUCUUUUCAAAAACAACAGAUCUCAAACAAUGAUAUAGAGUCAAAAACAGCAACGAUAUAGAGUCAAAAUAACAGAUCUCAAACAACAAUUAAAUUUGGGCAUCACAUACGGAUUUCCACAUAAACUUGUGCAUAAUGAGCAAACGAAGUUCAACUACUUAGUUCCACAUAGCAAACGGAGUUUCACAAAUAUCAAACACAUAGUUUCACAAACACUAGGCUUUUCAACUACAGCCAAGUAGCGAAUAUCAGAAUUUAAUUCAGCCUUCCCUCUUGUUCUUGGAGGCACGGUCAUCGUUCCUCUUUGAACGAGUCUCUUCAGUGUUCUUCUUGGACCGUCGAAGAACCGGUCUCUGGAAAGGGUCCGGACUCAGCAAAUCCUUCUUCUUCGGAUUCCUCUUCUGCAGCUGAGAUGGUUGAGAUGAUUGAGUUGUUGGAGGUCCGUAAUCUUCAUCGUACUCCUCCUCACCAUCGCUCUCAUUCUCCUCUUCCUCAUGAUAGGCCUCCUCGUCCUCUCCUUCAUUUGUGGCCUCCUCCUCCUCCUCCUCCUCAACCAACCUAGACAACAAGGGACCAUGGCUCGAUGAGGCGAUGUGACCCUGUGUGGCUCCGGGAUGAUAAGCUUCAACCGACCCAGUUCCAGCACACCCAAGCAGGCCUACCAGCUUGCGACAACGCUUUACGAACUUCUGCACUCACAAAGAAACAAGGGCAUAAUAAGUAUCGGGUUUAUGAUUGCAAGUGAACAAGAUGCAUAUGUUCCGAGGAGGCUGAAAUUGUACCUUCAUCGUCCCCCUCAUUUUGUUCUCAGAUUGUACGCUCCCGGGGGCAUCACCUAGUGCAUCUGAGGCUUCAAAGAUGCAUCUGUUCAGCUCACCAGACUGCAAUGGCAUAAGUCAGUCACGAUGACGAAUACAAUAAUUUAAAUACAACCGUCGGUUCAAACUUACCAUUGUGUUGAUGAGGGGUGCAAACUCCAUAAAUCUACUUUGCAUGUCUCUGAUGCCGGUCUACUAGGCCUCUUCCUCGGGGUCAUCCCUCUCCAGCUCCGCGAUGUCUUCCGCCGUCCACCGAGGCCUGAGACGAAGAUGAUGCUUCUGGCCAUCAUCGUACCACUUCAUGUGUCGCUCCAGGUAAGCAUCCCAGUCAGUCACUUUCCUCUCCCUGUCUUUUUGGUACCUCCGUCGAUUCCACUCCAUCACAUGAGUUUUAUGUUCCUCUCCCUAGUCUGUGAUCAACUGAUUCUUCUGCCGACUCAUCCUGCAAGGCAUUAGCAACAAGAAACAUCCUAAUAAAGUCGCCAGCAAUGAAAUCAUGGGCACAAAGAACAAAGCGCUCACAUGUGGAGCGCAUGGCCGCCAGUAUCGGUGGGCGGGCCCGGUGGGGUAUGCUGAUACACCCCCAACUGCGUGGCCACGCGGUGUGGCAAGUGCCACUCGACGCCGUACACAUAGAUCAUGGGCACGAUGCACUGCCAGAGACCAUGGGCCUCAUCGCACAUCAUGUUCAGAUCAAAGUCCCACUCUCGGUCAUGAUACGGCCACCAAUUUACCUAUUACAUAUACGUUGGUAAGUUCCCACUCUCGGUCCAAAGUGGAAUCAAAGAGAAAGGUGUUGGGCGAGUUCAUAUACCUGCCAAUGCGUCAAAGCGUCCAACUCGUUGGUGUAGGUCUUGUACGAAGUCUUGUUUAGGCCCGUGUAGAGUUUGACAACGUCCCACUCGUAAGCUAGGUGGGGUUUCGAGCAGCGUCGCUGUCCUCGCUAUAUGCACCCCAUGGGCGUCUUGGCAGCUUCUCCGGAUGCCCCACCGGUAGCCUCUCCCACAUCCAAAUGGAGAGGCCCCAGACAAAGCCACCCAUAUUGGACUUGUCUCCCGUCCUCUGGGUUGUGUCGUCAAGUUGCAAAACAUCAAUUGAGGAUCAGAUAUAACAAAAUGGCAUGGACAUACUUUCGUAGGUAGGCAAUUAGAUACUCUCUUACCGAACGAUAUAGGUAGGCGAGAGAUGCGGUACCCCAACUGUACCCUGCAUCCCAGUCGGCUAGGAAGAAUAGAUACGACCAGUUGGCAGAGUUCCCGGAUCCGUCUGGAAACACGACCUCCGUGAGAAGAUACCACAGGUAGGCCCUCGCGUACCACUCCACAGUCGCCUCAUCGGCGUCUUGGGGGCAUGUCUUCUGGUGCUCCGAGAUCCAGGGCAAGGGCACACCGGAUGUACGGUUACCCUUAGCCUUGGGGCAGUCGCCGAUGAGGGUGGUAACCCUCUGCUUCCAGUUGGUCCUCUCCACUCGCCCGAUCAGUGCAUGACCCUCAAUCGGCAUGGCAGUAAUCAUCGACCGAUCCUCGAGGGUCACCGUCAUCUCCCCGCAUGGGAGAUGGAAAGAAUGGGUCUCCGGUUGCGACCAUUCAAUCCGAGUUGUCAGAGCUGCAUGGACAAACGUCGGCGGCUGACGCUUGAACUACAACACGAAACCCAACAGUCGGGCUCUCUUCAAGAAUGGCGCGUAGCGCUCGUCUAGUCCAUAUGCCCAUGAACCCCGUGCCCCCUCAUGCGCAGUGGCUGGAGCAUCUGUCAAAAAGUGAACACCAAAAGUUAGGAAAUUAUUUUCAUCAAUCUGAAAACUUUUAUCAAUAUUUCAUUCAUAUUACUUACCUCUCCGUUCUCUAUGAAACGGGCACGAUGACCCUUGUCGAAUGCGUAGUCAAGCAUGGAGUACCGUGGGCCGAUGUUAUCCGCAAGAGGUGACCACCUUAAUAAAAUUUCAUAAUCAAAAACAUCAUAAGCAUAAGCAUACAUAAACAUGCAUCAUAUCAAAAUCAUAUCACCAUGCAUCAUAUCAAAAAAAAUUCCUCCAACAACAUCUACUACACAUGAUGGAUCAAAUCAUAUCAACAUGCAUCAUAUCAAAAAAAUCCUCCAACAUGCAUCAUAUCCUCCCAAAACAACAUCAUAUCCUCCAACAUGCAUCAUAUCACCAAAAUAAAUCCUCCAACAUUCAUCUUCAAUGUAUUAUCUCCAAACAACAUCUUCGUAUCAUCAUAUCAACAUGCAUUAUAAAACUACAAUCAAGUCCUCCCACAUGCAUUACAUCAUAUAUUUUUUAACAAACAAUUAUGAACUAGGGUUCAUCUUCACACUAACAUAUGAACUAUUGAUUAAAGUUCAUAUUCAAUACCACUACUUACUAAAGAACUAAGAACUAGAACUAUAAUCAAGCUAAAACAAUCUUAGGUCAAAAAAAUCCAAUCUAUGUUAAAAAAUAUGAGGGAUUUCAAGCAAAUAAUGCGUCGAAUCGGAAGCAAGUUUGCAAAAACUAAUUGGAGGGAUAGGAGGAUCUUACGUUUCUCUCUUCGGGGCCAUCACGAUCCGCAAAAACCGUAAAGAAUCGGUGAAGAUCCGAGGGAAGAGUGGAGGAGAUGAGAGAGGGAUAAAGGGGCAACUUGGGGGAGAAAGAAAGGAGAAACUGCCGACGGGUGGUGGGGGGUGGGGGAGAUGGGCUGGGGCGCGGGGUCUCGGGGCGAAAUAACUGCCCGGACCCUACCGCCAGGGGUCCUGGCGGUAGGGUUAGAUAGGCAACCGCCAGGUGCCCUGGCGGUAGGGUGAGACGGAGGGGGACGGCGGCCGUCUCCACAUGCUGACGUGGAUUAGUACCCUACCACCAGGGGCCCUGACAGUAGGCUGUCUAACCCUACCGCCAGAGCCCCUGGCGGUAAGAAAAAAGGUCAAAUCUCGAAAAUUUUCCCAACCGGGGCCAGAUCCUGAAUUUAUACCACAAAAGGGUCAGAACACGAAAUUUAGCCGCACUUGGUAUUUCACUCAUCCAUGCUUUUUUGCACUCCAAAGUUUGGACCCAGUUUAUUUUUUGAAUUGGUGUAAUAUGUUUACAAACCAUAUGUGCUUAUUUCAUUUUUGUAGACAAUGGUCAAAGUGUAUUUGAGCCGUAAGAACAAAUAAGUUUUCAAAACAUAUUCAAUAUUGAUCAUGUUUUAAAUAUCUCGUCAAAAUAGAGUUGCCAUGAGGUGUUUAAAUCGUUUACACAGGAAGAGAUAAUAUAUUUCCUGAUAGAGUUGCCAUGAUGGGCACAACCACGCACAGGGACAUUAAGCACUGACAGUCUCACACACACACACAACCAGAGCAUGUGACAGAAGGGGUGGUGAUUAGUGGUUUUGCAUGCACAUUGAUUUCUUUUGGGCGCGAAUCUCGGUAACACAAUGAGUGACAGAUCUAGGCACGGUAUAUACCGUGCAUGGUAGUUUUGUCGCUCCCAAAAAUGCGUGGUUAUUUUGUUUCCUGACUCAUUUUGCCCGGUAGCUCCUAUUUCGCGCGUUGCGUUGCCUCUAGUUUGAUUGUCUGGGUUUUUUCUAGGCAAAAGUAAGGGCUUGCAUUGCUCCCUUUUUUUUUCUUUAUCUUUUAUUUCUAUAGAUCAGACAUUUCAUUUUAUGGAAGAAAAACAAAAGGAUUUAGUUCAUAUUCACGAAGCCCUAGAUUUUUAGGCUGAGCUAGAUUUGAACCAGUGUAGAUAUUGCUAACUGCUAUUCCUCGACUCUUGGGAAGGUAAGAUCAUCAAUCAAUACUAGGCUGCUCUGUGCAGUUAAAGAUGGGAGACCCCCCUGACAAUUUAGUUGUCCCUCAUAGCGAUUAGACAUAUGCAUGCUUAUUUUGUUUUCCUGGCUCGUUUUGCCCGGGAGCUUCUAUUCCGUGUGUUACACGCUGUGUUGUCUCAAGUUUGAUUGUCUGGGUUUUUUCAGGCAAAGGAAAGGGCUUGCAUUGAUCCUAUUUUCUCUCUAUCUUUUAUUUCUAUAAAUCAUACAUUUCAUUUUAUGAAAGAAAAACAAAAGGAUUUAGUUCAUAUUCACAAAGCCCUAGAUUUUAGGGUCAAGCUGGAUUUGAACCAGUGUAGACAUUGCCAUCUGGUGUUCCUCAAAUCUCAGAAGGUAAGAUCUUCAAUCAAUAAAUAGGUUGCUGCUCUGUGCAGUUAAAGAUGGGAGACCCCCUCUGACAAUUUGUUGUCCCUUGUAGCGAUUAGACAGAUGUGUGGUUAUUUUGUUUUCCUGACUCGUUUUGCCCGGGAGCUCCUAUUACACGCAUUGCGUUGUCUCUAGUUUGAUGUUCUGGGUUUUUUCUAGGAAAAAUAAAGGGCUUGCAUUGCUCCCCUUUUUUCUUUAUCUUUUAUUUCUAUAGAUCAGACAUUUCAUUUUAGGGAUUUUUACAUCUGUGCCCCUGGUUCCUUAGCUCUACUCAUUCAUCCCCGCGCUCUUAACUUUUGCUCAAUUUUCCCCACUCCCUUGCCAGAAACCCUCAUAACUGGGCAUAAUGGAUGUUGCGGGCGGGUCAAAGGCUUGACCGUUAACUCUGACUAGUGGGGCCACGCUGGACUAUGUCGUUCGUUUGACCUGACAAGUGGGGCCGCAUUGGGUGGUGUCACUGUUUGACCGUUGGGCCGUGGUUUCGUUGGGCUGUCCCUUGCAUUAAAUGUCUGCGCGCGCUGCCAGGACAGAAGCCUGCUAUGCAUGCACCCAACAAAGCCUGCCUACAUGCGUCGAUCGAGCCUGCAGGCGCCGAUGCCACGACCCCACGAUGCGCCGACCGAGCCUGCAUGCGCCGAUGCGUCCGCCAUGAGCACUGAUGGAGCAGCUUUCUUGCACGCCAGCCGCCACGGAUGCAGCGACAGUCACUGCCGCUGGUUCCUCUCUUCUAGCUAGGUGGCUACAUAUUUGUGGCUUGUGUAAAAAAGAGCCACUCCCUUGCUUAGUUGUACUCAUUCAUCCCUACUAACAAAGCUUGCUUUCAUGCACUAGGUGGUUACUAACAAGGGAACCCUACUAACAAGCCGAUCUCUCUAAGAAAAUAAUCAACAAAUAUGUAGUCCCAAUAUAGGGCCAACAAGCCCAUAGCACGAUCACAUAUCUCAAACUAGGAAGAACUUAAUAAUAGAAUAGAUAAAAAAACUUAAUAAUAGAAAUUAAGAAAAGGGCCAACAAGCCCAUAGCAACUCCAACAUAGUUCAAUUACAACUUAACAUAACAUAUACUAAAAAAAGAUAGAGGGUUUAGAACCCUAGCCAUCGCCUUCUCCACCUCGCUCCUCCUCCGGGCGCCCUUUUCACUGCUCCUCCGGGGCGUUGUUGAUGGGGUACGGAAGAGUGUGCAUGCGCGUCGCGGUGGGGAAGAUGUUGUUGUACUCCGUGAACCUGUUGUGGGUGGUGAAAGCGAUGAACUCGGAGCCACACCAAAACACCCGGCCGAGGAUGUAGAAGGCGUUGAAUGUGUUGGUGAAGUGGGCAAGGAGAGCAACCACCACCCGGUUUUUGAUGACCUCCUCGACGCGGAACAUCGUUGGAGAUCCCCUCGGGAGGUGGUGGUAGCCAGACGCGAGGAAGAACUCGGUGAAGUUCCUUGCGGUCCUCAGUCUUGAUAUCGCCCACACACGUAGUGUGCGAUCAACGUACACGCCGGUAGGGUAGAGCCUCUCUGGCACGGUGGGUGGGAAGCGGUAGGUUGGUCCGGUGUACUGCAUGGCUGAGGGAUGUGUAGAAGACGGAGAAAGCGUCGAAGAGUAAGAAUGGAGAUGGAUGAGGGAUGGCAGAGGCAGAGGGUGGCUUAAAUAGCCGUAGUGCUACAUGUUAUUUCGCCGUCUGAAUAGUUUGUGGCUAUUUUGUAUGAUUAAAAUAAAUUGCACGUGUGGCCAGUUGGCAGAAGAAAAAGAAGCUAAUUGCACGCGUGUGAAUCCGUGGUCAUAUAUAUUAUAUGAACAAAAAGAGACAAUUUUGAAUAGCUUGUGGCUAUUUUGCAUGAUAAAAAUAAAUUUGGCCCUUAAAUAUUGGUCAUUUGCUACGCAAUGUCAAUUCAUUUCAAACGAUGCAAAAAAUACAGAGCCAGCAUGAUCACAAAAAACAGAGCAAACGACGCAAAAAUACAGAGCCAGCACGUUCACAAAAAAUAGAGCAAACGAUGAAAAAAACGACGCAAUUCGACAGCCCAACCAGGGCUUGGUUUCCUUUUGGGCCCAAUAACAAUGUUUUUUUCCACGGAGUCAGUGGUGGGCGAGCAGCCGAGCACAACCAAUAGGAUCGCCUCUCGCGGAUCGCCCAACGAUCCAACAAUGCGGAGCCGUCCUUGUGAUCCAACGGCGCAGAGCCUGCACAUAGCCAGCCCACCUAGUUCCUUCUAGAAGGCCAGAUCUGAGGGUUGUCGCUUGGAGCGUGGGUAUGAUCGGACGGCUGAUGUUGGGAGCUAGGGUUAGGCGAAACCACGCGGAGUUUAGAGGGGUUUUGAGCUGGUCAACGGGGUUUCGAUGGCUUUGACUGAGCAUAACUAAUUUUAAAAAAUCGAAAAAAUAUGAAACUUUCGCCGUUCGUCGUUUUAUAAGACAAACUAACGAGGAAAAAUACUAAACUUGGUCUAUGGUCAUUUUCAUGAAAAAAACCCUAGCUGGCACGAUCGAGGUCAAAUGACCAACAUUAAUUUAAAAAAUCAAAAAAAAUAUAAAACCUGCGCACAAUGUUGUCUUAUGUGACAUGUUACCAACCAAAAAUCAUAAACUUAGUAUAUGGUUAUUUUCAUGAGAAAACCUUCACACAUAUGAGCUAUCAUGUACAUGAUUUCAUAGAGUUCAAGGAGAGGAGGUGGUGUUACUUUCUGUUUUUGAAAAAAUUAAAAAAAUCAAAAAAAUCACUAAAGCUUUAUUUUAAAGUGAAUAAGAAGGAUCUGAAAUUAGUUUUCCAUUUUCAUAUUUCAAAACGUGUUUUUAAUAGUUUUUAUAUUAUGUUUUCAAAAGAAAAUGUAAAAAUAUGAAGAUUAAUUUAAAAAUAGUGAGACUUCGAAUCUACACCAUGGAAAGUGAAUAUGUGUUAGUAAAAAACAUUUGGCUCAUUUAGAGUAGGUUCAAAAAAAUGAUUACAAAUGGGCUGUUUACCCUAGCCUGGGAGCUCAUUUGAAGCACAUUUUCUCAAAUUCAAAUUUAUUUGACCUCCUCUAAAUCACUUCAAAUUUUGCACACAUGAUCUCCUACACAAACAUAGAUAGUUUGCCGAGGUUUUACUUGUUUUUGCAUUUUCUUGAAUUUGUACUAUCCAGGUUUGCCAAGGUUUACAUGAUCUCAUUGGAAGCAUGCAUUUGAUUUCCUACACAACAUGUGUGAUCAUUGCAGCACCUAAGAUCAUAGUUCACAACAUCUAAACAUAACUAACCAUAGAUUCAAGACAGACAAAUAUACCACAUCCAAAUUUAAGGACAGACAAAUAUAGAUAGCAUAACCAGAUUACUAGCAUAACCAAAUUCAGUUCAACAGACCAUAACCAACGACAUUCAGUUCAACGCACCAAAAGUAACCCAACAAUUCAACAAACCAAACUAAAACUAACACAACAUCACAUCAUCGAUCACAUCACGCCGGAGUCAGGGCCUUCGCGAGGGCGGCAUGCUCCCCCCUGAUCAUGUAGUCCUCCCCGCGAAUCGCCACAUCCUCAGCAUGAUACAGAAGGUGAUCGAAGCGGCCAUCCCUUGGCUUUGGCUUGGUGGUGUAGUAGGGGCAGUGCCACUUCUUGAACUUGCAGUUGUAGAAGGAACCAACUCCCUUGUCCUUGAUCUUCUCCACCUCCUUGGCUGUGAAGGACGCGAUGUUGCCCUUGUACACAUCAUCUCCAGAAUCAUACUGCACACAUGAAUGAAUUGCAUUAGAUUCAUAUACACCAUGUCAAAGGAACUAAAUGAACAAGGGAUAUGCUUACCUCAUAUUCAGAAUCGUCACUGAACUCCCCCUCGUACGGGUCGUAGUCGGCCAGCUUCCUCUUCCUCCCCCCCAACCAUCAUCCUCCUGAAUAUACAAUUACAUCCAUCACUAGUAGCCAAUUGAAAAUUGGUAUGCACACAUGACACAUUGAUCAUAGGGCUAAUAUACUCCCAAUAUCAGAAAUGUUUUAGAAGUGGGCUUUUUUAUUUCUCUGCCCCUUAGCUCUAUGCAUUCAAAAACCACAUCCAUCACUAGUAUAUCAAUGUAUUAGAUUUGUACACACAUUGAUCAAAAACCCCAAUAUGACAUUCAAAUAACACAUUGAUCAUUGGUCCUGCACACACAUUGAAGAACAGAGCUAAUAUAUCAAAUUUAUAUACUAAUGAAUCAAAAACCCCAAUAUGACAAAUUUACACACAUUGAAUCAAAAUUAUAACUUCUUAAUCAAUGGAUUCCAUUUGGUCAUAUGACAUUCAAAACCCCAAUCUGAGUAGCAUUCAAAAACAUCUAGCAUUAAAAACCCCAAUCUGUGAGCACUAAAAACAAAUCUAAUAAGCUUCAUAGCAUUAAAAAAACACUUUGUUCACAACAUCUAGCAUUUUUGCAACGAACUUAUCCAAAUAUAAAAACAAAUCUAAAAACCCCAAUCAUUGCAGCACCUAAAAUCAUAGUUCACAACAUAGCAUUUUUGCAACGAAUUUAUCCAACAAACUCUAGUCCAAAAACCCCCGUCCCCCCAACCCAUUCCCUAUAGAAAACCCCCGCCCAUCCGUCAAACCAACUACUCUAACCAUCUGAACUACCGUAUGAAUCAAGAUCUAACCAAUGCAACUAGGGAGCAAUUAACUCUACAAGCUAAGCAAGUGCAAAUACCUGCUCCUCCACGGUAGGCGGUGCAACGGGGGCAUCUGGAUUGACUGCGCCGCUCGACGCCUUCACCUUCUGCAGUGAUGAGGCGGAGCCCGCCACAUCCUCAGCGGUUGCGAGUUUCCCCUUACCGUCGUGGACUCCGCCGACAUCCGCGGUCGCCGCGCCUGGACCCUGCUGCUCCACCACAUCUCCGGCCGCUGCGCCGGCGUCGCCACGUGUGUUGGCCAUCUUACAGAUGGAGACGAUGAAGGUGAGGAAGAUGAUGCGGUGGGGGAGAGUGAGCGGUGGAGGCAGUGGAGGAGAGCGAGACGACGCCAGUGGGGGAGAGGAAGACGAUGCGGCAGGGAGGGGAUUUGGGGGUAAAUGGUAGGAGCCAUGGAGGUGGUUGCCCUCUUUAUAUGAUGUGACGUUUCGGGCAUGUCCAUGGACACGUGCUACCCCACGACCGCAGUCUCGCAUGCGCCCACGUAUACGCGGCCCCACUCGUCAGCUAAUGGUCAAAGGCAUUGACCCGACGGCAACAUCCGUUAUAACCUGUUCUGAGGGUUUCGGGCAAGGGAAUGGGGAAAAGUGAGCAAAAAUUAAAAGAAUGGGGAUGAACUAGUAGAGCUAAGGAACCAGGGGCACAGAAAUAAAAAUCCCUUCAUUUUAUGGAAGAAAAACAAAAGGAUUUAGUUCAUAUUCACGAUGCCCUAGAAUUUUGGGCCGAGCUGGAUUUGAACCAGUGCAGACAUUAUCAUCUGUUGUUCCUUGAUAUGUCCAUUUUGCAUCACCUACUGUUAUUUAUGAUGUUUUUAUGCAUAUUAAUGAUUCUUGGAGUAAUUCUAAUGUAUUUUCUCUCAUAAUAUGCAAGGUUCACAUAAAGAGGGAGAAUUCCGAUAGCUGGAAAUCUAAACCUGAAAAAGCUACGUCAGGCCACCUAUUCUGCACAACUCCAAAUGAGCUGAAACAUCAUGAGGAAUUUUUAUGGAAUAAAUAGGAAAUAAUGGAGAAAACAACUACCGAAGGGGAGCCACAUGAUGAGCACGAGACACGAGGGCGCGCCAGGCCCCCCGGGCGCGCCCUGGUGGGUUGUGCUCAGCCAAACCUACCUCCGGUGCCCAUCUUUUGGUAUAUAAGUCAUUUUUACCUAUAACAAAUAAGGAGAAGACUUUCGGGACGGAGCGCCACCACCUCGAGGAGGAACUUGGACAGGAGCACUUUUGCCCUCCGGUGGAGCGAUUCCAACGGCGGAAUUGCCCUCCCGGAGAGGGAAAUCAUCAUCAUCAUCAUCACCAAUAACUCUCCCAUCUUGGGGAGGGCAAUCUCCAUCAACAUUUUCAACAACAUCAUCUCCUCUCAAACCCUAGUCCAUCUCUUCUGUUCAAUAUUUGUACCAGAACUAUAGAUGGGUGCUUGUGGGUGACUAGUAGUGUUGAUUACUAUAUGGUUUAUUUUGUGGAAGAUUAUAUAUUCAGAUCCAUUAUGCUAUUUAAUACCCAUCUGAUCUUGAGCAUUAUUAUCAUUUGUGAGUAGAUACUUUUGUUCUUGAGGUCACGGGAGAAAUCUUGUUGCAAGUAAUCAUGUGAAUUUUAUAUGUGUUUGAUAUUUUGAUGGUAUGUAUGUUGUAAUUCCCUUAGUGGUGUCAUGUGAACGUCGACUACAUGACACUUCAUCAUAUUUGGGCAUAAAGGAAUGCAUUGUGGAGUAGUUAUUAGAUGAUGGGUUGUGAGAGUGACAGAAGCUUAAACCCUAGUUUAUGCGCUAUUUCGUAAGGGGCUGAUUUGGAUCCAAAAGUUUAAUGCUAUGGUUAGAAUUUAUUCUUAAUACUUUUCUCGUAGUUGCGGAUGCUUGCGAGGGGGUUAAUCAUAAGUAUGAGUUUGUUCAAGUAAGAACAACACCUAAGCACCGGUCCACCCACAUAUCAAAUUAUCAAAGUAGCGAACACAAAUCAAACCAACAUGAUGAAAGUGACUAGAUGAAAUUCCCGUGUGCCCUCCAGAACACUUUGCUUAUCAUAAGAGACCAUUUUGGCCUGUCCUUUGCCUCAAAAAUAUUGGGCUACCUUGCUGCACUUUUUUUACCAUUACCGUUACUAGCUCGUUAAAAAUUAUCUUGCUAUCAAACUACUUGUUACUUAUACUUUCAGUGCUCGCAGACAUUACCUUGCUGAAAACCGCUCAUCAUUUUCUUCCGCUCCUCAUUGGGCUCGACACUCUUACUUAUCUAAGGACUAUGAUUGAUCCUCUAUACCCGUGGGUCAUCAAGGCUCUUUUCUGGCACCGUUGCCGGGGAGUGAAGCGCUCUUGGUAGGUGAAAAUUGGUAAGAAAAAAUUAUUACUACGUGCUGAAAUUUAUUGUCACUUGUUACUAUGGAGAACAAUCCUUUCAGGGGUUUGUUCGGGGUAUCUUCACCUUGAUCGGAACCACAAUUAGUUGCCCCUCAACCCACUGCACCUACUGAAAAUACUGAAUAUGAAAUUCCUUCGGGUAUGAUAGAACAACUGCUAGCUAAUCCUUAUGAAGGAGAUGGAACCGAACAUCCUGAUAUGCACUUGAUAUAUAUGGAUGAAAUUUUUGGAUUAUUUAAACUUGCAAGUUUACCCAGAGAUGAAGAUAAUAAGAAGGUUUUCCCUUUAUCUUUGAAGGGAAAAGCAUUGACAUGGUAUAGACUAUGCGAUGAUAAUGGAUCUUGGAAUUGGAAUCGGUUGAAAUUGGAAUUCCAUCAAAAAAAAUUAUCAUAUGCAUCUAGUUCAUCGUGAUUGGAAAUAUAUAUAUAAUUUUGGCCUCGUGAAGGAGAAAGUAUUGCUCUAUCUUGGUGGAGGCUUAAGCCAAUGUUAUAUUCAUGUCCCAAUCAUGAGCUCUCAAGAGAAAUUAUUACUCAGAAUUUUUAUGCUUGGCUUUCUCAUAAUGAUCGAUCCAUGCUCGAUACUUCUUGUACUGGUUCCUUUAUGAAGACUAUUGGAUUCCGGUGGGAUCUUUUAGAAAGAAUUAAAAGCAACUCUGGAGAUUAGGAACUCAACAAAGGUAAAGAGUCAUGUAUUAAGCUUAAGUUUGAUUGUGUUAAAUCUUUUAUGAAUAUCGAUGCUUUUCAAAAGUUUAGCACUAAAUAUGGACUAGACUCUGAGAUAGUAGCCUCCUUUUGUGAAUCUUUUGCUACUCAUGUUGAUCUCCCCAAAGAUAAGUGGUUUAAAUAUCAUCUCCCUAUUAAACAAGAAAUUAAAGAACCGGUGUAGACAUUGUCAUCUGUUGUUCCUCGACUCUCGGGAAGGUAAGAUCAUCAAUCAAUAGUAGGUCGCUGCUCUAUGCAGUUAAAGAUGGGAGACCCCCCUAACAUUUUCAUUGUCCCUUGUAGCGAUUAGACAGAUGUGUGAUUAUUUUAUUUUCCUGACUCGUUUUUCCCGGGAGCUCCUAUUCCGCGUGCUGCGUGCUGCGUUGUCUCAAGUUUCAUUGUCUGGUUUUUUUCUAGAUAAAGGAAAGGGCUUGCAUUGAUCCUCUUUUUUCUCUAUCUUUUAUUUAUAUAUAUCAGACAUUUCAUUUUAUGGAAGAAAAGCAAGGGGAUUUAGUUCAUAUUCACGAAGCCCUAGAUUUUUGGGUCAAGCUGGAUUUGAACCAGUUUAGACAUUGUCAUCUCGUGUUCCUCAACUCUCGGGAAGGUAAGGCCAUCAAUCAAUAGUAGGCUACCGCUCUGUGCAGUCAAAGAUGGGAGACCCCCCUCACAAUUUCGUUGUCCCUUGUAGCGAUUAGACAGAUGUGUGGCUAUUUUGUCUUCCUGGCUUGUUUUGCCCGGGAGCUCCUAUUCCAUGUGUUGCGUUGUCUCUAGUUUGAUUGUCUCGGUUUUUUAUGCAAAGGAAAGGGCUUGCAUUGCUCCCCUUUUUUCUUUAUCUUUUAUUUCUAUAGAUCAGACAUUUCAUUUUAAGGAAGAAAAACAAAAGGAUUUAGUUCAUAUUCAUGAAGCCCUAGGAUUUUGGGCCGAGCUGGAUUUGAACCAGUGUAGACAUUGUCAUCCGUUGUUCCUCGACUCUCAGGAAGGUAAGAUCAUCAAUCAAUAGUAGGCCUCUGCUCUGUGUAGUUAAAGAUGGGAGACCCCCCCUGACAAUUUCGUUGUCCCUUCUAGCGAUUAGACAGAUGUGUGGUUAUUUUAUUUUCCCGACUCAUUUUUCCCGAGAGCUCCUAUUCGGCGUGCUGCGCGUUGCAUUAUAUCCAUUUUGAUUGUCUGGUUUUUUUCUAGGCAAAGGAAAGGGUUUGCAUUGCUUCUCUUUUUUCUCUAUCUUUUAUUUCUAUAGAUCAGACAUUUCAUUAUAUGGAAGAAAAACAAAAGGAUUUAGUUCAUAUUCACGAAGUCGUAGAUUUUGGGUCGAGCUGGAUUUGAACCAGUGUAGACAUUGUCAUCUAGUGUUCCUCAACUCUCAGGAAGGUAAGAUCAUCAAUCAAUAGUAGGCUAUUGCUCUAUGUGGUUAAAAAUGGGACACCCCCCUGGCAAUUUUGUUGUCCCUUGUAGCGAUUAGAAAGAUGCGUGUUUAUUUUGUUUUCCUGGCUCAUUUUGCCCAGGAGCUCCUGUUCCACGCAUUGCGUUGUCUAUAGUUUGAUUGUCUAGUUUUUUCUAGGAAAAGGAAAGGACUUCAUUGCUCCCCCUUUUUGUUUAUCUUUUAUUUCUAUAGAUCAGACAUUUCAUUUUAUGGAAUAAAAACAAAAGCAUUUAGUUCAUAUUCAUGAAGCCCUAGAUUUUUGGGUCAUGCUGGAUUUGAACCAGGGUAGACAUUGCCAUAUGAUGUUCCUUGACUCUCAAGAAGGUAAGAUCAGUAGGUUGUUGCUCUGUGCAGUUAAGGAUGUGAUCCGGCAUGUUAUGUUUGCUUGUUUCCUAUAAUUUGUGCUCGAUUCCAUAUUUCUUUAUCCUUCGAUUCACAGGACAAAUCUGAUCUCCUUUAUACUUACCUCAAACAAAAAGGUCAUUCUAAAGCAGGUGUAUUCUUCUUCACUUCCUAGGAAGGCAUUUUCUUGCUAACAAGCCAAUUUGGCAAACAAAAGAGCUACAUACAAAAUGGAGAGAAGCUCAUUGCUACUUCUUGAGUUUGCGUUGAUUUUUCCCUUGAAGAGGAAAGGGUGAUGCAGCAAAUUAGAAAUAAGUAUUUCCCUCGGUUAAGAACCAAGGUGUCAAUCCAGUAGGAGGAACAAGCAAGCCUUCAAUCUAUGCACCUGCACAAACUAACAAACACUUGCACUCAACGCGAAAAAGGGGUUGUCAAUCCCUUCACGGUCUCGAAUAAGAGUGAGAUCCAAUAGAGAUAGGUAUAAAAGAUAAAUAAAAAAGGCAAACUAAAGUAAAUAUAAAUAAAUUGCAGCAAGGUAUUUUUUUGAUUUUUUGGUUUAUAGAUCUAAAAAUAUAUGAUGGAAAAUAGAACCGGGGACCAUAGGUUUCACUAGAGGUUUCUCUCUUGAAAGAAAACAUACGGUGGGUAAACAAAUUACUGUCGAGCAAUUGAUAGAAAACGCAAAGUUAUGACGAUAUCCCAGGCAAUGAUUAUGAAUAUAGGCAUCACGUCUAUGUCAAGUAGACUGACUCCUUCCUGCAUCUACUACUAUUACUUCACACAUCAACCGCUAUCCAGCAUGUAUCUAGAAUAUUACGUUCAUAAGAACGGAGUAACGCCUUAAGUAUGAUGACAUGAUGUAGAGGGAUAAACUCAAGCAAUAUGAUGAAAACCCUAUCUUUUUACCCUUGUUGGCAACAAUACAAUAUGUCCCUCGCUACCCCUACUUUGUCACUGGGUGAGGACACCACAAGAUUGAACCCAAAACUAAGCACAUCUCCCAUUGCAAGAAAUACCAAUCUAGUUGGCCAAGCCAAACCGAUAAUUCGAAAGGAAAUACAAACAUAUUUAAUCAUGCAUAAAAGAGUCCAGAAAAGACUCAAAUAAUAUUCAUAGAUAAUCAUCAAAUAAAGUCAUGAUCCACAUGCAUGAAAAGUUUACACUCUUCCGAAAUAGUGGGAUUAUCAUCAAAUAAAGUCAUGACAUCUCCAAGCCCACUUUUAUCAAAAAUUUCAUAAGAUUGGUCAUUCUCCAAAGUAGUUGGAUCAUUAUUACCUAGAGUUCACACUCUUCCAAACCCACUUUCAAUAUUAUUGCAAACAUAUUCAUCAUGAGGCUUAAAUGAAUUUUCAAGAUCAUAAGAAGCAUCACCCCAAUCAUGAUCAUUGCAAUAAGUAGCGGACAUAGCAAAACUAGCAUCCCCAAGCUUGGGGUUUUGCAUAUUAUUAGCACAAUUGAAAUUAAUAGAAUUUCUAAUAACAUCAUUGUAAUCAUGCUUUUGAUUCAAGGAACUAUCAAGUAUGGGUGCAAUAGCAAUAAUUUCAUGUUUAACAUAAGGAACUAUAGCAAGUUCAUCUCCAUAAGCAUAAUUAAUAUGGCCAUAAAAAUAGCAAGCAUCAUGUACAUCAAGGGAGGAUAUCUCAAUAAAAUCAAUGGAAUCAUAAUUAUCUAUAGACUCAUGCAUAUCAUUAUUUUCUUCCAAAGCAACGGCCAUUCUCCAAUAAAUUCCUUAACAUAGGCAUUAUGGGCAUAAUUUUCAUAGCAAUAUUUAAGUAUGUCAAAAAAAUUAGAUUUGUAGAGUAAUAUCAAACUUUUCAAUCAAAGAAGCAACUUCAUAAGCACCCUUAAAAGCAAAAAAAAAUCAAUUCGCUCGAUAUCAUAGUAACUAUAAACACCCUUUUCAUAAGAAGAUAAGAUUUCAUUAUCAUUAAACUCACAUAGGUAGGGAAGGUGUUCUUUAGGGUUCUUAGAGCAACAAGUAAAAUCACAAAUUUCACAAAGAUUCCAAGCAUAACAUAGCAAACAAUUUAUUUGAUUCCAUAAUAGUCUCUAUUUUUUAGACAACGGUGACGCACAAAUGAGCAUGCUCAUCUAAAGAUUUUUCCCUCAACUAAACUAGUUGGGGUUUCAGCACGAGCACAUAUGGAUCGAAGAUGAUCCAAGUAGAAAACUUGAAGUGGAUCCAUCAACCUUUUUGUUUCUGAUUUUCAAUAAACACACAAUUGUACCAAGCAAACAAGCAAACGAAUGAAGUAAGACAUAAAGGCAAAUGAAAAAGACAAAUAUUUUUGUGUUUUUCUGAAAACAUUUUAGAAGUGGGGGAGAGGAAAACGAGAGGAAAAUGGCAAAUAAUGUAAUGCAGGAGAUGAGAGUUUAUGAUGGGUACUUGGUAGGCUUGAUGUAGAACCACCCCGGCAAGGGUGCCAGAAAUUCUUCCUAUUACUUCUUGAGCAUGCGUUGAUUUUUCCCUUGAAGAGGAAAGGGUGAUGCAGCAAAGUAGAAAUAAGUAUUUUCCUCAAUUAAGAACCAAGGUAUCAAUCCAGUAGGAGGCACAAGCAAGUCUCCAAUCUAUGCACCUGCACAAACUAACAAACACUUGCACUCAACGCGAAAAAGGGGUUGUCAAUCCCUUCACAGUCUCAAACAAGAGUGAGAUCUAAUAGAGGUAGGUAUAAAAGAUAAAUAAAAAGGCAAACUAAAGUAAAUAUAAAUAAAAUGCAGCAAGGUAUUUUUGGGUUUUUUGGUUUAUAGAUCUGAAAAUAGACCCGGGGACCAUAGGUUUCACUAGAGGCUUCUCUCUUGAAAGAAAGCAUACGGUGGGUAAACAAUUUACUGUCGAGCAAUUGAUAGAAAAGCGCAAAUUUAUGAAGAUAUCCAAGGCAAUGAUUAUGAAUAUAGGCAUCACGUCCGUGUCAAGUAGACCGACUCCUGCCUGCAUCUACUACUAUUACUCCACACAUCGACCGUUAUCCAACAUGCAUCUAGAGUAUUAAGUUCAUAAGAACGGAGUAGCGCCUUAAGUAUGAUGACAUGAUGUAGAGGGAUAAACUCAAGCAAUAUGAUGAAAACUCCAUCAUUUUACCCUUGAUGGCAACAAUACAAUAUGUGCCUCGCUACCCCUAUUUUGUCACUGGAUGAGGACACUGCAAGAUUGAACCCAAAACUAAGCACCUCUCCCAUUGCAAGAAAUACCAAUCUAGUUGGCCAAACCAAACCGAUAAUUCGAAGGGAAAUACAAAGAUAUUUAAUCGUGCAUAAAAGAUUUUAGAAAAGACUCAAAUAAUAUUCAUAGAUAAUCUGAUCAUAAAUCCAUAAUUCAUCGGAUCUCGACAAACACACCACAAAAGAAUAUAACAUUGGAUAGAACUCCAAGAACAUUGAGGAGAAGAUUGUAUUGAAGAUCAAAGAGAGAGAGAGAAGAAGUUAUCUAGCUACUAGCUAUGGACCCGCAGGUCUUUGGUAAACUACUCACGCUUCAUCGGAAGGGCAACAAGGUUGAUGUAGAUGCCCUCCGUAAUCGAAUCCCCCUCCGGCAGGGUGCCGGAAAAGGUCCCAAGAUGGGAUCUCAUGGGAACGGAGGCUUGCGACAACGGAAAAGUAUUUUGGUGGAUGCUUCUGUUGGUUUGGGAAUAUUUGGGAAUUUAUAGUGCAAGAAUUACGGUUGGAGGACUCCCGAGGGGCCCAAAAGCCCUCAGCCCCCCGGGGCCAUGCUUAGGACUCUUGUGGCCUCCUCGGGAAACUUCUGGCCCCCUCUCCAAGUCCUAUGGGUGUCUUCUGGCCCAAGAAAAAUCAUCACAAAAUUUUUAUUCCGUUUGGACUCCGUUUGGUAUUCCUUUUCUGUAAAACUCAAAAACAAGGGGAAAAACUGGCACUGGGCUCUAGGUUAAUAGGUUAGUCCCAAAAAUAAUAUAAAAUAGCAUAUUAAUGCAUAUAAAACAUCCAAAACAUAUAAUAUAAUAGCAUGGAACAAUAAAAGAUUAUAGAUACGUUGGAGAUGUAUCACUCAUCCGGUAGAAAUGCUUUAUUUCUUUUUGUUCCCGUUACCAUGGCAUUAGGAUUUUAAGAUUUAAGAGGGGGAUGCUGAGGAGAGGAUCACAUGCAUUGAAGCAAUCUCAAGGUUCAGAAAUGAUCAAAAUAAUGGUAUUCAUCCCAAAGAUAGAGACGAAAGAAACGUAAUUAUUGAAUUAGACUUGGCUUCUUUUUCGGCAUGGGAAAAGGUUUGGCCAUUCCACCAUUAACAAAGGUUGAAUCGGUUGACUCUGAUUGACCUCCUGGGUGUAUGAGAAUUCCUUCGGUUUUCUAACUCUAAAUAGAGGAAUUAAUAGAGCCAUUCCUAUCUCCUGGCCAAAGGGAAGUCUUCAACUCACUUCUUUGUUUGUUCAAAGUCAUGUCCUUCAGUAAUUAUUAUUUUUCCGAAGGGGGUCGUGCCAUAGCAGCUCAAACCUUGCUCCAGAAUGUUUCAGUUUAUGUUCCUACCUAUCUAUUCUACGAUCUAUAUAGGGAGUGGGGCAACGUUUUCUCUGGGUACCACCGGCUUGCCACCGGGUUGAAAGAAAUCCCUCCGCCCACUUCCCUUAGUUAUCUUCAACUCUUUCUCUUUUGGUAGCAGAAGGCAUUCCCAGUAUAAAUGAUGGUUCUUGUUUUCGUAUUAUUAAAGUUUUCAAUUGUACACGAAAGAGGUUUGUGACCACUACCAUUUUAGUAAGGUAUUUGUCAUCAUAUUGUUGGAGAAAGCAUUCUUUGCUAACAUAGCUCAGCCUAGCAAUGGCUGGGAAUUUCUUAUCCCAGAAUGCAAAAAAAAUGCCCGCCAAUUCAUUGGUUUCAGUAGGUUUUCUAAUGAAGUCAAGCCCCUUCUUGAUGUCUGCUUCUCGACUAUGAUGUGUCUUACCAUAGACAAGAGGCAUAUACACCUUCUUCACCAAAUUUAAGUUCAUGUCCAUUCUGGAAACACAUCUUUCUAUUCCAUCUUUUCCCGAAUCUCCCUUCAUGGAAGAAAUAGAGGCUUGAGAAGGAAUACCAAUAAAAACCUAGUUCGGUCUCAAAAACCUAGUUCGCUCGCUAAAGCAUCCAUGGUUGAAUGGUGAAAGCGCCCACCAACCUAGAAAGGCAAAAUGGGUCAAAAACAUUUGUCAACAGAACACUUCCCUAUUCCUUGAACUGAAACAGAAAGCUUCUUGCAUCAAUUGGAUUGAAAAUUGACAUGAUUAGCUGCUCCUCCCAAGUACCCGAAGUAGGGUCAAUCAACUCGUUUAAUAUUCAAACAAGAAGUUGGGGCGGGUCGGUCCUUGGAGCAAAAGUCCGCAGCUAAGCCUAUUCUUGACUGACAUGCAGAUCGAGUCCAUCAAUUUCACAAGUAUCUCGUUUGGUAAAUAGUGAUUUACUAGAUAGAAUGGAUCUAUUAACUGCUUCGGCUAUGCUAUUAAACAAAAGUCUAACUACUUACACUAUGGGGAUGGUGAGAAGAGAUAUAUUUUACAUCCUAGAGGGGCUAUAAUUGGAGAUACUAUUGUUUCUGAUAAAAAGUUCCUAUAUCAAUGUGAAAUGUCUUACCUUUGAGUGUGGUUUGAACUAUUGAUUUACCUAAUUGGAAGUAACCAAUUAGGUUUACGACGAAACCUAAAAAUCGAUCACUAACCAAUUUGACUACCUCUAUGGGAUAGACCACAACUGAAAACUAUUGAGUAACGGCAGCAACUGAUUGAGUUCAGUAGUUCCUCAUAGAAAAUUACACGCAGUGAGUGGUAAUCAGUCCUGAAAGGAAUAAGGUUUGGUGCUCUACGAAAAUAUUUGAUUCACCAAAAAGUUCGCUUUAUCAGACCAAUCUAUACCUACUAUUAAAGGGAAUAGGUAUUCUUGGUUUGGUUUCGCUUUGUUUCGUCCCGUUUAGGUGAUUCUUUUUGUUUCGUCCCGCCUCGAAGAUUUUUAUUAUCUGUGGUGGUACUAUUUUUUGAUGCUGCGCAAGCUCGCUCACGUUUUUGUUUCUAGGUUGAACGAUCGCUUGGCUGGGCCAGUGUAUGCCAUCGAAGCCCAUCCAGGCAAAAAAAAAUACGAGCGUCCAUUGGGCUCCUGAAAAUCAAGUAAAAAAUGAGUGGGCUUCGUAAUAUUAUCAAGUAAAAUAUAGAUUACACAGUGGAGAAUCGAACACAACACCUCUCAUAUCAAAAGAACUCGCGGUAAUCAACUCAACUAACUUCUAUUUGUGAUUAAUCCCACUUGAAGGGUUUAUAUUGAAUCACCCCGAUAUACGUUCCCUAAUUGCUUGGAAGACACUGAAAGGAAUUGCCCUGAGAUUGUGCUGCUGCCAUGCAAAUAAAGAGAAAUAUUCCGGGGCAUUAAUUGCCGGCGGGGAGUUCCCUUGAUUAAAGGGAGGGAUCAUGAUGGGGCUGGAUUUGUGUGUCCUUUAAAGGAUGCGGGAUUUGUGGGCUGCUAACGCCUUGUACAAUGGGAGGUGCUUAGAGAAAUAAAUCAGACUUUUCUUAAGCACCGGUGCUUAUUUGUACAGGAUAGACGCUUAACUAAGCGUCUCUCCUGUAGAAAUAGGCACCGGUGCUUCAGAAAAACCCGGUUUAUUUUUCUAAGCAUCUCUCUAAGCAUCUUCCAUUGUACAAGGCCUAAUGCACCCAUAAUUAACAGUUAACAGUUGCACAAUUAAGGAAGGAUUGCUGCAAGCCGACCCCUGCUAUUAGGAAGAAAAGGAAGGAAUUUAAAAAAAGAAAUAUGAAGUACGAAUUAUUUCGGGCAGUGUGAAUGUCAAGUUAACAAUUAUUGAUUUGUAGCCAAUGGGAACCAACGUUUUGCAUGUUUUUUAUGACAUCAUAAAAUUUCAAGAAAAUAUUUGUAAAAUGGUGCGUUAAAUUGUAAUCAAACCGUUGUCCUUGAGUCCAUGGACUCUAAAGGACCAAUAACCAACUAGGCUAUAAACAUUUUUUGAUUUUUUAAUGGAUUACAUCCAAUAUUAUGCGUACUCAUUUGAUCUAAGGUUAAUUUUGAAUAACUUAAAUAUUCUUUUUUUGUCAUGAAUGAACUGAUGAGCCGGCGGUACAACCGGUGAGUCGUUCGUUCGUUUUUUAAACUAUGAUUAGAUGGCCAUGGCGAAAGAGCACGCAUAGUUCGCUGCUGGAAACAUACCCAAGUUCAUGCUAGAGAUGAAGAAGUAAGACGGUGUUGACAAUGAAGUGUAUGCAGUUUGUGUUGACUCAAGUAAUUGAUGUCGUCCUGGAGCCAUGUGUCCCAGAGCGGCGAGUCGGGGGCGUACCUGUGGCCGUAGUACAGGUCGUCGGGGAGGCGGCGGCGGCGGCGAUUGAUCUCAUCGCGCCGUGCACGGCCGGUCGCCGGCACUGGCGGGAUGGGGACCCGGUCCGCGGAGAGGUGCCACCCGUUGGGGAGGUGGGCGUCGCUCCACGGGACCGGCGUCCUCGUCUCCCAGUACCUCCGGCACACGCCCGCACAGAUGUACUGCCGGUCGCGCUCGCCGGAGGGCCGAGGGGCAAUGGUGAAGGGGGCCGGCACGGGGGCUCGACGGGAGGAGCGCGGCGGAGACGCGGGGGCUCGACGUGCGGAUGAUAGGUGGGGCCGUCCGCUCGUGCGCAUUGAUGUGGGCGGGUGGGAGGUAGGUGGCCGCCUGCCACGCGGCCCCGAAGCGGACGAGGCGCGCGUCCAUUUGGUGUCCGCCGCGACCCAAACCCGGCGCAAGUUUGCGCUCGAAAUGGGUCGGCUCGGACACAAAACGGACAGGAUGGGUCCGGGCCGUCGCGCGCUGGGCCGCCUCCUUUGUCCCUUUUGUCCCAAACGGACAGGGCCGGACAGGAUGGGGGCGCGCGGUGGAGUUGGCCUGAGGACCGCAGGGACAGGGGUGGGUGGGUGCUUGACCAGCAAUGCCAUAACACUAAUAUAGUGGUACCAUGGAAUCCAGGCCUUUACAGUUUUUUAAUACAGUACAAUCUUUUAGAAUCGUCUUUUUUUGGAUAAAAUUUCAUUCGGCCAUCGCAUCAAGGUGAUACAACUGCACUAAGUGCAAACGCGGCCUUUGUUUUAGAAUCAUCGCUUAUCUAUCCUCUAUUUAUUAUUGUAUAAUAGGUCAAUGUGGGAAGUUUUAGCGUUCCCAAGCUUCUGAGAGAAAACAAUCAAAUAGGUAUGUUGGUCGAAAGUCAAGAAAUAUUAAGUUGGGCUUUUGACCAGGCAUCUGACUUUCGAGCAAAUGCGGCUCAAAUUGAUAGAGAUCCCCUCCUUUAUGUUUUACAAUAUCAACCGUUACACACGAAAUAUGCAACCAGAAUGCAAGUUCGUAGAACAUCUAAAUACAACAACAUUUGCAAACUAGAACUAACAGAAAAUGAAAUAGUGAAAUAUACACCUGAUAAAAGAUCAAGUUUCUUUCUGUUAAUGGUAUAGUGAAAAGCAGACAGUAGAGCACACCAGGGCAAAAGCAUUUUAAACGGCGCAAUGUACAUCAGACAUCACAAACAGGCCUCAUAUUAUUCUGGUUCACAGGACAAACAAUGAAGAGGAUUUGGUAAACGACAACACAAGUAGCAACGAUGACGAAAGAACACAUGAAAGUAAGAUCGAUAGACGUAGACAGCUCUUCAACAUGAGCUCGACACUUGCUCGCGACCACCAAGGUGCUAAGCCGCUACUCGAACGCGCCAGGAUGCUCCAUCUGCAUCUUGACAACCUGCUCCCACGCCUUGCGCCUCGAGAUUUGGUCGAACCACCUCGCCACAUUCCUCCUGGAGGUGAAGAGCUUCCUCCCCCUCUCCGAGCUCACAAUGUACUGCGAGUCCGGGAGGUGGGAGAGGUCAGCCAGGGUGAACUCAUCGCCAGCUAGGUACUCAUUCUUCGAGAGUAUUUCAUCGUAAACAUUGAGGACUUGCUGAAGCUUCCUCUCAUUCUCUGCAAUGGCCAUGUGGUCCUGAGGGAUUCCCAGAAGAGGAGCAAAUGCCAGCUGAAACACGAGGGCCGAGCUGGGAGGGUUGAAGCUCUGAGCCUCUGCCUGCAGCCACUGUUCUAUUGAUGCCCGUUCCAGAGAGCCAGUCCCAUAGAGGUUCCUGUUUCCCUGGUUUGGGAACUGGGUACAGAGGUACCGGCAAAUAGCCCUUGGAUCUGCACAGAAGGUUCACGUUGCCUUUCAGUCCUCAAAAGAAAAGUGAAUCCAGAAAUGUAACGUGAUAAGUGAUAACUGUGUUCAUGCUCUCCUUACCGACAAGAGUCUUGUCACCAUGCUUGAAUGUCACUUGUCCACUUGGAUCCUGCAAAAGGAUGAAUGGAAAAAUUAGUACAUGCUUUACCUAAUUCAAGAUUUUUUGAAACUGAAUAAGAAGUGAUCGAAGCAUCCUACCCGCAGCCUGAUGAACUCGGGAAGCUUGUGCUGCCUCUUGAAUGUGUCGAUGCGGACGAGAUCAAACUCCAAAUUCUUCUCAAAGAGGCAUGUCAGAACCCUGGCAACAUCGGUGGAUGCUGGCUGGCCAAACACCUGCAAGCCUGAAGCCAUCCUUUCUCUUUGGCUUGAUUGAUCUCUUUGUCAGGCUAUGCAAUGGCAAUGAGCAAUGGUGACAGCAGGUUUCAAUACAAGGCAUUUAAAGAAAGAAAAGGUGGAAUUCCAUACUUGCCUUGCUCUUGCUACCUAGCACAAUAUUUUACAAUUGGAAAGAGGAAAGUGUAAAGAGAAAGUGUGGUUCUGGAUUCUUGCCUGCAAAAUAUAUAGCAUUGUUUAUGUACAAUCCAGUCUUUGAUUACUUGACUCAGAACAAACAAUAUAUGAGGAGCUCGUGAUGUUGCAUGGGUGGUUUGGGACAAUUGAUAGAGAGAACUUGGCUUGGAUAAGUGAGAAGAUUGGCUAGUAUAACGCCCGUGCGUUGCCACGGGCUCUUCAAAAUUUAUAAUCAGUAUCUUUCAUUUAUCAUCCCCUCAUAUUGGAUGAUUAUGGGGUGCUCUAAUUAGAAACACAACAAUCAAAUAUUAGGAAAUUUCACCGAACGAACAACAACGAAUAAUACGAUAUCUAUCAAACGAAUAAAAUGAGGUCAUAUUUUUGGUCCGUCAUGCACUUCUGUUGAAAAGUGCCUAUCCCUUUUAGAAUCAACCCACUGUUUGCUCGCACGCAAAAAAAUACAUAUCUAAAGUGGGGAACCGAUCGGUGCCAAAAAGAACUCAAACUCCUAUCCAAUCUCGACUUCGUGCUCUUCCACUUCCAUUGAUAAAGAUGGGACGUCAAGGGUUUCAUCAUGAUGACCUCGAGCAGCCGCCGACAUCCCUCCCCACAUCUACCCUACCCCCUGCUGCCGCUUGCACUGUCCUUGCUCCUCGAGGGAGCUAGGGACACAAUGUUCUCUAGGAUGGGCAUGACCAGAUCCACGAGGAGGCCACAUUCUUCCAUGGGAACCCAACCAAGCACACCACCCUCCGCAACCAUCCAAUCCCGGCCUAACAAAGUCAAGACCCGCCAUCGAUCCACAAAUCAGGCUCGCCGCAUCCAGGUUCACUGCAAGUCUGCGACGAGUCUGUAGUCGACAUCUUGACUUUGGCUAUCCCCACGGAAGAAUCAUCGGAUCCUGCUUACUUUUACCAUCACUUCGUCUCUUCCCAAGGCAGCGACACCACCCAGCCAAUCACCACCACCGCUUGCGGCUUGCCUACAUAAAAUCAUGAGAAAUCUCCACGGCGGUGCUGUAAGAUCACCUUGGCGACCUCGACAGUGACCGACUGGUCUAAGAUCUAAGCUAGCCGCUCUUUGUAGAAACCAAUAGAAGUAGGCAUGUGACUCAGAUUUGUUCUUUGGUGUGCAUGCGUUUCUUGCUGCCCACCAGCUCUUGUCUACAACUCGCCUAUCUCUGUACCAGCUCUUGGUCUACAACUCGCCUAUCUCCAUGCUCGAGACGACCAAGCUCGAUGCGCAAGCCGCAUACGUCUGCUAGAGCUAUAUCCAGGCCCUAUGAUUUUUGGAUCACUGGCACUAUGGGUGCCAGGACCGGAGUCGCCCUCAUCCACCAAGUGGAUCAAGGAGGUCCACCACCUAGACUCUACAUCGCAACAUUUUGUGUUUUCCUAUAAAAAGUAAAGAACCUUCUCUAAUAAACGUAAAUAUAACCUUUUGGUUUUAUAGUCUCAACUUUCCUACACUUCAAUACCAGAAGGAUUUCUUGGUUUUAUUUAAUGAUCUUCUUGAAUGUCAUUCACUUAGAAAGGUAGUAAUACAAUCUGUGAUAUUAAGGCAAAUUAUUAGUCAUAUUAAAGUGCAAAAGGCCCUAUAGGAGUCAAAGCAUGACUUUUAUGGUUAUACUGUAAUUUGCAAGAUCUGAGAUUUAUGCAAGUGUACAAUUAGAGAAGAGCCAAUUAAAUAGAAUUUCACAUUCAGAAUAGUACGAUUAGCAGUAGCACUUCAAUUUUUUCAUGUUUGAUCAGCUUGCUAGGUGGUUAUCACUAAGCAUGUUGGAACGAUGAGCAUAACCUAACUUAGUUCAGUACGUGUUGCUGCAAAUUAGUUCAGUACGUACGAAGCUGUUGCUAAUUUCAAUGCCUGGCUGUUGCAAGUUUCUAAUGAAAAAGUACUUCAGGUCAAAGGUCAGGGAAUAUACACUUUUGUUAUCAUGGUUGUUUCCUUAUAGUGAACAACUUUGAUCACCACUUCAGCAGCUACUAUCUAUAAGAAGACAUUAGCUAAGUAGAUAUAGGCAAAGAAAGCAUGUAGGCAAAACCAGAAUUAAAAACAUCCUUCUCAAUGGAGCUCGUGCAGUUCGGAAGACCCUAAUCAUCGAUGAGGGACCCCUCCGAUGGUAGUAUGGCGUGACAAUUGCCGUCAAUGACGACACCCAAAGUACCUUGCAUAAUCCAUCGAUCCAGUUCGGAACAAUCAAGCACAUACCUUGCAAAAGUGAUGUGGAUCUGAAGUAGAGGUGGGAAGGUAAAGGCUCAGGUGAGGUGGAAUGAGACGUUGAUAUAGACGUGCACGCAUGAGAAUAAGGCGGUGCCCAGGAUGGAUCUCCAUCGGAGGAGGCUGGAUCCGCUGGGGAGGAGGUCGCUGUAGUACCUGCCAUCUGUGCGAUGGAUCACGGGGCUGGCAGGCAGGGGGAGGGGAUAGGAGGGAGCGGGUGGGCUAGAGCGCAGAUGGCGGGUGCCCCCGACGACGGCUGGGAAGGAUGGUGGAGGAGGUGGAUGAGGGUGGCGGCGGCGGCGUCUGCGGUUGCGCCUCGUCCGCAGCCGUGCUGGUGGUGGUCGAUGCGAGAGCCGGAUGGCGUCGGCCAGAAUCAGGCAGGGGCGACAAAGAUUUAGAGGAGAGAGAGAAUGGAGGAGAUGAGCGAUGGGAGGAAGGGCCACCGGCGAUUGGGGUGGCCUCAGAUCCGCCCUCCGUGGCCGCCUAUUUCAUGGGACGAACACCCGUGCUCACCGUCGGGCUCGCCUUCGGCCGCUGCCUCGCCGACAUUCACGACGUAGAGCCCCUUCCUCCGAUCCCAUUUGCCAGGGAGGCAGCGCCAUCCUUCAUCGUAGAGAAUGAGUCCACACUGAGAUCCCAACCAGAUCGUGAUUGCGCCUCCCCAAACCGCAGCGGCACAUCCCACUCCAUCAACGACCAACCUAUAUGAGGCGGAGGGUCAGUGUAGGACGCGAGCGCCGUCACCAUGGACGUGGGGGACGCCGUAGGUGGGAAGGAGGCGGCGACGGCGUUUGUGUCAGCAGAUCGCACGACGGUGACGGCGUUUACUCGAGGGGAUUGAGAGGAGCUGCGUUUGGUGCCGGGUGGGUUCUUUGGUGCGUGCGUGGGGCUGGAGAUUGUGAUAGGUGAUCAGGUGAGGGCGUGCCAUACCUGGAUCGAUAGCCUUACCAUACCUGAUGGUAAUUUAAAUUUAUUACCAUAUUCGAUAUUUCCCGAGUUAUGGCCUUACCAUACCUGGAUUGAUAGCCUUUGGGGUAAUUUACAUUUAUUACCAUAUAAUUACCAUAUUCAAAAUUUCCUGAGUUAUGACCUUACCAUACCUGGAUUGAUAUAUUACUAUACGUGGAUUAAUUAUGAUUUAUUACUAUAUGAUUUAUUACUAUACGUGGAUAGCCUUACCAUACCUGGUGGUAAUUUAAAUUUAUUACCAUAUUCGAUAUUUCNNNNNNNNNNCCAUAUAAUUACCAUAUUCAAAAUUUCCUGAGUUAUGACCUUACCAUACCUGGAUUGAUUUAUUACUAUACGUGGAUUAAUUAUGAUUUAUUACUAUAUGAUUUAUUACUAUACGUGGAUAGCCUUACCAUACCUGGUGGUAAUUUAAAUUUAUUACCAUAUUCGAUAUUUCCCGAGUUAUGGCCUUACCAUACCUGGAUUGAUAGCCUUUGGGGUAAUUUAAAUUUAUUACCAUAUUCGAUAUUUCCCAAUUUAUGGCCUUACCAUACCUGGAUUGAUAGCCUUUGGGGUAAUUUAAAUAUAUUACCAUAUAAUUACCAUAUUGAAAAUUUCCUGAGUUAUGACCUUACCAUACCUGGAUUGAUUUAUUACUAUACGUGGAUUAAUUAUGAUUGAUUACCAUAAAUACGUUGGGUAUUGCCGGUCAGACGAGAAAAGAGAAACACCGGUGGUAGGGGCUGGUGGGAGGUGGGACGAAGAAAAACCGGUUGAAAAUAAACCGGUUGAAAAUAAACCGGUUNNNNNNNNNNGGAGGGACUAUUCAACCAAUUCGUCCAUUAGGAGUAGAGAUAUGGAGGUUGCCAUGGAGUUAUAAAUAUAUGUAGGAUUCAUAGGUCGGUGUUGACUUGGGCGAUAGGAUGAGUUAAUCGAAAGGAGGUCGGUUAUAGGAUGGGGUCAAAGAAAACCUAGGUAAAGAUGAUGCCAAAUGCAGUCUGCAACCCAUGUCAACCCAUGUGCUAGAACUGGAUAGCUAUCUUCAUGGACACAAAUAUACCAUUGUUUGGUUCUAUUCUCUUUUAGUUUGUAGAGUAAGAAUUUGAAUAAUUUGAGUAUCAUUCUAUCUCUCAAUUGUUGAGAAAUUGUGAUCAAACCAUGCAAUGAAGGAACCAAAUCAAAAGAAGCUUUCACUUGUGCUUUCUAGCCAUUUAAAAUAAGCAUGUGGCAUCAAAUUAUUUAAUGGUGUGUCAGCCAAUUCCAUGAUUUUCUAGAAGAGAGAGGCUCGCACUUCACAAUAUUCAUAAUUUCAAGGUAUGAAAACCUUGCACACACACCUAAAUUCAAUAAAAUAUACGACAAAUAUAUAAACAAUUAUACAAUACACACUUGUGACACUAUAAACAAAUAACUUCAGUUCAUGACAGCCUGAUCAUCCCAGGCCCAGCUUCCAGGGUUUCCACCCCUCCCACCAUGUACGGCUCCCCCUCCCACCUCNNNNNNNNNNACCUGGAUCGAUAGCCUUACCAUACCUGGUGGUAAUUUAAAUUUAUUACCAUAUUCGAUAUUUCCCGAGUUAUGGCCUUACCAUACCUGGAUUGAUAGCCUUUGGGGUAAUUUAAAUUUAUUACCAUAUAAUUACCAUAUUCAAAAUUUCCUGAGUUAUGACCUUACCAUACCUGGAUUGAUUUAUUACUAUACGUGGAUUAAUUAUGAUUUAUUACUAUACGUGGAUAGCCUUACCAUACCUGGUGGUAAUUUAAAUUUAUUACCAUAUUCGAUAUUUCCCGAGUUAUGGCCUUACCAUACCUGGAUUGAUAGCCUUUGGGGUAAUUUACAUUUAUUACCAUAUAAUUACCAUAUUCAAAAUUUCCUGAGUUAUGACCUUACCAUACCUGGAUUGGUUUAUUACUAUACGUGGAUUAAUUAUGAUUGAUUACCAUAAAUACGUUGGGUAUUGCCGGUCAGACGAGAAAAGAGAAAAACCGGUGGGAGGGGCUGGUGGGAGGUGGGACGAAGAAAAACCGGUUGAAAAUAAACCGGUUGAAAAUAAACCGGUUGAAAGUGGGGGGGACUAUUCAACCAAUUCGUCCAUUAGGAGUAGAGAUUUCUGUCAGAGUGCAAGAAUAAUUUUUUCGAUAAAAGCAACGUCCACCGUAUGGAGUCACUAGUCAGGUAUAUGUUUAAUAAUCCAGUCAUUGAUAACUUGACUGAGAAGAAAAACAGUAUAUGAUGAGCUCAUGAUGUUACAUGGAUGGUUUGGGACAACUGAUAGAUAGAAUUUGGCUAGGAUAAGUAAGAAGAUUGGCAUCAAGUACCAGCUGUGAUGAGGAUCUGAUGGCUUCUGUCAGGGUACAAGAAUAAAAUUUUCGACAUAAAGUAAUGUCUCCCAUAUGGAGUCAGGUAUAAUUCAACCGUUGGUCUGAUGGAAGAAAAAACAUACUGGGAUUGAAAUCUAUGCACACACAUAAAUUUUGAUCCCAGUAUGUUCUAUUUGGUAGAAGAACAUAACUGAUUUAUUAGGAGUAGUGCCUAUAAAAUGACAAGCUGAAUUCAGUUGCUUAAGUUUUACUUCCUCUGUAAACAAAUAUAAGAGCGUUUAGAUAACUAAAGUAGUGAUCUAAACGCUCUUAUAUUUCUUUAUGGAGGGAAUACAUAUUAGAUUAGUAUGAAGAGGCAAAAUAAGAAACUGCUAAAAUGCAUUGACCGAAGUGAUAAUCAGCAUGUCAUCCUGAGCAUUUAGCUCACUUCAGCCAGCAGUACUAUCAGGCUUGGAUAAGUAAGGAGGUUGGCAUCAAGUACCAGCAGUAACGAAGAUCUGAUGACUUCUGUCAGAGUGCAAGAAUAUAUUUUUCAACAAAAGCAACAUCCCCCAUAUGGAGUCAGGAAUAAUUGAGCCGUUCAUCUGAUGGAAGAAUCUUUGAAUGUGCUUAGCUUUCAAUCCCAGUAUGUUUCAUUUGGUAGAACAUAACUGAUUUAUCAGGAGUGGUACCUGUAAAAUGACAAGAUGAAUUCAUGCUUAAGUUUUCCAUGUUAUAUUACUGAUAAUAGUGUGAAUAGGCAAAAUAAGAAGCUGCCAAUAUGCAUUCACUCAAGUGAUAAUCAGCAUCUCAUUCUCAGCAACUGAAAUAAGUAUUAUUUGGCUUGCAUUAACACACCGCUGAAUUCUUUGAACAUUUGCACUGCCUCAGAUUUGCCAGGACUCUAUUUGUUUCUCAACUUUUCUCGUAGCCCAGAAUGGAUUUAUCCAAGUAUAUUUGAGAAGGACAAAUACUACAAAUGACAACUCGCACUUGUUAUUUAUCUUCGAAUCAUACACCCCAAUCCCAACACUGCUAGUGAGACAAUACAUGGAUCAAUAUUGAAUCAAGAUGUGUCAUCUUGCAUUACCUUACAUAUAUAUCACCUAGCUUAAGGCCUGGAUCAACAAUUUGAUGUUGUAGAUAAGCACAUUUUUCUACAGAAUUGGUCAAACUUGAAUAAAUUUGACUUAGGACAAAGCAAGAACUUCAAUAAUUUGGAAUGGAGGGACUAAAAUUCAGUAGGUAAAGAGAUUGUCAGAGUGACCCACUGAAAGUAACAGGGUAGUAAACCAACGUCUCAAGAAUAGAUUUAUGUGGAUUAUGGGAUGCAAUCGAGUUCCAACAGGCAACAGCACAGAAUUGAGAAAACAGAGGAACAUAUCCAACCAUGCAAACUCAAUAAUACCACAGAGAUAGAUAGCAGGAUAACAUAUUGUACAAAGCAGCCCGAGUCUUUCACAACACAAUUAACAUUUAGGAGUGGUGGCAACACAUAACAGAACGUGACUAAUUGCCACCAGAAGCUGCUCGGCCAAAAAAAUGAAGGGGGCCU
RNAcentral lists this long non-coding RNA (92691 nucleotides) under Triticum aestivum (bread wheat). Its description in RNAcentral is "long non-coding RNA (TAES_LNC003793)". The stretch from base 2230 to 2353 matches the Rfam family "MIR1120/MIR1122 microRNA precursor family". The record is from RNAcentral. Lineage: Eukaryota; Viridiplantae; Streptophyta; Magnoliopsida; Poales; Poaceae.